UUCGGUCUAAUAUGUGUUGUCAAAUGUUACUUAAGAUUCGAUUGGCUCUGAUGCAAUCAUCUUUCAGUUCUAUCUUUCUGACCAUUUUUUUAACUGUAUUUCUGAACAUUUUCAAAUGUCUUGAAUAGGUUGGCAUAAGUACAGGGCGCAUACAUGCUCGUGGACCUGUUGGUGUCGACGGUCUUUUAACCACUCGGUGGUAGGUCUUUAUGCCAGUUGUUUUUCUGCAAUUCUUCAGCAAAUAAUAGAACUGUACGCAAGAUACUUCCUGGUUCAAAAGCAUUAGUAUCUUCACUUAAUAUGUAUGCAUUGCUCUCCUCAUUUUAUAGCAUUCUUCGAGGGAGUGGACAAGUAGUGAACGGCGACAAGGGAGUUGUGUACACCCACAAGGAUCUUCCUUUGCAAUGAGGGUAAGACAUGGUUUACGUUGCUUCGCUUCGAUAGAAUGCAUGCUCACUGGAGUAUCUACUGACCUUCAGCUCCUAUGUUUGCAGGUAGAGGAUUCCUGCUGUAGAGCAAUUUUUGUAGAAUAAUCCUCUUCAAAGCCCCCUUCUCUCUGUGCGAGGAAUGAAGAAAGACAAGAGAGCAUUGUUGUUACUAUGUCGCUAUCUAGUUCCGUGAUUGUUCGUGUACAAUGAUUUAUCCAUACAAUGUCCUAGUUAUGGCACUAGUUGUUGUAACUGUAGAAUUGCAUCGGUACAUCUAUGCUACAUAUAUGAAGUAGCUGUACUGUUUCUGAUGAAGUCUCGAAUCCGUUGUCAUGUUGUCUUUCUAUGGCAAAGAGCACCUGAAAUGAAUGCAAUGGGUGUGCAGCCUUCUUGAAAUGGCGCUUGACAUAGUGGCAGUGGCUGUAAAACCGCUGGCCUCGCAGCUUGCAAGCUGAGACAUCUGCUCGAAUCCUCUUGUUACAAACAAACGAGUGGAUACAGGGGUGAACAAAACUAGCACCAGCUAUGUCUUUGGCACCAGGCGGGUGAACUUUGCAGCCGCAGCCGGUCAACACAGAUAGGUUCACAUAGCCAGGCCUCUGUGAGCAUAGAACUAUUUGCAAAUUAACUCCUGAAGUCUUGACAAGUCUUGCCAAAACGAACAAGUAAAAUGCAGUCUCAAGAAUUCUCAGAAUGCAACAAGCCAACAACCAUUUAUCAGAAAUCUCUGGAUUCGUGAUAAAUAAGUCUUGCCAAAACGAACAAAUAAAAACAGCAAUCUCAACAGAUUGUCAUGACUUCAGGAACGCAACGAAAGCUCAUUUAUGCGUCAAAUCACAGAACCAUAAACCUCUGAUCAUAAACCAUUUGCUUGCAUAUCUUAAACGAAUCUCAAAUCUUGAUUAUGAAGAUUAGGUGGGAUUUUACAAGGAACUUACUAAUUCAGAAUGUGCCAGGGACACCAUUACUACGAAAAAUGUCAUUAAAGGGGACCCAUUACAAACGUGUCAAAAUUGCCUUGCAGAAGUUCCACUGGUCUCCAAGUAAAGACCGGCAAUCAAUUUCUUGUUUCUCCUGAAAGACUGGGUCAUCAUGGCUAAUCUAAUCAUGUUAGGCUGUACAAUAGUGCCUACUUCAUCGUCAUUUUGGUAUGAUCAGUAAAGAUCAAAAAGCACCAGUGACUUGGCAGCAUCUUCACCAAUAGUCGCCACACGAACAAAUUCCAUCCCUGAAGUGGUGAAACCGAUUCACAUCCUUCACAACGAUUUCACGCUCUGUGAAUUUGGAGAUGAACUUGGUGACUGAAUGACAGUCCUCACAUAGCCUCAGGUUCUUGGUGAUCCUGAUUACUUCACCGCUUCGAGUGUUGAUAAGCCCAAAUGCAACUGCCAGCUUCUCACUGUGACCAAGCAAGAUCCUUUCCUUCUCUUCUUCUUCAAUGUCAUACAUGACUAUCUCUGUGUCAGGGACAUAGCCCUCAUUUUUCAUCUGUGCCACAAACUCACCUAUCAGAGCUUGAAGCUGCUCAACCGGCGGGUUCUUGUUGUCCACAGAUGUGAAAGAGUGUAUCUUCUUGUUCACCUCCAUCCAGCUGCACCCCGGCACCUUCUCCAGCCCAUGCUCCUCAAGCAGCUCCUUUAGCACGGCAACUUGGUCUUGCAGUUUAGCUCGAGAAUAAAUAUCAGCAAGUAGUACAUAGUUGCCGGCAUUUCUGGGUUCAAGAUCGAAGAGACGAGAGCAAGCCAUCUCUCCGUACUCCACAUGGCCAUGAAUACGGCAAGCUCCAAGCAGUGCACCCCACACUUGAGGACUCGGCUCAAUGUGCAUGCUCUGUAUGAGCUCCACUGCUUCAUCCAACUGCCCAGCACGACCAAGGAGAUCUACCAUGCAAGCAUAGUGCUCUGCACGGGGUUUGACACUAUAAUCCAUCAUCGACUCAAACAAUUUCUUCCCCUCAUCCACAAGUCCGGCAUGGCUACAAGCCCCAAGGACACUGAUAAAUGUUAUGAUACUCGGUGAUAGCCCAACUUGAAUCAUUUCCUCAAACACCUGAAGCGCCUCACGGCCAAAGCCAUGCAUCCCAUAUCCAGAUAUAAGUGAAUUCCAUGACACAACAUCCCUUCGGCGUCCUAUCCAAUUGAAGAUAUGCCGGCCAACUUCAAGGCAUCCACAUCUCAUGUACAUUGCCAUCAAUGCGUUCAGUACAGAAACAAGUGAGUCGAAACCCCUCCGAAGAAUAUAGGCAUGCAAUAGUUUGCCGUGACCCAGGGCGUUUACUCCUGCGCACGCAUUCAAGACACUUACUAUUGUGAUCGAGUUAGGCACCAGGUCUGCAUCAGAAGCCAGCAUAUCCUUGAACAGCUCAAUGGCAUCAGCAGGUCUCUCGUUCUUGGCAUAGCACGCAAUCAUGGCACUCCAGGAAACAACGUUCCUCUCUGGCAUUGCAGCAAACACAUUCUCAGCAUAGCCGACGAUCCCAAGCUUUGCAUAGCAGUCAAUAAGAGUAGUGGCGACAUGCAUGUGCAAUGCGUAGCCACGGCGGAUGGCAUGUGCGUGUACCUCGCGUACACGGGCGGAGGCCGGUGCGUGCGACGCCGACGCGGCGAUGCAGGCCUUGAGCCCGAGCGUGUAGCUGUAGCUGUCGACGGGGACGCCGAGCCGCCCCAUGUCGGCCAAGCGCGCGAGCGCCUCGUCGCCAUGGUCGGCGAGCGCGAGGGCCUUGAGCAGCGCGUUCCACACGAAGAUGUUCUUGUCAGGCGCCUCGUCGAACACCUGGCGCGCGGCCGGGAGCGCGCCGAGCGCGGCGUAGGCGUCGAUGAGGCGGGUGGAGAGGAAGGGGUCGGAGCGGAAGACCGGGUCGGCCUCGAGCCGGCGGUGGACGGCCGCGGCGAGCGCGGCGUCCCCGGCCCUGGCGGCGGCCUGGAGGAGCGACUCGUAGGUGCGCUGCGUGGGCGCGGGGAGGCCCUGGAGGAGCGCGGCGGCGCGGGAGAGGCGGCCGCUGGCGCAGAGCGUCUGGAUGAGGUGGUUGGCGUUGGCCGGCGGGGGCGCCGCGCCGGACGACGACAGGGAGGACCUGCAGCGCGCGAGCCUUGGGCGCCUGGCGCCGAACGCCGGGUGGGAGAGGUGGAGCGAACCCGCGGGGGCGGAGGCGAACAUGAGGUGGAGGGGGCGGAGGCGGAGGCGGAGGGGGCGGCUCGGUAGGGGCUUCACCGUGGGGGAGGAGGGGCGCGCCGCUGCGCCGGCGUGAUGGAUAUUUUUUGGGUUGGGUUCGGGGUCGGGUGGAGGCGGAGGAAAAUGGCCGUGCCGCGCGGAGCCGGAGAAGCGUCGGGAUUUUGCACUAUUUUUUGUGGUUUUGGUAGGCCGAUGCCCGAUGGGCUACGGGUUCAUCUUACACCUUUUGUAGCAGCAUCCCGCCCCCACGCUUGGGCUGCAAAUGGCCGAAUGGGUCGGCGUGUGAUCGGCCUGAAUAUUUUUUGUGGUUUCGGUAGGCCGAUGCCCGAUGGGCUCCGGGUCCAUCUUACACGUUCGACCGUUCGUUUGGGCUGCAAAUGGCCGAAUGGGUUGGCGGGUGAUCGGCCUGAGAAAAUUGGAGCACACUGGGUCGUGUGGUUCCGCGUGCAAGGCCGGUGCCUUCUAUAUGCCGCUCUCUGCGGCAAAAGAGUUAACUACACGGAGGUAUCACAAUUAGGGCAGUACGUGCUAAUUGGUACCAUUUUUCAUAUCACAUGUCAGUAUCAUGCUGGGCUAGCCGUUACAAAAUGGUCUAAACCGCAUAUAAACGUGUAUUGACGGUGCAUCUGACCAGCGGUGCCCGUCUGGCAGGUGCCGAUGCUCGCCAGCUGGAUUCAAACCUGCGACCUCCCGUUCACAGACUGCCCGCGCUAGCCACCACGCCACAGCAACGCUCGGGCUAGAGUACAUGCGGGAACUCCUUAAUACUAGCUCGGACACGUUGUGCCGGCAGUUGGGCCCAACGAGGCUUGCAAUUUUUUUCGUUUCGCCUACGUGCUCGGGCUGUUCGUUGCCCAGGUUUUUUUUUGUUUCAUUUCUUUUAUGCUUUAUUUUGUUUCUGGUUUUGGCUUAUUUUUAGGGUUUUCUUCCUUUCUUUUUCUUCAUCUUUUUUCAUUCAUUGGGUUCAUUUUUCUCUUUGGAUUUUUAACAUACUUACUGAAUAUUUCUUAAGAUAGGCUUCAGUAUAUGAUGAACAUGUCAUCAAAUACGCAUGAACAUUUUUUUAAUGUAUGCCGAGCACUUUCUCUACGUAUAGUGUUUUCAUUGCACGAUGAAGUUUUCUUUACAAACGGUGAACAUUUUUUUUAAUAUAAUGAUCUUUUGGUAAUAUACGUUGAACAUAUUUAAAAUUGAUUUUUUGUAAUAUAUGUUAAAUAAAUUCUUAAUAUAUGACGAACAUUUUACAUAAUGCGCGUUGAACUUUUGUAAUUUAUGGUGAACAUUUUCUAAUACAUGAUGAUUUUUUUUACAAUGUGUAUUUCAAAAAAUGUUCAGCAUAUGUAUUAAAACCUUAUUUUGUAGAAUCAUUCUUGCAUUUCAAGAAACACAUCACUUUUUUAAUAAAAUUUGAACAGUUUUAAUGCAUUUCUAAAAUUUAUUGUGAUUACACAAUUAUUUUUAAUACAUGUUGUCAACUGUUUAAGUAAUUGUGUGUUUAAAAAAAUACAAUCAAUAUAUGAGUAACUAAACAAAAAUGUGUUGGCCAUAUUUUUUUAAUAGUUGCGUAUUUGAAUAAUAUAAUGAGGAUACACAAUAAUUGUGCACGUGAAGACACAUAAAAUUUGGGUCGUGUGUGCGUUCUAGUCUGGUGCUUGACACUUAAUAAUACUAAUAUGUAAUCACAAAAAUGCAUUAAUAUCAUGAUUAAAAAAAUGAGUAACUCAGCGCGCAGCCUCACUGGGCCCAACCGCCGGCCCAACGUGUUGAAGCUAGUAUAGAAUAGUUCUCGUCUGUACUGUACCGCGAACUCCGUUGUCACGUUGUGGCUAACGCGCGAAGCAUGUUAACCGCAGGUCGCACCGUCGCAGGUUCUAUUCCUGCUGGCGCUUGAAUUUUUGUUUCUUUUAUUUAUUUUUUCAACUCAAUAGAAACUUUCAAACAAGUCUGACAAGAAAAAAGUCUCUCACAGGAGCCUUUUUCUCCUAAAAUAAUGGGCAUUUAUGUGAUUAUGUAUAAAGCAAGGGUGUUUUAAAAAAAUUCAACACGUUUAUACGCGGUUCAGAACUUUUUGUAACAGUAGCCCUAGACUUGAUACUGACAUGUAGAAAUUACGAAAAAUGACACCAAUCCGCACAUGCUGCCCCAAUUGUGGUACCUCCGUGCAAUUAAUUGGCGGCAAAGAGUCACCGUUUCUCACAGGCGGAUCUCCGACUGGGCCGGCCCAUGAAGAAAGUGACCAACAUCAAACACGCACUAAUGCUCAAAAAUUAUUUGCGGUUGCCGGGAUUCGAACACAUGAUCGAGGAAUGUUACAACUAGCCGAGAUAGCUUUUUUCUUAGGAUCAAAAAAAUGUGACAAUUGUUGGAUUUGAACCCACGCCCUUUUGCGACAGCUAAGAUAGCCGUCGUAUCUGAUCAUAUAGUAGCAUCAACAUAAAAGAACCAACAUGUUGCGCAGAUCCAAAUUAGUUUAGGAAUUUUGAAAGUUUUUUUAAAACGACAUGUUCAGUGAAAUGCAAACAUUUUCCAAAUUUGUGAACAAACUAAAAAAACUAUAAUAUUUUUCAAAAAUCAUGAAUAUUUUUUUGAAACGCGAACAUUUUUCCGAAAUCCAAAAAAAAUUGGAAACGCGAAUAUGUUUUGAAAUUUCAGAACAGAAUUUGAAAAGACGAAUAUUUUUUGAAACUGGAUUUUUUUUAAACUCCUGAAAAAAAGGAAAACAUGAACAAAUUUUGAAAACAGAAACAUUUUUUGAAAAAUUUGAAAAAAACAUUCCGAAUAAUUUUUGAAAGCAAGAACAUGUUUUGAAAUUCUAAACAUCUUUUGAAUUUAUGAACACUUUUUUAAAUGCAAACAUUCUUGUAAAUUAAACAUUUGAUAAAACUCAAACAAUUUUUAAAAUUUACGAACAAUUUUUGAAAGAUGAUCUUUUAAAAAUAUAUAAAAAUAAGAGUUAAAUACACCACGGGUGUCUUAACUUGUCCUAUGCGAUCAGUUUGGUGCCUAAAGUUUUAAAUACUUCCUCCGUAAACUAAUAUAAGAGUGUUUAGAUCACUACUUUAGUGAUCUAAACGCUCGGAUGGAGUACAUGAAAGUGGUGCUUGAACUUGUCAGUCCGUGCAAAUACAGUGCCUUCUACCGUAUCCGGACGUACGCCCUGCCCGCGUGGCACGCCAGCGUGAUGGCGGCCCGCAUGUCAGUGGCUGGACGUGGACAAGUGAUUUUUUUUUGCAGAAACCACCUCAUUUUUAUUUAAUUACCAAGAAAGGCCCCUCAAAUUAGAAAUAUGAGUUCGACGUGUCAGUAGAGUGAGAAAUCACUAAAAAAAUGGCAGCGUGGGACCUCCUGCUUAAUGCACGCACAUGCUGGCCACCUGACCAGAAAUAAGUUAUGCAUUCUAUUAGUAACUAGAAAUGUGUGUAGAACAAUAUCGCCUAUAGAUGUGCAAUUCCUUAAUACAUUUUCUACAUUUUUUUCAAGUUUUUGUUUAGUUUCCAUGAUAUGUAAAAUUUGUCAUAUAAAAAAUACAAUAAUUAUCAGUAGGCAAUUAUUGUGCAGUUUAAUUCUUUAUUCUAUUUUUAUUAUUGUGUACUUUGAAGAGGUAAACAUGAACUAAUUCUAAAAUUUAUGUAGAUUUAGACAGUUCAACGUAUAUUAAGAACUAUUGUCUAAAUUUAUGUAUAUUCAUGCAGGACCAAAAGCACGGACAAUACUGUGUAUUUUCAUUGUAUUUUUAAAAUAGACAAUUACAAAAAAAUUGACAACGUAAUUGUUCAAUGUGUUUAAAAAAUUAUUGUGUUAGUGUAUUAAAACAUGUUAAAGGUGUUUGCAGAAAUGUAAGAACAAUUUACACAAUAAAUUAUAAAAUAAACUUUGACCAUUUUUUUAAGUACAUGUCAAUUUUUUGAAUGCAUGACAAACAUCAUUCAAAAACACGUUUACAAUUUUAUAAUACACGUGAAACAUUUUUCAAAAACAUGUUGAACAUUUUUUUUCAAAUGCACUAGCAUAUUCCCUAAGUCUCCCUCAAUACGAUAACAAGUGAAGAAUUUAGGUGCACCAAACAAAUAUAGUUUUUGCAUGGUAACACCAAACAAAUAAAUUUUCACACGAAUGCAUACCACACACACACAAUAUCCGGUAUUAAGAAAAACAAUUACAUGCAGCCAUGCUGGGUGUAGUGUAUUUGUUAACAUGUGAAUGUUGUGCAUGUGAUGUCCUGGCAUCGAAUCCCUCUAGGCUCGUCCUUUUUCUUUCUUACUACUAUUUUUUUUCAUCCGCUCGCCCACGUUGAUAUGCAGGACCUAAACAUGACAGGUUGGAUCCAUUAUCAGUCUGCAUCCGUAUGCCAUACAUUUAUGUGUAAUUAAAUAAAACCUAAGGGAGUUGGCUGUAAAUAAAAUGCUCUCACUCAUUGACAUGCAGACCGUCGCCAUGCUGGCGUGCCACAUGGGCAAGGCGUACACCCGGAUACGGGAGGCACAGUAUUUGCAUGCUCGGACAAGUUCGAGCACCAUUUUUAUGUAUUUUACAACUUUAGACACCAAACUGACUGCACAAGACAAGUUAACGCACUCAUGGUGUAUUUAUCUCUAAAAUAAACUUGAAAAGGAAGAAAAAAGGAAAAAAAGAUGAGAAAAAGAAAGAGAAAACGGAAAAAAGAAAAACAAAAACGAGAAAACCCAAGAAGAAACAGUAAACGGGUAAAAAGGACCAAAAAAAUGAUUCAUGUAACCUACUAGAAGGUUCCCAAAAACGGCUGGCUAUGUUUGGUAUAAUGGGUUGUCCAUUGCUAGCGUUGCGGGGUUUUGUGUGUGCCUUGCGUCGACAGUUCGAGGCAUCGAGCGGCAAAUAGGGUUUUCCGGCAAGGCCAAUGGUGGGCUGCUUAUUUUUAGCUCUCGUGUAGUAACUAUUUUGUUUUAUUUCAGACCUAUCGUCGGCCGGAUUCUGGGCGAAUCCUAUUUAGCGCUGCAGGUGCCGGUUACUACUAUUUCUGCAAACCGGCGCCUACCGCCACAUGAUCGAUGGAAGGAAACAUGGAGCGAUCUUUUUCCGAGACGAAAAGCAAGGAGCGAUCGAUCGAAGCGGCGAUUGCCCAACAAGAUGGGCCGGCCAACUACGCGGCUGCGUGUGCGCCAGUUCCUCGAAACGGCGCUUGCAGCGCUGAUUAGGAGGACCCCGGAUUGUGUGUUGCAUCACCUGCGCAUCAAGGUGGCCCAUGUGCAGAAGGGCGCAGGUUGCUGAUUUGUUCCUCAUCACCCGGUGUGGGAUGGUGCGCCCUACUUAUCUACCGCGAGGACUAUAUCUCGCUUUACACGAGCCUUAAGCACCUCUCUCGCUGAAGGAUUUCUUCCCUCGCACAGAAACUAGGUCGGCCCGAUUAUUUUUUUAUUUUGAUCGCUGGCGACAGCUGUCACGCGACGCUCGCUCGGGAGCGAUCGCUUUACUGGUUCGAUUCCUCUUUUUUCUCUAUUUUUUCUUCUCCGAUCUUUUGUUUUCCCUUUAUUUCUCAUCGGUUUUCUGUGUCUUCUUCAUGGUUUUCUUUGCCUUUUCUAUUAUAUUUGCUUUUUUUUAUUUGCUUUCUUUGUUUCUUUUUUCGAUUCUCAUCAAUUUGUUUAUCUUUGUUUUUAUUCGCUUCUUUCUAGGGUUUCAUUUGUUUUUUUCUUUUCUUUCUUUGUUUCUUUGUUUUUUCUUGGUUUUCUCGGUUUCAUUUUUCACAAUGUUUUUGCUGUUUUAUUAUUUUGUUCUUGUUUUCUUGGUUUUUCAUUGCUUUUUUCCAAUUUUAUUGGUUUGUUUUUUAUAACAUGUGUUAAAUUUGUUUUCAAUACACAUUCAAAAAAAUUCUCAUAUAUCAGAUUUUUUUAUAUACACGUUUAACAAAUUUGUAAAACUUGAUUAAUUUUUCUAAAAUUAUUUUUUUAUUUCUACUUUUUCAUAUAGAUUGUACAUUUUUUGUAUAUAUGUAUUGCAUAUUUUUAAUACACAUUUAACACUUUUCAAAUACAAGUUUAACAUUUUUUUGAUACAUGGUCAACAAUUAUUGUUUCUUGUCUUUCAAUAUUUUUUCUUUGUUUCGUUAUUAAUUUGGAUCAAGGGCGAGCGGAUAUUUUUGAGAUUGCGAGGGAUGCAGAGGCGGGAGUAAAAUGUCGGGGCUACUGAAAAUUUGAAUCAAGGGACUGAAGCAAAGCGGGGGUAACAAACAUCGCACACGGUCCGCACAUACUAAUCGUGUGCUAUCAAACAUUAAACCUUCCAGGCGGUAGAUAUUUUCGAGAUUGCGAGGGAUGCAUAGGCGGGAGUUUUUGGGGAGUGAGCUAGUGUGCUUGACACGCCGGUUGUGGACUGUAGCCGACGCACCUUCUUGUGUAAGCCAUAGGCGUACUAUACACCGACGGUGCUCCAAGAUAUUUUGUACUACAUCUCACACGGUUGGUCAUAAUAAACUGUGUGGGAUGUACUUGAUUUGUAUUACAAAAUGGGGUCACAGCGGCAAUGGACACUGUUUGAAUUGCUAGACCUUUUAUCUGCAGUGAACAUGCAACUAUAUGUGUGUCGUAAAAGAAUUGGAAUUAUUCAGGGUUCGUUUGGACAUUUUAUACAUUAAACUGGUUUUGUAGCCAUUUCACGUGCACAAUUCAAAAUUAAACUACAUGCACAUGCUCCGGUGCAUACAAAUUGGUUGAAAAAUCAAAUUUGUGUCCUUUAGUGCAUGCUUAGGUCCCAUGCAAGAAAUGGGAAUGAAUUUUUGGGGUUCGUUUGACCUUUUUUAAACAUUAACUGGGUUUUCUAGGCAUUUUAUAUGCAUAAUUCAAAUUUGAACUACAAGCACAUGCUCCAAUGCACCAAAGUUGGUUGAAAACUCACAUGUGUGUCCUUGGGUGAAUUUCUAGGUCCCAUGCAAGAGAUGGGAAUGAAAUUCAAACACCAGGGCGCUGUUGAUUGCCGGCAAAACGUUGAGAUGCCUGGUUUUUAAAUUCUAGUAAAUCCAAAACUCGUAUGAAAUUCAUGAAACUUGGCGUGCUAUCAUGGAGCGGCAUCAACAUGCCGUGGUAAAAUUUUUGUUUCAUUUGGGGCAGGUUUGAGUAUAAGCUUCUCACAAACCAGAGCUUCUCACAACAAGCAUGGUGGUUUCGAUAGGGAACGUACCAUCUUUGGGGACGGGACGAUAUUCGUUGCCUCUUAUUGCUUUCAAAAAUUUUCUAGUGUCAACAUAGAACAACAGGAGUGUUGUGUUUAAUCUCAGAAUUUUUGGGGUUCGUUUGGCCUUUUUUAUACAUUAACUGGGUUUUCUAAGCAUCUUAUAUGCAUAAUUCAAAUUUGAACUACAAGCACAUGCUCCAAUGCACUAAAGUAGGUUGAAAAAUCACAUGUGUGUCCUUGGGUGAAUUUCUAGGUCCCAUGCAAGAGAUGGGAAUGAAAUUCAAACACCAGGGCGCUGUUGAUUGCCGGCAAAACGUUGAGAUGCCUGGUUUUUAAAUUCUAGUAAAUCCAAAAUUCGUCUGAAAUUCAUGAAACUUGGCAUGCUAUCAUGGAGCGGCAUCAACAUGUCGUGGUAAAAAAUUGUCCCAUUUGGGGCAGGUUCGGGUAUAAGCUUCUCACAAACCAGAGCUUCUCACAACAAGCAUGAUGGUUUCGAUAGGGAACGUCCCACCUUUGGGGACGAAACGAUAUCCAUUGCCUCUUAUUGCUUUCAAUUUUUUUCUUAUGUCAACAUAGAACAACAGGAGUGUUGUGUCAAUUUUUGGGAUUUUCGGGGUUCGUUUGGAUAUUUUUAUGCAUUAACUGAGUUUUCAAUGCAUUUAUGUGCAUAAUUCAAAUUUGAACUAGAUGCACAUGCUCUAGUGCAUAUAAAUUGGUUGAAAAAUAAAAUAUGUGUCCUUGGGUGCAUGCUUAGGUCCCAUGCAAGAAAUGGGAAUGAAUUUCAAACACCAGGGCACCGUUGAUUACCGGCAAAACAUUGAGAUGCCUCGUUUUUAAAUUCUAGUAAAUCCAAAACUUGUCUGAAAUUCAUGAAACUUGGCAUGCUAUCAUGGAGCGGCAUUAACAUGCCAUGGUAAAAAAAUUGUCCCAUUUGGGGCAGGUUUGGGUAUAUGCUUCUCACAAACUAGAGCUUCUCACAACAAGCCUAAUGGUUUCGAUAGGGAACGUACGUCCCACCUUUGGGGACGAAACGAUAUCCAUUGCCUGCUACUGCUUUCAAAUUUUUUCUCGUGUCAACAUAGAACAACAGGAGUGUUGUGUCAAUUUUUGGGAUUUUUCGGGGUUCGUUUGGACAUUUUUAUGCAUUAACUGAGUUUUCUAGGCAUUUUAUGUGCAUAAUUCAAAUUUGAACUACAUGCACAUGCCCAAGUGCAUAUAAAUUGGUUGAAAAAUCACAUGUGUGUCCUUGGGUGCAUGCUUAGGUCCCAUGUAAGAGACGGGAAUGAAUUUCAAACACCAGGGCAAUGUUGAUUGGCUGCAAAAUGUUGAGAUACCUGGUUUUUAAAUUCUGGUAAAACCAAAACUCGUCUGAAAUUCAUGAAACUUGGCAUGCUAUCAUGGAGCGGCAUCAACAUGUCGUGGUGAAAAUUUUGUCCCAUUUGGGACAGGUUUGGGUAUAAGCUUCUCACAAACCAGAGCUUCCCACAAGCAUGAUGGUUUCGAUAGGGAACGACGUACCACCUUUGGGGACGAGACGAUACCCGUUGCCUCUUAUUGCUUUCAAAAAAAUUCUAGUGUCAACAUAGAACAACAGGAGUGUUGUGUUUAAUCUUGGAAUUUUUCGGGGUUCGUUUGGCCUUUUUUAUACAUUAGCUGUGUUUUCUAGGCAUUUUAUGUGCAUAAUUCAAAUUUGAACUACAAGCACAUGCUCCAAUGCACCAAAGUUGGUUGAAAAAUCACAUGUGUGUCCUUGGGUGAAUUUCUAGGUCCCAUGCAAGAGAUGGGAAUGAAAUUCAAACACCAGGGCACUGUUGAUUGCCGGUAAAACGUUGAAAUGCAUGGUUUUUAAAUUCUAGUAAAUCAAAAACUCGUCUGAAAUUCAUGAAACUUGGCAUGCUAUCAUGGAGCGGCAUCAACAUGCCGUGGUAAAAAAUUUGUCCCAUUUGGGGCAGGUUCGGGUAUUAGCUUCUCACAAACCAGAGCUUCUCACAACAAGCAUGAUGGUUUCGAUAGGGAACAUCCCACCUUUGGGGACGAAACGAUAUCCACUGCCUCUUAUUGCUGUCCAAAAUUUUCUAGUGUCAACAUAGAACAACAGGAGUGUUGUGUCAAUUUUUGUGAUUUUUUGGGGUUCGUUUGGACAUUUUUUUGCAUUAACUGGGUUUUCUAGGCAUUUUAUGUGCAUAAUUCAAAUUUGAACUACAAGCACAUGCUCCAAUGCACUAAAGUUGGUUGAAAAAUCUAAUCUGUGUCCUUGGGUGAAUUUCUAAGUCCCAUGCAAGAGAUGAGAAUCAAAUUCAAACACCAGGGCACUGCUGAUUGCCGGCAAAACAUUGAGAUGCCUGGUUUUUAAAUUCUAGUAAACUCAAAACUCGUUUGAAAUUCAUGAAACUUGGCAUGCUAUCAUGUAGCGGCACCAACAUGCCGUGGUAAAAAAAAUUGUCCCAUUCGGGGCAGGUUCGGGUAUAUUCUUCUGACAAACAAGAGCUUCUCACAACAAGCAUGAUGGUUUCGGUAGGGAACGUCCCACCUUUGGGGACGAAACGAUAUCCAUUGCCUCUUAUUGCUUUCAAAAAAUUUCUCGUGUCAAGAUAGACCAACAUGAGUGUUGUGUCAAUUUUUGGGAUUUUUCGGGGUUCGUUUGGACAUUUUUAUGCAUUAACUGAGUUUUCCAUGCAUUUAUGUGCAUAAUUCAAAUUUGAACUACAUGCACAUGUUCUAGUGCAUAUAAAUUGGUUUAAAAAUCAAAUCUGUGUCCUUGGGUGCAUGCUUAGGUCCCAUGCAAGAAAUGGGAAUGAAUUUCAAACACCAGGACGCCGUUGAUUGCCAGCAAAACAUUGAGAUGCCUGGUUUUUAAAUUCUAGUAAAUCCAAAACUCGUCUGAAAUUCAUGAAACUUGGCAUGCUAUCAUGGAAUGGCACCUGACAUGCUGUGGCAUUUUUUGUGUCCAUUUUGAGAGAAGGCGCACUCGAAUAAUGACAGCCAACAAAGGCAUUUUGAAAAAAUAGCUGCCACUUUAAUAUCUCAAACGUUUAUAGAAUUCAAACCGUGUGUGUUCUGUUAACCAUUCACGUGACGCCAUGUGUCUUGGUUUUAAUGGCUGUAGGAGGUGCCGUGCGGACAGCUGCUUGACCUUGAUUGAACGGGAGGCGUGCGAGCGCAGUCGGGUGCGCAGGCUGACCGAGAGGCGUGCAAGCUGUCCUCCAAUGCGCAGGCUCACCGGGAAGCGUGCGAGCUGUACGCUGUGCAGGCUCACUGGGAAGCGAGCCCUUUGACUUCCAUGGCCGCCCGCCUUCCUCUCCAUUAAUGGUGCCCGAGCCGCUGUUUAAUACGGGCGACCUUACUAUUCGCCUACCAUUCCCCUCCGUCCUGCAGACCUCCACCAACGCCAUGGCGCAGAACGAUCAUCUGCCACUAGUCUUCAAGUUUGGUGAAGUCGACUCCGAGCUGGAGGAGAUAGAAAAUAAGGAGGAAUGGGGCCUCAUGGACAUGGCCCAGAACGAGCUGGCCGUGGCGGUUGCUGCCCCCACUCCCGUCCUAGCUCCCAUCCCCGCGCCCGCGCCAGCGACCAUCCCCGUAGCAUUGACGGGCUGGUCGCCGAGCACUAUCGCAGAGCUGGAAGCCACAGGUGUCAGCGAGGUCUCCGCGGACCUGCGCGAGCUCGUGUACAUGCCAGCGCCCGUGCCCGUGCCCGCCCCUCCAUCCACCAUGGCACCGGCCCCCGUGCGUUUGGCUGCACCCGCCACGCUCGUGCCCGUGCUCGUGCGCGCGCGCCCCUCAGCGGCAUGGGACGCUGCCGUCGACCGCUACCUCUCAGCGGCGCCAGUUGCCGUCCUCCCACGCCCCGCCGGUCAAUCGCGCGAUGACAUGAUGUUUGAUUUACAAGUGAAGAACAUUUUGUGCUGCCUUCAAGACUUCAACAACGGUGUCCCGUAGGACGACAACGACAACGACGGCGUGGCACGCCGCCUCCGCUGCCGCCGGAAAUGUUUUUUUUUGUUUAAUACUGUAUCUCGAAUUCUCGAUCAUAUGAAUAUAAAUUCAUAGUGUGACUGAAUGAAAGAUAUGGUUUGAACAAACUUGCGUUUUUCUCUCUUAAUGUACAGACUUAUCAAACGAUUUUCUUUUGAAAAAAACGUCAAUGGUUUUUACAUAUAAAACAAUCAUCACAAACGUUUUAGUUAGAACACCCGUAUGCAAACCAACAGCUUCCCCAGGAGGCAAGGGAAAAUGUGCCGAGCAGGAUUUUUGCAUCCCUUCAACGCAAACGGUUGUUUUGCAUGACCCGUGUGCAACCACGUAGAAACAAUUGGGUAAGAUUUGCAUAUCUUUCAUUUUGGGUAUGUUGCCAUUUGUCAAACUGGAAAGAUUGACAUUUGUUUAUCUAGUAACAUUGCCAUCUGUCAACCUUGUAACACUGCGAUUUGUCAAAAUAUGCAGCUAAAAAUCACUAGCACUAUCUAAUUUUUGCAACUAAAAUCACUGGCACUGUUCAUAUGGACACCACUAGCACGCGUGAGUGGAUGGACGCAUAUGCAAAUGUACCAUUGAUUACAUACAACAAGUCAUCAGCCCACAACGACAACUAGGAUACACAUUGGAUUAUAGAUCAUUUCCAACAAAACAUUCUAGUAAAGUUUUUCUCACACAACAACUAAUAAAGUGAUGAAAUGAACUUCAGCUCAACCACUCGUCGGCGUUGGAAACACUUGCUUUGAACCAGAAGUGAUUCUCUGGGAAGGGCCAACUACUGUCAAUCUCAAGACCAACGCAGGACUGAUCAUCCAGGCUGAAGCGGCCUAUGUCAGGACCCAUAUUGGGACGGUAGGGAAGCAUAGCAAUGUCCUAGGUAUAGAUACAGUUGCUUCUCCUAAAUGGUAGUAACGUUGUGUCAACAACAGCUGGAUCGCCUUCCACCAUCAUUGGAUAGUUUUGUCCAAGGAAGAGCGAGUUUCCUCCAAUACUUUCAAUACUGAACCAGGGAGAAGGUGUUGGCGCUAGUACACCAGUAUCCACCCCGAAUACCCUGCAACGGAUGUUGGAAUAGGUCCGGAGAGUGUGACCAUGCGAGACAACACCUGCUUCCUUAGUAACAUCAGCAGUGCCCUGUAUACAGACAAGAAGAGGUGAUCCAUCAGAAGAAGUUGCCAGGCACCACUGAGUAUAUGGGUCCUGCUCGUCCUCAUGCUCGUGAUCAUCAGCAUCGUCAUCUCCCCCUUGGUUAUAAAAUUUUUCAAGUAUAGGUGGUGGAAUGUUCACAGGACCUUGGAAACACAAGAAGGUUAAUUAAUUAGUAAAGGGAAACUAGCUAACCCGCAUGCAUGUGGAUGAAACAAUUAUAAUUACAGUGGAAGACAAACGUACCGAAAGCAUUAGGAUUCCAUGCAAAAACAGUGCCACGAGUGGUGGCAGCAAACACAAGACCCUCGUAUUGAAUUGCAUCACAGUACUCAUCCGUGUACAGAAAUUGAUUUUUGAGCAAUAUCCAUCGAGGCGUGGAAGUAAGGACGGCAACAAGCUUGUCGAAGAUAGCAACAACUUCAUAGUUCGUGUAAUCCCAAGAGCGGUUGGGAACGCGACAAAUUGCUAUCUUCCGUAGAAGACAGUCACCAUGAUCGUAUUUGAACUCACGUAGAAUACCGGUGUACUCAACCUCUAGGCAGUCGCCUGAGAUUUUUGGAAGUGGAAUCCGAUGACGAGUGUACACAUUCACAAGUUCCCACUCGCAAUUGUACCCAAUAUAAAAAACCCAAUCUCCAUUUGCGCCUGCCCAAGCCUUACCCUCAAGCGAUGGCAUCUUAACAUCAUACGUAUCAUUAUCAAGCGGCAUCAACUUGCACAAGGCGAGGCUUCCCUCGUCCCCGCGCCAGUCAGCAGGAUCACGGUGAAGAAGAUAGGGGAGACCAAACUGCUCCUGGACCCUUGGGUUCCUUGUAAUGAUGUUAUUAGUUUAGUCGAGAAUGGUCUUGAACAAACCUACCAUGCUAGCCGAGGUGAUGACGUCGCACCGAUCAAUGAGUUCCUCCACCACGUCAUCUUUCAGAUCGGGGCAAGAAUAACGGGGUCGUUUCCGGUCUGUUCCCUCCAUGGAGAAGAUGAUCGAACAAUGGCACAAGCAAGGGUGAAGGCAAAUGGAGGGAGGAAGAGCGUGCGACAGCAGUUCCAAAUCGAGAGGGAAAGGCGAAGAGGCGGUGGACGGUUGCCACGGUACACGAAGAGGCGCCUGGGGAGCAAAUGGUUGCCACAGAGGUCACACACUGACGACAAGGGCCGAGUGAACCGCAUGCGUAUAUCGCACACACCUUGAUCUGGCUGACCGUUUCUUUUGUGUUGCCUAAUCACAAACAGUUCAUCCGAGUGAACCGUAUGCUGUGUAUCGCACACACCUUCAUCUGUCUGCGUGUUUCUUUUGUGUUGCCUAAUCACAAAUAGUUCAUCCGAGUGAACCGUAUGAUGUAUAUCGCACACACCCUCAUCUGGCUGCCCGUUCCUUUUGUGUUGCCUAAUCACAAACAGUUCAUCCGAGUGAACCGUAUGCUGUGUAUCGCACACGCCUUCAUCUGGCUGCCCAUUUCUUUUGUUCCUCCUCGUUGCAAAUAGUUAAUUGAACUGAACCGUAUGCCCUUCAUCGCACACACAACUAAAACCUGAACCGUGUUUGAUGCAUCCGUCAUCGCAAACGUUUUAUACAUUUCUGACGGUUUUCAUACACCACCGUUUGCGAUUAUGGCAUCGCACACAGUUUCUCGAAGGGUUUCUGAUCGUAGUGUCGCGUUAGCAGCAUCCUACAGUAGUGUCUAAUUAUGAGGAUUAGAGGAUCUAGGUCUAGCUCUAAUUGAUCAACUAGGACCAACUAGAACUAGAACUAGAGAACUAGAGGAGGCUCCAAAACUUGUGUGUAGAAAAAGUGCCAAAACCUCUAGUAUAUAUAAGUAGGAGGGAGAGGAAACGACGCCACAUAAGAGGGGAAAGUCUCCCCCUUGCACCGGCCUAAUUCGACCUCCCCUCUCUCCUUUCCAUGGGAAAGUGGGGCGCCACUUGUGGCCCAAUACUCCUUCCACCUCUUCGCCUUUUAAGGCCUGUUGAUAUUAAAUUAAAUAUAAAAGUCUCCUAACUAUUAUUAGAGCCUUUUAUUAUCAAUUUAACAUCCCUGGAAACAUUUUCCAGCUAUAUAUUAUUUAUCGGUAAUACCCGGUAUUGCCCAAUAAACUCCGAAACCCUUCCGGUGACCCCAAAAGCUUAUGGUUCCUCUCGUAACUUUGUCGUAUAUUAAUGGAAAAAAAUUCAUGAAUACAAUCCAUUACUCCCGUCCUACUAACACUCAGUAGAUCAUGAUUACCUUAAGCUUAUGACCCUGUAGGUUUGGUAAAACAUACAUGAACAAAAACCCCUUUGUUCAAUGACCAAUAGCGGAACCGUGGACGUCCAUAUCGAUCCCUAUGAGUAGACGAAUGACAUUCGAGCGAAUCUUUUGAUUAUCAUGUGCUAUUCCCUUUACUUUAUACUUUACAAAAUCCGAGGUGAGAUGUAUCAGUAUCCUCUUGAGUCAUACACAUGCUAACUAUACCGGUCUCCUCGUUACCAGUUUUGUUCUUCUUUCUCAUUGACAUGUUCCGGCAUCCCUGUGACAUAGUCACCUGUGUCUGGCCAAACAAUGAUGGAUAUCAUCACACCAAGAGGACCCUAAUAAUAUCUCUCCAUCGUCGGUGGAGCAAAUUCCACUCUUGAGCUAUCUAGUCCCUUGUCAAACUUUUUGAUGAACCUGUAAGUUGUCAUUAUGAUCACCUUGUUACGGAUGAUGUUUGAGCAACCCCAAAGUUCAUCAUACGGUAAGAAGUGACUACGAUACUCUCAUGGUCUAAGGAACUAGAACACAUGUUAACACUCCAUAUCAUAACAAUUGACUUCACACGAUAUUAUCUCAAAGUAUAUCAAACAAGUUUUGGGUCGAUUCAAUAUGAUCGUUCUUCUAACGUCAUACUCUCAAUGUUGUUUUAGGAUUAUCAUUACACUUAAUGAUAUCCUAAGAUCCAGAAAACAUUAUCACCAACAACACUUGAGCUAGUCUUAGAGGCAAGACUAGGAACCUAAUAUACCGUUUAUCAUUCCACAUGUGCAUAUGUGUUUUCCAUUUAAUCGCACAUUCCAGGAUCAUAGCGGUUAUAACCUAGAAUAUAAACUCUUAUUUAUGAAGAUGAAAGAUAUAAUAAUACAAUAUUAUUUCCUCUAGGACAUAUUUCCAACAGUCUCCCACUUGCACUAAUGUCAAUAAUCUAGUUUGCAUAGUUUCUCUAACACCUAUGGCCAUCCGGUGUUGCUCAUGCUUUGCUCGUGGUAAAGCCUUCAUUAUCGGGUCUAACACAUUCAAAUCCGUGUGAACCUUGAGAACUUUCACAAAAUCCUUCUCGACAUACCGUUGGACGAUGUGAUACUUGCACUCGAUGUGUCUGGUCUUCAUGUGGGAUCUUGGUUCCUUUGCUUGAGCAACAACACCACUGUUAUCACAAUAGAGUGCCAUUGGGCUCAUUGCACUUGGGCCGCAAUAUACUCUGCUUCUGUCAUAGAAUCCGCAACAGUGUUCUAUUUGAAACUUUUCCAAACCACCGCACCCGCACCACCAUUAAGGGUAUAACCAUAUCCUGAUUGAGAUUUAUAGUCAUCUAUAUUAGUCAUGAAGCUAGCAUUUAUGUAACCAUUUACUAUGAGUUCUUCAUCUCCUCCAUAGACAAAGAGCAUGUCCUUUGUACUUUUGAGGUACUUAAGAAUAUGUUUAAUAGCUGUCCAGUGAGCCAAUCUAGGAUCAUUUUGGUACCUGCUGCUAACACUUAGCGCAUAAGAAAUAUCUGGUCUAGUACAUAUCAUAGCAUACAUGACGGAUCCAAUUGCAUAUGCAUAUUUUACACCACUCAUUUGCACUCGCUCAUUAACUAUCUUGGGACAUUGAUUUCUUCUAAGUGUUGUGCCAUGUGACAUUGGGAGAAAACCUUUCUUUGCAUUCUCCAUUUUAAACCUCUUUAAAAUCUUGUCAAUGUACGUGCUUUGUCUUAGCGCAAUUAGAUGUCUCGGUCUAUCUCUAUAGAUCUUUAUGCCUAAUAUAUAAGCUGCUUCACCUAAGUCUUUCAUUGAAAACACACUCUUUAAAUAGUCUUUUAUCAUGCUAAGAAAACUUAUAUCAUUUUCGAUCAACAAUAUGUCAUCUACAUAUAAGAUUAGAAAUGCUAUAGAGCUCCCACUAAACUUCUCGUAUACACAAGCUUCUUCAUCAUUUUUAAUGAAGCCAAACUCUUUAACCACUUCAUCAAAAUGUUGAUUCUAGCUCCUUGAUGCUUGCUUCAAACCAUGGAUAGAUCUUUGAAGCUUUCACACCUUACCGAUAUCCUUAGGAAUUACAGAGCCUUCUGGUCAUAUAAUAUAUACAUCCUCUUUGAGAUUUCCAUUUGGGAAAGUAGUUUUGACAUCCAUCUGCCAUAUUUCAUAGUUGAAAUAUGUAGCAAUUGCCAUCAUGAACAGCACAGACUUUAACAUGGCUACUAGUGAUAAAGUUUCAUCAUAUUCAACUCCCUCAACCUGCAAAAAUCUUUCAGAACUAAGCUUGCUUUAUAGAUAGUAGGAUUACCAUUCGCAUAUGUUUUUCUUUUGAAGAUCCAUUUACAUUGUAUGGGUUGCACACCCUCUAGAGGAUCAACCAAGUUCCAAACUUGAUUUUCAUACAUGGACUCCAUUUCAAAUUGCAUGGCUUUAAGCAAUUCUUUUGAGCUGGGCGCUGCCACCACUUCUUUGUAGUGCGCAGGUUCAUCUUCCUCUAAGAUGAAUAUUUCAUCGUGAAACGAUUCAGGAGGUUCGAUAGUUACAGUCUUAACUGGAGUUUCUACAGCUGGUGUAGCAACUUCUGGUUCAGUUGUAUAAACAACUUCUGGAAUAGAUUCCGUUUCGUUAGUCUUGUUCACUUCUGAAGAUUCAGUAAUCUCGUUAAGUGGACUAUCCUCCCACUUACUUCUUUAGCGAGAAACUCCUUAUCGAGAAAGUGUCCAUUCUUUGCAACAAACACUUUGUCUUCGGACUUUUGGUAGAAGGAAUACCCAAUUGUUUCUUUGGGAUAUCCUACGAACUAACAUUUAGCUGCUUUGGGAUCGAGCUUAUUUUGUUGUAAUUACCCCCAAAUCUUGAGAUGUGAUAAGUUGGAUUUCUUCCCAUUCCAUAACUCAUAUGGUGUCGUCUCUACAGAUUUAAACUGCUCUAUUUAGUGGAUGUGCAGCUGCUUCAAAUGCAUAUCCCCAAAAUGAUAAAGGUAGAUCAGUAAAUGACAUCACUGACCUCACCAUGUCUAAAAAAGUCUUAUGCCUUUCAGAUACUCCGUUUCUUUCUGGAGUUCCGAGACGAGUAAGUUGUGAAAUAAUUCCACAAUCACUUAGAUGUUUGCUAAACUCAUGACCUAGAUAUUCUCCACCAUGAUCUGAUCAUAGAAACUUUAUCUUUUUUCCAUGAUGAUUCUCAACUUAGUUUUGAAAUUCUUUGAACUUUUCAAACGUUUCAAACUUAUGUUUCAUCAAGUAAAUAUAACCAUAUCUACUCAAAUCAUCAGUGAUGGUUAUGAAUUAUAAGUAUCUACCGUGCGUCGGUAUACUCAUCAGACCACAUACUUCACUAUGUAUUAUAUCCAACAAUUAAUGCACUCGUUCAGGAUGACCAGUGAACGGCAUUUGAGUCAUUUUACCCAUCAGACAAUCUUCGCAUGUAUCAAAUGAUUCAAAAUCAAAUGAUGUCAAUACUCCAUCUCUAUGAAAUUUCUGCAUACAUUUCUUUUUGAUGUUACCAAGACGGCAGUGCUACAUGUAAGUAGUAUUAUCAGUCUUCUUAAGAUGUUUAACAUUAAUGUUAUAUACAUCAUUUUCACAUUCAAGAUCCAUUAUGAAAAAGUCACCAACCAUGGGUGCAAAUCCAUAAAACAUAUUCUUAUAAAAUAUUGAACAACUAUUGCUCUCAGACUUAACUUCAUUUAUCAAACAUGAUCCAGAGAUAAUGUUCUUACAUAACUUCAGAACAAAAUAACAAUUAUUCAGUUCUAAGAUAAAUCCCGAAGGCAAACUUAAAGACCUGACACCGAUGGCUUGAGAAGCAAUCCCAUUCCCAUUCCCGACACACAUCAAACUUCAUUUCCAUUCAGCCUACAAACAUUCCGUAGUCCCUGCAUCAUGUUGAAAAUGUGAGCAACUGAUCCGGUAUCAAAUACUCAUGACUUAUAGGAACUUUCAGCAAGUAGAACCUUAAUAAAAUUGACUUGUAUAACUUUUAUAGCUUUACAAGAAGAUGUGUUCUUCUUAUCGGCUAGAUAUUUCAACCAAUUUCUCUUGCAGUGGCCUUUUUCAUUGUAGUAGAAACAUAUAAUCUCACAAGAAGCUCCACCCUUGUUCCUCUUGGUGUUGCCUAUCUUCUUGAAACUUUCUGUUUUGUUUACCAACAACUUUUGUUGGUUUUGCAUCCCGAUCUCAUUGGUUUUGAGCAUUGUUUCAUAAAGCGAAGUAAGGAUCAUAUCAUUUUCUGGUGUCUUGGGAAAAUUAAUCCUCGUUGCAGUAAUACUAUCGUAAUAGUCUGCAAGCCUCACAAUAUGCUCAUCACUAGAGAUUCUUCAGUUAUUUUGCAUUCUUCCAUUACUCCAGUCAUCUCAUGAACUUUAGCUGUUUUUUUGUGAUACAGAGCUUCCAGUGCCUCGAAAAUUUUGAUGGUACUGAGUUGUUCAAAACAUUUCUAUAAACUGAAUCCAUGCAAGAUAACAUAAUACUUUUGACAACAGUGAAAUCAUCCUUGCGAGAUAUAAACACGUUGGUGACAUCUGAUAACCCAUAAGUAUAGGGGAUCAAUUGUAGCCUCUUUCGAUAAGUAAGAGUGUUGAACCCAACGAGGAGCUAAAGGUAGAACAAAUAUUCCCUCAAGUUCUAUCGACCACCGAUACAACUCUACGCACGCUUGGCGUUCGCUUUACCUAUAACAAGUAUGAAACUAGAAGUACUUUGUAGGUGUUGUGGGAUAGGUUUGCAAGAAUAUAAAGAGCACGUAAAUAAAAACUAGGGUCUUUUUAGAUAAAGAAGCAAUAAAGUUAGUAUAGCGAGUGUGGAAAAGUGGUGGUAGGAGUUGCGAAAUUGUCCCUAAGCAAUAGACUACGUUACUAGACCGAUAGCAAGUUUUAUGUGGGAGAGGCCACUUCUAGCAUGUCAUCCCUGACUUGGAAUUCUAUGCACUUAUGAUUGGAACUAUUAGCAAGAAUCCGCAACUACUAACGUUCAUUAAGGUAAAACCCAACCAUAGCAUUAAGAUAUAUUGGUCCCCCUUCAAUCCCGUAUGCAUCAAUUUCUAUGCUAGGUUGAAGUUUCUGUCACUCUUGCCCUCCAAUACAUAGUCCUAUCAACAUACAACUAACCCUUGGUGUGAUCCACGCGUGCGCUCAUAUGAUGGGCACCAAAGGACAGCAACAUAGCCACACGCAAAUUAAACCAAUCAUAGCAAUUCACCAAUUACCGAUAGGACAACGAAAAUCUACCCAAACAUCAUAGGAUGGCAACACAUCAUUGGAUAAUAAUAUGAAGCAUAAAGCACCAUGUUCAAGUAGAGGGUACAGCGGGUUGCGGGAGAGUGGACCGUUGUAGAUAGAUGGGGGAAGGUGAUGAAUAUGUUGGUGAAGAUGACGGAGGUGUUGAUAUAGAUUGCGGUGAUGAUGAUGGCCUCGGCGGCGUUCCGGCGCCAUCGGGAGAGAGGGGAGAGAGCCCCCCUCCUUAUUCUUCUUCCUUGACCUUCCCCCUAGAUGGGAGAAGGGUUUCCCCUCUGGUCCAGGGCCUCCAUGGUGGCAGAGGGGCAAGAGCCCAUCCGAGAUUGGAUCUGUCUCUCUGUCUCUCUCUGGUUCUGCGCUCCAGAUUCUGGCCUUUCACCAUUUCUUAUAUUCCCGGAGAUCCGUAACUCCGAUUGGGCUAAAUUUUGGACACGAUCUCUAUCUGGAUAUUAGCUUUCUUGCAGCGAAAGAAGGGUACCAACCUCCUUACGGGGUGGCCACGAGGGUCCAGGGCGCGCCUGACCCCCUAGGGCGCGCCCCCUGCCUCGUGGCCCCCUCACGCAUCGUCUCACGUUGUUUCCACUUCCCAAAAUUCACAUAUAUUCCAAAAAAAUCUUCGUCAGUUUUUAUCCCGUUUGGACUCCGUUUGAUAUGGAUUUUCCGCGAAACAAAAAACUUGCAACAAACAGGAAGUGGCACUGGGCACUGGAUCAAUAUGUUAGUCCCAAAAAUGGUAUAAAAAGUUGCCAAAAGUAUGUAAAAGUUGUAGAAUAUUGGCAUGGAACAAUCAAAAGUUAUAGAUACGACGGAGACGUAUCAGCAUCCCCAAGCUUAAUUCCUGCUCAUCCUCGAGUAGGUCAAUGAUAAAAAAGAUAAUUUUUUUAUGUGGAAUGCUACCUAGCAUAAUCUUGAUCAUGUAAUCUAAUCAUGGCAUGAAUAUUAAGACACGAGUGAUUCAAAGCAAUAGUCUAUCAUUUGACAUUAAGACAAUAAUAUUUCAAGCAUACUAAUAAAGCAAUCAUGUCUUUUCAAAAUAACAUGGCCAAAGAAAGUUAUCCCUACAAAAUCAUAUGGUCUGGCUAUGCUCCAUCUUCACCACACAAAAUAUUCAAAUCAUGCACAACCCCGAUGACAAGCCAAGCAAUUGUUUCAUACUUUUGACGUUCUCAAACCUUUUCAACUUUCACGCAAUACAUGAGCGUGAGCCAUGGAUAUACCACUAUAGGUGGAAUAGAAUAUGAUGGUGGAGGUUGUGUGGAGAAGACAAAAAAGGGACAAAGUCUCACAUCGACGCGGCUAAUCAACGAGCUAUGGAGAUGCCCAUCAAUUGAUGUCAAUGCGAGGAGUAGGGAUUGUCAUGCAACGGAUGCACUAGAGCUAUAAGCAUAUGAAAGCUCAAACUGAAAACUAAGUGGGUGUGCAUCCAACUUGCUUGCUCAUGAAGACCUCGGGCAUUUGAGGAAGCCCAUCAUCGGAAUAUACAAGCCAAGUUCUAUAAUGAAAAUUCCCACUAGUAUAUGAAAGUGAUAUCUCAAGAGACUCUCUAUAUGAAGAACAUGGUGCUAAUUUGAAGCACAAGUGUGGUAAAAGGAUAGUAACAUUGCCCCUUCUCUCUUUUUCUCUCUUUUUGUUUUGUUUUGGUGGGCUUCUUUGGCCUCUCUUUUUUUAUUUGGGCUUCUUUGGCCUCUUUUAUUUUUUUGUAAAGUCCGGAGUCUCCUCCCGACUUGUGUGGGAAUCAUAGUCUCCAUCAUCUUUUCCUCACUGGGGCAAUGCUCUAAUAAUGAUGGUCAUCACACUUUUAUUUAAUUACAACUCAAUAUUACAACUCGAUGUCUAGAACAAAGUAUGACUCUAUAUGAAUGCCUCCGGCGGUGUACCGGGAUGUGCAAUGAUCUAGCAUAGCAAUGACAUCAAAAAACGGACAAGCCAUGAAAACAUCAUGCUAGCUAUCUUACGAUCAUGUAAAGCAAUAUGACAAUAAAUGCUCAAGUCAUGUAUAUGAUGAUGAUGGAAGUUGCAUGGCAAUAUAUCUCGGAAUGGCUAUGGAAAUGCCAUAAUAGGUAGGUAUGGUGGCUGUUUUGAGGAAGAUUAAGGAGGCUUAUGUGUAAUAGAGCAUAUCGUAUCACAGGGUUUGGAUGCACCGGCGAAGUUUGCACCAACUCUCGAGGUGAGAAAGGGCAAUGCGCGGUACCGAAGAGGCUAGCAAUGAUGGAUGGGUGAGAGUGCGUAUAAUCCAUGGACACAACAUUAGUCAUAAAGAACUCACAUACUUAUUGCAAAAAUCUAUUAGUCUUUGAAACAAAGUACUGCACGCAUGCUCCUAGGGGGAUAGAUUGGUAGGAGAAGACCAUCGCUCGUCCCCGACCGCCACUCAUAAGGAGAUAAUAAAUAAAUAAAUCAUGCUCCGACUUCAUCACAUAACGGUUCACCAUACGUGCAUGCUACAGGAAUCACAAACUUCAACACAAGUAUUUCUACAAUCCACAACUACCCACUAGCAUGACUCUAAUAUCACCAUCUUUAUAUCGCAAAACUAUUGCAAGGAAUCAAACAUAUCAUAUUCAGUGAUCUACAAGUUUUAUGUAGGAUUUUAUGACUAACCAUGUGAAUGACCAGUUCCUGUCAACUCUCUAAAUAGAUAUAAGUGAAGCAAGAGAGUUUAAUUCUUUCUACAAAAUAUAUUCCCACGCUCUAACAAAUAUAAGUGAAGCAAAAGAGCAUUCUCCAAAUGGCGGUUUUCUAUGUGUAGGGAAACAGGCAAUCCAUACUUCAAAUGAUAUAAGUGAAGCACAUGAAGCAUUCUAUAAAGCCAUACUCAAAAGAUAUAAGUGAAGUGCAAUGAGCAUUCUAUAAAUCAACCAUGGACUCUCUCAUACCAGCAUGGUGCAUAAAAUAAAAGUGAAAACUAAAUGCAAAAGACGCUCCAAGAUUUGCAUAUAUCACAUGAACGAAACGAAUCCGAAAACAUACCGAUACUUGUUGAAGAAAGAUGGGAUGCCUUCUGGGGCAUUCCCAAGCUUAGACGCUUGAGUCUCCUUGAAUAUUUACUUGGGGUGCCUUGGGCAUCCCCAAGCUUGAGCUCUUGCCUCUCCUCCUUCUCCUCACAUAGAGACCUCCUCGAUCUUCGAACACUUCAUCCACACAAAACUCAACGGAAAACUCGGUAAGAUCCGUUAGUAUAAUAAAGCAAAUCACUACUCUAAGUACUAUUGCAAACCAAUUCAUAUUUUGUUUUUGCAUUGUAGCUACUGUAAUAUAACUUUUCCAUGGCUUAAUCCACUGAUAGAAAUCGAUAAUUUCAACAAAAUAGAGCAAACUAUGCAUCAAAAACAAAAUCUGUCUUAAACAUGACAGUCUGUAGUAAUCUGAACAUUCACCAUACCUCUGGUACUCCAAAAAUUCUGCCAAAAUUAGGAAACAUAAAAAAUAUGUAUAUAAAGACAGUGCAAAAUGUUUCAGACCCGUUUGACAUUCCAGUAAAAAAAGUAAAAUCGUGCACUACAGCCAAAGUUUCUGUUUUGCACCGCACAAACCAACAAGCAAUGUAAACAUCCUAAAGGCAAAUCUUGGCACAUUAUUUUUAUAAUACAAUGGAAUUGUAAAAGGGGAUAAUUAUUUUUGUUGAAAAUUUUCUGUAAUCAAGAUUCACAAAAUUUCCGUGGGCAUGAACAAAGUUCAAGGCUAGCUUCCACUUUAACAAUGCUCGUCUUUCUCACUUUCACUUUCCUUUUCUGAAAAAGUUUUGGGUUCCCCUCUUAAUUUUUUUGUUUUUAAACUUUAUAAAAGCACACAACAUAAAUAAAUGACUCUCUAAAAUUUCCGGGUUGUCUCCCUGGCAACGCUUUCUUUAAAGCCAUUAAGCUAGGCAUAAAGUGCUCUAGUAAUGGAUCCACCCGAAUCCCAAGGUAUGUCAAAGCCAAUUUUAAUUAACAAUGAUUUGUGAUUUAGUAGUGAGCACAAAGUAACAUAUAUCAUGCAACAACGAAGUCUAACUCUCUUCCUAUGCAUCGGAAUGUCAUAAAAGAACAAUUCAUGCACACAUAGUAAAGGCCAAUGCAUAGUAUAAAUAAUUUCUUGCAAUUUUAUCAUAUUGGAAACAUGGAGAGGAGGAGAUGUAGUUCCUCUCUCAUAAUAAUUGCAAGUAGGAGCAGCAAGCACAUGCAUAUUAUAUCUAUCAAAAUCAUCAUGUGUAGUAGUAAAAAGCAACCCAUCAAUAUAAUCCUUAAUAAGGGCAAACUUCUCCGAUAUAGUGUAGUCGGGAGAAUUGAAAAAGAUAAUAGGACUAUCAUGCGUGAGUGCAAUAGCAAUAAUUUCAUGUUUAACAUAAGGAACUAUAACAAGUUCAUCUCCAUAAGCAUAAUUUUUAUCGGCAUCUUGGCCACAAGCAUAGAAAGCAUCAUCAAAAAGGGAUAUUUCAAAAGAAUCAACAGGAUCAUAACAAUUAUCAUAGCAAUCAUCCUUCUGUAAAUUCGAAGGGAAAUUAAAUAAUGUAUGAGUUGGAGAGUUACUCUCAUUAGAAGGUGGGCAUGGGUAGCUAAUCCGCUCUUCCUCCUUUUGUUCUUCGCUCUCCUCAUCAUCUUUUUAUUCAAUGAGCCCACAGUUUCAUCAAUUCCUUCUUCCAUAGACUCCUGCAAAAUAUUAGUCUCUUCUUGGACAGCGGAGGAGUCCUCAAUAUAUGGUUUAACAUAGGCAUUAGAAGGAUAAUUAUCAUAAAAAUAUUUAAGUAUGGAAAAAAUUCAGAUUUGUAAAGAGUAGCAUCAUACUUUCCAAUCAAAGAAGCAAUUUCAUAAGCACCCUUAAAAGCAAAAAUUCUUCAAUUUGUUGAACAUCAUAGUAAUUGUAAACACCCUUAGCAUACGAAGAUACGAUUCCAUUAUCACUAAACAAACAUUGGUAGGGAAGGUGUUUCUUAGGGUCUUCAGAACAACAAGUAAAAUCAUAUAUUUCACACAAAUUCCAAGCAUAGCAUUGCAAACGAUGAAUUUGAUCCAGUAAAAGUUUCCCUUUUUGAGAUAAGCGGUGUUGCACAUAACAAGCAUGCUCAUCUAAAGAUUUUCCCUCAACUAAGCUAGUUGGGGUUUCAGCACGAGCACAUAGGGAUCGAAGAUGAUCCAAGUAAAAAGCUUCAGGAGUGUGAUAGAUUUUGAGUGGUUCUUCAACCAUUGGUUUAGUAGGUACAACUAAUUUUUUUGGUAUUUUGCGUUUCCUAACCAUAACUAAAGAUAGAAAACAAGAGCACAAAAUAAAAACUAUUAGUGGUAAAGCAAACAAGCACACACGAGAAUAUUCACCCCAUGCUAUAACUCCCCGGCAACGGCGCCAGAAAAAGGUCUUGAUAACCCACAAGUAUAGGGGAUCAAUUGUAGCCUCUUUCGAUAAGUAAGAGUGUCGAACCCAACGAGGAGCUAAAGGUAGAACAAAUAUUCCCUCAAGUUCUAUCGACCACCGAUACAACUCUACGCAUGCCUUCGCUUUACCUAUAACAAGUAUGAAACUAGAAGUACUUUGUAGGUGUUGUGGGAUAGGUUUGCAAGAAUAUAAAGAGCACGUAAAUAAAAACUAGGGGAUGUUUAGAUAAAGAAGCAAUAAAGUUAGUAUAGCGAGUGUGGAAAAGUGGUGGUAGGAGUUGCGAAAUUUUCCCUAAGCAAUCGACUACAUUACUAGACCGAUAGCAAGUUUUAUGUGGGAGAGGCCACUGCUAGCAUGUCAUCCCUGACUUGGAAUUCUAUGCACUUAUGAUUGGAACUAUUAACAAGCAUCCGCAACUACUAACAUUCAUUAAGGUAAAACCCAACCAUAGCAUUAAGAUAUGUUGGUCCCCUUUCAAUCCCGUAUGCAUCAAUUUCUAUGCUAGGUUGAAGCUUCUGUCACUCUUGCCCUCCAAUACAUAGUCCUAUCAACAUACAACUAACCCUAUGGUGUGAUCCACACGCGCGCUCAUAUGAUGGGAACCAAAGGACAGCAACAUAACCACAAGCAAAUUAAACCAAUCAUAGAAAUUCACCAAUUACCGAUAGGACAACGAAAAUCUACUCAAACAUCAUAGGAUGGCAACACAUCAUUGGAUAAUAAUAUGAAGCAUAAAGCACCAUGUUCAAGUAGAGGGUACAACGGGUUGCGAGAGAGUGGACCGCUGUAGAUAGAUGGGGGAAGGUGAUGAAGAUGUUGGUGAAGAUGACGGAGGUGUUCAUGUAGAUUGCGGUGAUGAUGAUGGCCCCGGCGGUGUUCCGGCGCCACCGGGAGAGAGGGGGAGAGAGCCCCCUCCUUCUUCUUCUUCCUUAACCUCCCCCCUAGAUGGGAGAAGGGUUUCCCCUCUGGUCCAUGGCCUCCAUGGUGGCGGAGGGGCGAGAGCCCCUCUAAGAUUGUAUAUGUCUCGCUGUCUCUCUCCGUUUCUGCACUCCAGAUUCUGGCCUUUCACCGUUUCUUAUAUUCCCGGAGAUCCGUAACUCCGAUUUGGCUGAAUUUUGGACACGAUCUCUAUCCGGAUAUUAGCUUUCUUGCGGCGAAAGAAGGACACGAACCGCCUUACGGGGUGGCCACGAGGGUCCAGGGCGCGCCCCUACCUCGUGGCCCCCUCGGGCAUCGUCUCGCGUUGAUUCCACUUCCCAAAAUUCACAUAUAUUCCAAAAAAAUCUCCGUCAGUUUUUAUCCCGUUUGGACUCCGUUUGAUAUGGAUUUUCUGUGAAACAAAAAACAUGAAACAAACAGGAACUGGCACUGGGCACUGGAUCAAUAUGUUAGUCCCAAAAAUAGUAUAAAAAGUUGCCAAAAGUAUGUAAAAGUUGUAGAAUAUUGGCAUGGAACAAUAAAAAUUUAUAGAUACAACGGAGACGUAUCAACAUCCUGAGACGCUCAUGGUGCCGGAGGAUCACCAAGUUGUUGAUCCAUCAAAUCUUCUUUCAUAGCACUUCUGAGAACAUAUCUCAGAGUGUGGAUCCAAUACUCAUAAUUCCCACCAUUUGCAGCUAACUUUACUAUCUCAAAUAGAGGUGCUAAAUUGAACAUAAUGUGAGCAAUUGAUCUACAACGAUAAACACAAGAUUCAUUUAGAUGUUAUUCAUAAUUAAUUUGCACUAGUGUUUAAACAAAUUUUAAUAUAAAGUGCACUCUCACUCAAAUCAAUAUCUCUCAUAAUUGAAAGUGAGUGAUUCAAGACCCUGAUCUUAUUCACAACCAUUGAUGUGGAUAUCACUGAUGACAUGAGUUUCAACCGGUUGGCAAACUUUUGCUGAUCAUAUCUCCGUAUGACUCUUGUUCAUUUUUCGAUGUUUCAUCCUCUGAGCUAAGAACGAGUCUGCUAGAACUUCAAGCCAACCGAGUUUAUCUGCACGUAUGGUCUGACCUAUACCCGCCUUACACCUCACAACCCGUUUGUACUCAUUUGGACAUGCCACACUUCAAACUGCUAUGUGUUUUAGACGGUUGCAACACUGGGAAGAGCACCUUUUAACUUGAUAUUUUCAGUGAGAUAUCACCCUAAUAAUUGACUACUACGCAAAUCAAAGGGUGCAAACAACAUAGGGAUAAACAUCUCAGGCAAUUCAUAAUAGCAUGAUACGGUAUAGCCCUAGGCGUCGGGAAGUCUCCACGACUUCUUGAACCUUCAGUCAAAUCAUUGUCGUGGCGGCAGAAAAAUUGUUGUUGUGGCAUGGUAGCAAUUUUAGAAAUCGUUGUCGUGGCGAAUGUUUCAAAAACGUUACCGUGCACGAGUUUCAAAAAUGUUACCGUGGCAUGAAAAACUUUCAGCCCCUCCCCCCCGCACCUUGUACAACCUCUUCACGUCGGGGUCCUUCAUGCAAGGCUAUAACCAUCACCUGUAACCUGUAGGCUACCUCUACAUCUAUUACAUUAAAGUGCAAUCCCGUGGCUCCAGCCAUCAUGCCGUACCAUGAUGCGCAUGCCACUUAAAAUUGCAACAUAUAACCAUCUCAUACAUAAACUCAUCAUCUUAGAAGAAGGCUAUACCACAUCACAUGCAACCUGCAAAACCAAGUUAGACGUCCUCUAAUUGGUUUGGCAAAUUUUAAUUACGUGGCUUCUAGGGUUUUCGGAUAACACUAGCUACCUACGUCCACCAUUAAGGCGAUAAUUCUUGUUGCUAGAUUAACUUUUGGGGUGUCUGAGGGAAGAGACUUAAUUAAAAAUCUCUAGCCCCACACUGAACUUUGUCAAUACGCAUGACCCCCCUAGAAGAUCGAACAUCUUCAUCGCCCUCUCGUAUUUGCGACAGUUCACUAUUCUUGACUAUGAUGAAGCCCAAAGAACUGUUAGCAGAUCGUCGACAACCAUAGCCGAUCGAUUGUCAGAACUUUUUACAAAGCUGCAUCAUGUCGUCAAGGAACUGAACUGAAGAAAACACUCGAGGGAAGCAUAGCAAGAACAUCGAACCCUCACAUCCACAUGUGAUCUAGAUCAAAACCUACAUCUACUCAUUAAGUCGCUCAUGAUGACAUUGUCUAGAAAGAUAGUAGAAAAAAAUUGCCCUAUGAUCACCCAGGAACACUAUGAAGAUGCAGUAGACGGUUUGGAUCAGAUCAUUGCCAACUCUGAGAUGCAGCAGAAGAGGACGAGUCGGUGUAGAUUGUACUUGGAAUCCCUCGAACCGUAGAUGAACGAUCCCACGAGUUACAAGCGUACGGUUUUCACGAUCCGACAACGCUUCAUCGUCCAGAGCAAAUCGUCGCCGAAGAAUUAGAGGGAGGAGAUUAGAACCACACCGGGCUUAUAAUUACAAGGAUUAGAGGAUCUAGGUAUAGCUCUAAUUGAUGAACUAUGACCAACUAGAACUAGAACUAGAGAACUAGAGGAGGCUCCAAAACUUGUGUGUAGAAAAAGUGUCAAAGCCGCUAGUAUAUAUAGGUUGGAUGGAGAGGAGGGGUGCCACACAAGGGGGGGGGGAGUCUCCUCCCUUGUGCUGGCCUAGGGGAGGGGGAAUCCCUCCCCAAUUCGGCCUUCCCUCUCUCCUCUCCAUGGGAAAGGGGGCGGCACUCCUAUUGGGCCCUUGUGGCCCAACACGCCUUCCACCUCUUGGCCUUUUAGGGCCCGUUUAUAUUAAACUAAAUAUAAAAUCUUCCUAACUAUUAUUAUAGCCCUUUAUUAUUAAUUUAACAUCUCCGAAAACAUUUUCCACCUAUAUAUUAUUUAUCGGAGAUACCCAGUAUUGCCCGAUAAACUUCAAAACCCUUCUGGUUCUCUCAAAACUAUUAUGUAUAUUAAUGAAACAAUUUCACGAAUAUAAUCUCAUUGCUCCCGUCCUAUUUACACUUAGCAGAUCGUGAUUACCUUAAGCUUGUGACCCUAUAGGUUCGGUAAAAUACACAUGAACAAAAGCCCCUUUGUUCAGUGACCAAUAGCAGAACCAUGGACGCCCAUAUCGAUCCCUAUGAGUACAUGAAUGGCAUUCGAGUGAACCUUUGGUUAUCAUGUGUCGUGCGUACAAGGAUCUAUGGGACUGGCAACAGCCCCUUUGCUGUUUGACUGGGGAGAUCGACGAGCACAAAGAGCAGAGGUAGCAUAAUGCACGAGCUUUUACCCAGGUUCGGGCCGUUGCGAAGCGCAAAACCCUACUCCUGCUUUGUGUAUUAUAUGUGUUUGAGCUCAAGUUACAAGGAGCAUAGAUUGCCGGCAAGGUGCACGCGAAGUGCAGCUACUCGUGCAAAUGAGCAGAGUGUCGAUCUUUGUAAAGGUAGCCAUGGGCCUCCUUUUAUAGAUUAAGGGGUCACCACAAUGGCAAAAAUGGUAAAUACACACUAUAAACAGUGGCUACAGUGCUAUCAACCUAACCAUGACGGGUUAGGACAAGGGCAUUGAAUGUGUCGUGAGGUGUCAUGCUGGUGAAGCUUGCCAGCAAGGAUCAUCUCUCCUUCUGUGUCGUUCGUCCAACCACCUCUUAUUAUCUUGACACGCCUCCAUGACGGGUGUCAUUAAAGGUGGUUCUUCGGCGAUGAGCUAACACGUGCGGAAACAGAGCUCACCAAACUGCCUGCCCACUUGACACCUACUUGACAAGCGACUGGCGUGUCGCUGAGGUGGAGUGGUGGCAUUGUAGUGGGAGCUUGCCAGCCAUGGAGCAUACCGGGUCUUCGCUUGCUUGCCGGCAAGGAUCUUACUGGUGUCUUGAUCUUCAGUACUUGACUUAGUCCUUAUCGAUCACUGAUGACCCACAAGUAUAGGGGAUCUAUCAUAGUCCUUUCGAUAAGUAAGAGUGUCGAACCCAACGAGGAGCAGAAGGAAAUGACAAGCGGUUUUCAGCAAGGUAUUCUCUGCAAGCACUGAGAUUAUCGGUAACAAAUAGUUUUGUGAUAAGAUAAUUCGUAACGGGUAACAAGUAACAAGUGUAACUAAAGUGCAGCAAAGUGGCCCAAUCCUUUUUGUAGCAAAGGACAAGCCUGGACAAACUCGUAUAUAAUGCAAAACGCUCCCGAGGACACAUAGGAAUUACUGUCAAAUUAGUUUUCAUCAUGCUCAUUAUUCGCAUCCGUUACUUUGAUAAUUUGAUAUGUGGAUGGACCGGUGCUUGGGUGCUGUCCUUACUUGGACAAACCUCCCACUUAUGAUUAACCCCUCUUGCAAGCAUCCGCAACUACGAAAGAAGAAUUAAGAUAAAUCUAACCAUAGCAUGAAACACUGUGGAUCCAAAUCAGCCCCUUAUGAAGCAAUGCAUAAACUAGGGUUUAAGCUUCUGUCACUCUAGCAACCCAUCAUCUACUUAUUACUUCCCAAUGCCUUCCCCUAGGCCCAAAUUAUGGUGAAGUGUCAUGUAGUCGACGUUCACAUAACACCACUAGAGGAGAGACAACAUACAUCUCAUCAAAAUAUCGAACGAAUACCAAAUUCACAUGAUUACUUAUAACAAGACUUCUCCCAUGUCCUCAAGAACAAACGUAACUACUCACAAAGCAUAUUCAUGUUCAUAAUCAGAGGAGUAAUAAUUAUCAUUAAGGAUCUGAACAUAUGAUCUUCCACCGAAUAAACCAACUAGCAUCAACUACAAGGAGUAAUCAACACUACUAGCAACCCACAGGUACCAAUCUGAGGUUUUGAGACAAAGAUCGGAUACAAGAGAUGAACUACGGUUUGAGAGGAGAUGGUGCUGGUGAAUAUGUUGAUGGAGAUUGACCCCCUCUCGAUGAUAGGAUCAUUGGUGAUGACGAUGGCUUCGAUUUCCCCCUCUGGGAGGGAAGUUUCCCUGGCAGAACAGCUCUGCCAGAGCCCUAGAUUGCUUCUGCCCAGGUUCCGCCUCGAGACAGCGGCGCUUCAUCCCGGGAGCUUCCUCUUCAUUUUUCCAGGUCAAAACACAUCAUAUAGCAGAAGAUGGGCACCGGAGGCCUGCCAGGGGGCCCACAAGCCAGGGGGCGCGCCCAAGGGGGUAGGGCGCGCCCCACCCUUGUGGCUACCUGGUGGGUCCCCUCUGGUACUUUCUUCGCCCAAUAUUUUUUAUAUAUUCCAAAAUAAUUUUACGUAAAUUUUUAGGACUUUUGGAGUUGUGCAGAAUAGGUCUCUCAGAUUUUCUCCUUUCCAGUCCAGAAUUCCAGCUGCCGGCAUUCUCCCUCUUUGUGUAAUCCUUGUAAAAUAAGAGAGAAAAGGCAUAAAUAUUGUGCUAUAAUGUGUAAUAACAACCCAUAAUGCAAUAAAUAUCAAUAUAAAAGCAUGAUGCAAAAUGGACGUAUCAAUCAACUGUCUUGAUGUCUUCUCCAUGGUUUUAUUAACCAAUUCUUGAGUCUUGUGUGGAGCUGCCCUCCAGCAGGCCCUGCCAUCGAGAAGGCUACAACUAUGUGUGCACAAGUCAGAGUACCAAGGCACCCAUGUCUUGGUACACCGACAGGAGCCCCCAGGCCUGGGCCACACACGCAUGUGAGGCGUCGUUGGGCUAGGCCCAAACAAUGCACAUGCACGUGUGGCAAAGGAUAACUGCCAUAAUCUUCUCUUUAAUCAGGCCCCCACGACGCGCAUUAAAUGCGGGACGUGGGAGAGGCGGGCUGAAAUGGCCGCAGAGGUAGUGCGCCUGAAAAGCGUAGCCACGUCGAACAAUAAAGAGCCAGCCCCCACGCCUUCCCCAUAAAAUGGAAUCUGCGAGGGGCACUGCUCAUUUAACCCCUUCUUUCCAAUCUAGCAAGCCGCCUUCAUCUUCCUCCUCGCGCGAGAACAGAGCAUAUCUCCUGCCACCAUCGCAUCCACGUCUUCGUUUACCCUCAGCUUCCUUCCCCAAAGCUGUCAUGGCACCCAAAAAAGAACCAAGACAAGCUGGAGAAGCUAGUCGAUCGGGAGGCGGAAGCGAGGAAGAACGCCAUGGAUGAGCUGCAGAGGAAUCGCGUCGUCUUCGUGCUGGUGCUGAAUCACAAUGAUUUGGUGGAGCGGUAUGUGUACAUGUGGUGGAAAGAGACGAUAGCUCACACUGUGCCACAUGUACUUCCUGGCUCCGUCAAAGGCAGUAAAGAUAAAUAUGCCUUCUUCACCGCAUACUUCUACCGCGGGCUUGUUCCCCCUUCUCUGAGUUCUUCUCUGAGAUGAUGUACACCUAUGGGUUCCGCCUUCUAGAGUUCACACCAAAUGCCAUGAACUGCAUGUCCGUUUUCGCCCAUAUGUGCGAAAAUUUUGCCGGAGUAUUCCGCAGUGUAGCUCGCUUCCGCCAUUACUUCAUCCCACGUAUCAAGGGCGAUGCACUCUCUGGUAGAGUUACUUGGAUUCCUCGGACUAGCACCAAGGAUAUCUACCCAGAGGGCAAAAUGCACCUGAAGUGGAAUGAAUGGCGAGCAGAUUGGUGCUGGAUCAAGGAAGACUACCUCCCGGAUUUCUGCAUGCCCCGGAAGAAGAAAGUGGAGCACGACAAUGACUGGAGCUCUUAUAUACGCACGACAAGAAGCUCACAAUCGCCAUUACUCGCAUCCUCCGCCUCAAGGCCACUGGCCUCACCAUUGAAAUGGUAGGCAUCGAUUUCCUCCGCCGACGAAUUGCUCCCCUCCAGAAUAAAGGAAGACCCGCCUAGGAUUUCAAAAAUGUCGUUGAUAUCAUGAGGCUGCACACCGGAUUGGGUAGCAACUUGACGGUCCUUUAGCACACAACCCUUUUCCAUCAACUCUUCCGAACCACCGGCAAGUUCAAGUUGCCAGCAACAUGGUUCCCUUAUGCAACAACUCCGCCAAGGACCCGAUCAUUGCGAUGAUGUCGGCUUGCAAUGCUGGUGGCAUCGAGGGAAGUUGGGAAGAACCGCCUGAAGACAGGGUGAGUGUCACGGAGGAAACAAAUCUCAUUCACGACACCACUGAUGAGGAGUUAGCCUACAUCACCAACAGAGCAGAGGAGGCACGAAUGGCUGAAAUUGCCAGUGGUUCUGGAUCCGCGACAACUGAUGUUGAUGAAGAAGCUGAGGAUGAACCAGUAGAUGAGUCGUCAGAAGAAUUUGUCGGAGACCAAGAAGAACCUUCCGGGGAACAGGGUGAAGACAACGCAGAGGAACAAGUGCAUGAGGAGCCCCCUGUUCCUCCUGCCCCGGCAAGGAAACCUCGUGUCCUUCAGAAAGUCGUCUUCGGAGAGCCAGUUCAUCCUCCAUCUUCGGGUGAUGAGGUAGUUGACAAAGGACCGGUCACCAAGGCUAUCGAACGACAAGGAUAUCGACGCCAAGCCCCACAAUAAUAGAAAGCCCGGCGCACCUCUCAGAGGCGGGCAACUGCAUCGACUAUCGACAUAGCUGGGUCUUCUCAACCUGCCGCACUCGCGGCAACCAAGCGGGCCAGAACUCCCACCCGCCUCCUGCCAGCAGCACUGGACCUGAGGGCAUAUAUGAACUCUUUGUCCUUAGCGACAAGGACGAGGAAGAAGAGUGUCGGCGUUCUGGGAACGGGGGUCCCCAGACUUGCCUGCCUGCGGCCCACGGCAUGGCUUUGCGAGCGGGCCCGUACGGCCCAUCUUCACCAACAAGCACUCAAGAUCCUCGCGAGGGGCCAAGCCUCGCAAGGCGGACGGUGCAAGACCCCUUCGGGAGCGGUCUCACCAGGUUGGCUCGCGAGGGGUGGAGAGAUCAAGGCAAGGCAAACCUCGCGAGGUUCUCGUGACGUGAGCCAUGACGAUCGAGACCAGGCGGGCGCCAGCGCGCACAGUGUACUUGUUUCCUCUUUGGUGCUAAGGAGGCAAGCGCAGGCGCGGAGUACCGAGGCGUCAAGCAAAGGUUUCCAUAUCAGUGCAACGAGACCAAGACCAGCAGGACGGCAAGACGGAGGUCACCAUGGAGCCCAAGGCGGCGUCACCACCAGAGCCUUUUGCAGGCGAAGACUGCUUUUGUCAGGGUAAGCUGUACUAGCUGUCCCCUUCCAAAUUGGUCGUUGUUGGCUCCCUUCCCGCUCAAUAUUUGGGGAGAGGACCAGGGCCUAUAUAAAUAGGACUAGCCACCACCGUAGGGGGUAACUCAUUCAGAGGCAUCUCAUCUCGUCUUGAGUAACCCUCACCCACACAAGUUCACCGAGCACAAGAACACCUCGCCUCAGGAGGCUGUUCUUCCCCUUGUACUGUUCAUCCUCAGCCCAAGAGGCAAUCCACCACCACCACACUGGAGUAGGGUAUUACACCACAACGGUGGCGCGAACCAGUAUAAAUCUUGUGUCCCUUGUGUUCCGAGUUCAUUGAAUUAGCCCUUGAGAUCUCAGCGAAGCUAGAAUGUGGAUCGGUAGGGGGAGAUCUUCAUGCGCACCCCAGUGUUUGAACCUUGAGGGUUUUGCCGGAACCCGUGAUCCGACAUUUGGCGCGCCAGGUAGGGGUGCGCUGGAGCUCUUCUUCCACCAGCCGAUCCGCUCGUUGAUCCUUCGGCACUCCGCGGCUCCGAUGUCCGGUGACUCGAGAGCCAAUACCGACCGCUGGGCGGCCUGGCCGGCCCGGGCGGCGCCGUCUGCCCAAGAAGACCUCAACCCCGCGCCUCAGGCGGCACGCGCACCGCCGAACACCGCAGGGCGCGGGCGGCGCGGUCACUCACCCUCUGCUCUUACUCCACGACAAGUGCGAGCGGCCGUGAGGGCCUCAAGCCACGCUGCCGCCACGGUGCCGCACACUCGGCAGGAGCAGGCAAACAUGAGGGCCGCGCUCACAGCGGUUAAUGGAGAGCGGUCGGGAUGCUUUGCUAGAGCGUGUCGCCGAGCUCUUGGACGCCGCGGCUUCAGGAGCACCACCCUUCUGUACUCCUCUCACGCCACAAGCUGCGGCCGGGUCGCAUGGCAGACCAUGCUGCGCCCGCGUGCCCACAGGCGCACCACCAGGCUUCAUCGACACCGGCGCAACCAACGGAGCUGUACGCCCGCUCGCGCCCGCGCCACCUCUGCUGGGCGCGGGCAUGAGUGCCGCCACCUACGGUCCGGGCAGGAUGCAACCCUACCAUCCUCGAGGCGGCACGCUAGGACGGGCAACAUGGAGCGUGGGGCACUAUGGUGAGGUCUUCGAGGCGGCGGCCUCGGAGGCCUAUGUGCCCCCCAUGGUGGACCAGGAGUACAUGCUAGAAGACGACCCUGGCUUGUUCCUCAAGCCGGGCUGGGAGGAGGAGGCGCUAGAAGCCGGCACCUUUCAGGAGCCAUCCGGAAGUCUCACCAACCGCGCCGGCGACAACGACUACAGGGUACCACUAAUUCCUCAGGAGCAGGCUUACGCUAACCAUGGUGCGCAGGAGGAUCAGGUCGCAGUAGCAGAUGGCGGUCCCAGCUCAUCGGCCUCCCUCCCGCCAGGAGGGGCACACUGGGGACUGCAGGAAGGAAGCCGGGACGAAGGCCCACCCCAGUGCCGCGCGGAGCAAGGCGUCCCCCGGAGGUAGGCCCUCUGCCGGGGAGGUGCUCCAGAGCCUACCCCCGGCAGAGGACCCGUGGUCGCCGAGGGUGCCGCUGGCGUCCCCUUUGCCCCUUUGGUGUCGUCCUGGUUUCCGGUCGCCCCCAACGGUGGCCGAGGGAGGCGCAAGGCGGGGCCCUUGUCUGGCGAUAUGAAGUAAGGCUCACGCCUGUGAAGGUCUCCGUCCGUGACACUCUCACGUAAUAACGAGUGGGGCUGUACACGCCCCGGAGUCUCAGGAGUGCCGCCCUCGGGCCUCGGGGGCUCCCUCCCAUGUCCUAGUGGCAGCACUUAGCUCCGCGCUGGUGAGAAGACUCAAAGACAAGAAGACUAGACUAGGUGCCGGACGCGGCCCUUUGCUUUGGAUCCCUUUUCUGUAGCCUUGCCUUCUGGAUUUGGAUUUAAGUUGAAGUUGAAUUUUCAUUGAUGCGCCGGGGGGUGCCUUUUCUCAUUCGAGCGAUUUCUUGCUAUCUGGUUCUUGCCUUAUUCCGAAGCUCGCACUCGCUGCCUCCCCCUCACAGGCCCCUCGCGAGCGGGGCUAGGUGCAGCAUACGCACCGCGCGCGUCGAUGCCAUGAUCGGCACCUGAUUCUCGCGAGGCCCUCUCGGGCGAAUCAGCAGACCCUUCAGGAGUUCCUCGGGAGCUCACGACCUCAUGAUCCAGUUCGGGGCUUACCCCGGCUAAGGUAAGCCGCAACAGCAAACUUGCCACCAGACUCAUGGAUUCACAAAGGCGCAGACUCAACUUGACAUAAAAGAAUAAAGGCAGCGGUUUGUUUACACGAGGGACUCCCCCUCUCAAAAUGCUCUUACAACCUCUAGGGCCACGCCCAAGCCUCUGCGUGCAGGACAAACAUCUGGGAAGCGCGGGGAUCAGUCGGACAUGUCGCUCGCCGCAUCACCUUCAGACGCGCCGCUGGCAUCGCUGCCACCGUCGCCAGCAUCACCAUCGCCUCCUCCGGCGUCGUGAACAUCAUUAUCGACCACGUCGCCUUCGUCCACCGCGACCACCACCACAUCGUCGUCAGAAGAGAAGGCCUUGACCAGCGCGUCCACGUUAUCCUCCAUCCACCGCGCCAGGUUGCCCUGGAUGGCCUCCGGGACCGGAGCAAUGGCGGCGUCAAAGUCGAAGUCCUGGUAGGUGUUCUGAAGAUGGCUGAAGACACGGGAGAAUGCGCGCCCCAGCAGGCUGCGACUCCUCUCUUCAACAAGCAAGUGAGCUCGCUCGGAGCGGUUCUCCAGGCGCGUCACCACAUCGGCGAAGAAGCGGAGGUGGCUGGCGUAGUCAUUCAUGUGGGGUGAGGGGCGUUCUCAUCACAGAUGUGGCCCAAGGCAGUAUUGGCCCUGUUCCGAAGGUCCUGAAGCAUGGGAGCGUGCACACGCUCCAGCAUCCGCCACUGAAGCACUUCCUCCCUGUUCCGCCGCGCAACAGACUCGGCGUCAGCAACCCAUUUCUGAAGAGAGAGCAGCUCGGCGCGGGCGGUGGCCAAUUCCGCCUGCGUCUUGACCAAGGCGGCCGCCGUGGCCUCCUCGUGCCUCUCCACCUCAGCUAGCCUGGGCCUAAGGGCAGCGGCCCUACCCGCAGCCUCCGUCUCCGCAAGCUUCAACUUCAGGUCAUGCCUACCCUCAAGACCCGCGCGAACCUUGGCCACCCGGCGAUCAACCUCCUCCUGGGCCUUGGCCUCACGAGCACCAACGGCAUCUUCCGCUUGGGCAACUUGACGCUCCCUCGUCUCCAGUCGCUCAAGCUCGAGGCUAUGCUUCACGGCUUCCAGUGCCAACGCCUCCUCGCGCCUCCGGAUCUCUUCUUCCUCGGCGGGCGUCCCCCUCAGCGAUGCAAGGGCGGCUCUGCGUGCCUCCACUUGCCGCUCCAAGGAGGCGCUCCAGGCUUGGAGUUCCCACACGCGCUUGUCCGCGGCCUCAUGGCGGCGGUCAGCUUCUCAGGCCUCUUCCAGAGCUCGGGAGCAGGCUUCACGCGAGGUUGCGAGAGAAGCUCCAGCCUUCGCGUUAUCAAGCCCGCGCUGGAGACGCCCGAGGUUGAUGGCCACCUUAAACUGAUGCCGCUCCUCCACCAACCGAAGACCCUCGGCCUCGAGGCACGCGUCGACACCUGCGAGUUGUUCACCGAGUCGGUUCAUCGCGCCCAUUGCCUCCUGGAAGAGCUCCUGACGAACAAUGUUAUGUCCGUGCUCGAACUCAAGCGCAUGGCCCAUCUCGUCCUCCACCGCGGGGGCCGCAGGCAGGGCCCGAAGCGGCAUGCCCCCUCCCAGCAGGGGGCUGGAGGCUGGCGUGCGCCAUGAGGCCAGCCAUGCCUCGCAAGGGGCCUGGACGAGUCGGGGCCCGCUGCUUGAGGAGGCGCCCGAGACCGAAGCCAUCCAGCCGCUGUCCACGAUUAGAGGAGGAGCCCUCGGCACGCUCGCUGAGCUCCAGGCAAGGCCGUGGAGGAGGGAUGACGGGGGCGUAAGCUCAAGGCACCAUGGAGGUGAGCGCGGCCCUGCAACCGACCCCGCGCCAAAGGCGGCGUGCAGGCUAGGGGCGCUCAAGGUCAGUGGAGGAGACGAGGAGAGAGGAGACUGCUUCUCGGGAGACUCAGCGGCUGUGGCGGAAGGGACCCUGAAGAGCCAACGUCAGGGAGGAAAGCAGCACUCAAGAAGCCACAAAGAUAUGGUACUUACUCGUCAAUGGCGAUGUACUUCCUCCGCUUCAACGGCCCGAAGAUGCCACCGCUGCCGCUUGGGGACCUCUUCCUCUUCCGGAGCUCCUCGAAGUCCACGCAGAGCCGACCAAAGCGUUGGACAUGGCAGCCAGUACGAGGUGCAGCAGGAGGAGCGCUUGAAGGGACAUCCUCAUGGGCGCCAAGCCGAGGAGAGCCGUCGAGCGCUGUCUCGCAGUGACCUGCCGAGGUCUCAGGAGCUUCGGCCUCAGGAGUCGCGCGCUGCAUCGCCCCCACAGCUGCCGUGCCAGGACAAGAAUCACGGGCUCCUGAGGACGACGCAUCGGGAGCCCCAGGCGGCAUCAUGUAACGCCCCGGAUCCGAUGCGCCAGGUGUCUGCCAGUUAUUCGCUGCCGUUGCCAUGUCAUCUGCUUGCGUGUUGCAUUUUGCCAUGUCAUCAUCUGCAUUUCAUAUCAUGUCAUCAUGUGCUUUGCAUUUGCAUACAUGUUCGUCUCUUGCAUCCGAGCAUUUUCCCCGUUGUCCGUUUUGCAAUCCGGCGCUCCUAUCUCCUCCGGUGCACCCCUCUUGUUGUCUUUCGUGUGCGGGUGUCAAACUUUCUCGGAAUGGACCGAGUCUUGUCAAGUGGCCUUGGUAUACCACCGGUAGACCACCGGUCAAGUUUCGUUCCAUUUGGAGGUCGUUUGGUACUCCAACGGUUAACCGGGUAACCGCGAAGUCCGUUUUGGCAUUGCAGCAAAACCCCCUUUCAAACAGCCCCAAAACCCCUCUAAGUCUCCGCCAUGCUCUCGGUCGUUCGAUCACGAUCGCGUGGGCGAAAACUGCUCCUCAUUUGGACUCUCCUAGCUCCCUCUACCUAUAAAUAUGCCUCUUCCCCGAAAUCCCGCAGUCCAAACCCUAAAAAUCCCCUCCUCGCACCGCCGGACAUGUCCGUCCCGGGCCGGACGCCGUCCACCGCCGCUCCCAGCCAAUCCGGAGGCGACACGUCACCCGCGCCGCCUAUCUCUCUCCUCCCCGCCGCCGCGGCCCGCGGAGCCCAUCCGGGGCCCGCGCGGGCCCGAGCCGCCGCNNNNNNNNNNNNNNNNNNNNNNNNNNNNNNNNNNNNNNNNNNNNNNNNNNNNNNNNNNNNNNNNNNNNNNNNNNNNNNNNNNNNNNNNNNNNNNNNNNNNNNNNNNNNNNNNNNNNNNNNNNNNNNNNNNNNNNNNNNNNNNNNNNNNNNNNNNNNNNNNNNNNNNNNNNNNNNNNNNNNNNNNNNNNNNNNNNNNNNNNNNNNNNNNNNNNNNNNNNNNNNNNNNNNNNNNNNNNNNNNNNNNNNNNNNNNNNNNNNNNNNNNNNNNNNNNNNNNNNNNNNNNNNNNNNNNNNNNNNNNNNNNNNNNNNNNNNCGCGCCGCCGCCCGAGGACGCCGCGCCGCCGCCCCGCGCCAUGGCCGCCGCCUCCUCUCCUCCCUCCGGGCGCCGCCCCUCCGGCCUCCUCCCUCCUCUCCCCGCCGGCGAGCCUCUGCCGCCGUCCUCCGUCCCGAGCCGGCCCGAGUUCGGCCGAUCUGGAUCCGGUGAGAUCCCCUGUACGUUGACUUUCCUCCCCCCCUCCGAAUAUACUAAGUCCUGAAAAUUAUCAUUAUCAUGCCAUGUUCAUAGCAUCGUAACUCCGUGCAUGUAGCUCCGAUUCGUGCGUGUAAUAUGUCAAAUUGUUCGCCUCGUGAUGCUCUUCAUUUUGUUCAAUUGCACCAUGUUUAUUAGAGGUCAUAUUGAUGCCCAAAUCUUCGUUGGAAGAGGGCUAGUUGCUGUUAAUCUCUGGUUCUUAUCAGAACUUGGAGAUUUGUCAUUUUUGUAUCAUUUAUUCUGUGCAUCUUUUGAGCAUGAGCUCUACAUGUAUUUUGAAGUAUGCCAUGCCAUAUUUCCAGUGGUGUAGUCCAUGUAUUUUUAUGAUCUCUAUGGUGACUAGCACAAGCAUGCAAAGUAGGCCCCGUAAUAUUUCUGAUUUCAGGGACUUCGUGAUUUCUCCAAGUCCUUGUCUGCUGUAAUUUUGUUGCCAUGUAAACUUGAUGCUACAGAGAGAUCCAUGCAUAUUUUGAAGAUGUUCAGUAAGGAUGUUUUGUAGAUAUAGUUGUAGUUGAUCCAUUCCUGCAAUUGUUUGCAUUUAUGGAGUGCGAUAGCAUGACUCAAUCUUGCUCUACGUUUGCUAUAAAAUAAUUCUGGCAGAUUCUUAACAUGACAUGCAUUUUUGCCAAGCUUAUUGUAGUUGAUCCAUACAUGCUAUGCUUGUGUUCUUGCCAUGAUUAGCUUCAUAAACAUGCCAUCUUGCUGUAGGUAUGCUUGUUUUGUCAUGCAUUGCUCUGUAGUGAGUGCAUCAAGCUCACAAAGAGGCCUACAUAUUAAUAUUUCUGCCAUGCUCUGUUUUCUGCUAAGUCUGAAACCUAAUAACGAAACUUGCUAUGUUUACAUGCUUGCCACCAUAUCUUCUGAUCCUUUUUGGCUUAUGGUCAGUAAGGGACUUUUGUCAUGUGCUUUUAGUAGAACACUAGCAUGCCUUGUUUUGCUAUGUUAAGUUCCUAUAGCAUGUUCAUUUCGUGCUCUGAACAUUGCUACCUGAUGCUGUUUACUGCCAUGUCCAGUUUUUCACUAAGUCUGUGAACCUGUAAUCUUUUGCACUUUUUUCAUGCUUGUUUGAGCUUGAUAUGUUGUGAACUAGCCAUAGCUCAGUGUUCAUCUUUUGUCAAGCAUCUCCUGUAGAUUACUGUCAUAUGCUUUGUUGCUAUGUUGGGGUGCUGCAGCAUUGUUGCUUGUUGCAUCUUAAGUGCUAUCUUACUGUUAAUCGCAGAUUCGUGUCAUUCUUGUUUUGCUUGCCAUUUGCAAACCGUGCAUCCGAUUCCGGUGAUCUUUAUAUUGAUUUCGACCGAAAUCAUCUCAUCUUUCCAGUGGCAUGCUUGGUUUGCCAAGUUACUGCCAUGUUCAUCAUUUUCCUUCCGGAGCACGCAUAUGCAUCGCAUAUCAUAUCUUGCAUAUCAUACAUGUUUUGCAUCAUGUUGUUUGUGCAUUUCUCGUUGUUGAUUGUGGUUCCGUUUAUUUGUGUUCUUGUCUUGGGUAGAGCCGGGACACGAGUUCGUGAACGAGGAACCUGUCGAGUACGCGUACGAGGAUCAAGCUUUCGACAACUCUGAGAAUCUUGCAGGCAAGAUGACUACCCCUCGAAAUCACUUCUAUCUUUGCUAUGCUAGUUGUUCACUCUAUUGCCAUGCUCCGCUACCUAUCACUUGCUAUAUCAUGUCUCCCAUUUUAGCCAUGUCAGCCCCUAACUAUCCUUUCCUAGCAAACCGUUGUUUGGCUAAGUUACCGCUUUUGCUCAGCCCCUCUUAUAGCGUUGCUAGUUGCAGGUGAAGUUGAAGUUUGUUCCAUGUCGGAACAUGGAUAUGUUGGGAUAUCACAAUAUUUCUUAUUUAAUUAAUGCAUCCAUAUAUAUUUGGUAAAGGGUGGAAGGCUCGGCCUUAUGCCUGGUGUUUUGUUCCACUCUUGCCGCCCUAGUUUCCGUCAUACCGGUGUUAUGUUCCCGGAUUUUGCGUUCCUUACACGGUCGGGUGAUUUAUGGGACCCCCUUGACAGUUCGCCUUGAAUAAAACUCUUCCAGCAGGGCCCAACCUUGGUUUUACCAUUUGUCCAGCCUAUUUAUUUUCCCUAGGGAGUCGCUCUCUCGAGGGUCAUCUUAUUUUACCCCCCGGGCCAAUGCUUGUCUAAGUGUUGGUCCGAACUAGAGCCACUUGCAGCGCCACCUCGGGGAAACUUGAGGUCUGGUUUUAGUUGUACGUAGUGCUCAUCCGGUGUUGCCCUGAGACCGAGAUAUGUGCAGCUCCUAUCAGGAUGUCGGCGCAUCGGGUGGCUUUGCUGGUUUUGUUUUACCAUUGUCGAAAAGUCUUGUAACCGGGAUUCCGAGACUGAUCGGGUCUUCCCGGGAGAAGGAAUAUCCUUCGUUGACCGUGAGAGCUUAUCAUGGGCUAAGUUGGGACACCCCUGCAGGGUAUUAUCUUUUGGAAGCCGUGCCCGCGGUUAUGUGGCAGAUGGGAAUUUGUUAAUAUCCGGUUGUAGAGAACUUGACACUUGACCUUAAUUAAAACGCAUCAACCGCGUGUGUAGCCGUGAUGGUCUCUUCUCGGCGGAGUCCGGGAAGUGAACACGGUUUCUGGGUUAUGUUUGACGUAAGUAGGAGUUCAGGAUCACUUCUUGAUCAUGGCUAGUUCACGAUCGUUCCAUUGCUUCUCUUCUCGCUCUUAUUUGCGUAAGUUAGCCACCAUACUUGCUUAGUCGCUGCUGCAACCUCACCACCUUUACCCCUUCCUUUCCCUUUAAGCUUUGCUAGUCUUGAUACCCAUGGUAAUGGGAUUGCUGAGUCCUCGUGGCUCACAGAUUACUACACCCAGUUGCAGGUACAGGUUUUGCGAUGAUCAUGACGCGAGAGCGAUGUUUAUUUGUUCAGAGUUCUUCUUCUGCUUCUUCUUCGUUCAGGGGAUAGGUUCCAGGUCGGCAGCCUGGGCUAGCAGGGUGGAUGUCGUUUGAGUUUCUGUUUAUGUUUCAUCCAUAGCCGGAUGUUGUUCUUAUGUAUGUUGUAUUGAUGUAUUCUUGCGGCAUUUGUAUGCCUUGUAUGUAUCCCCAAAUAUUAUGUAAUGUUGAUGUAAUGAUAUCCACCUUGCAAAAGCGUUUCAAUAUGCGGUUCUAUCCUUGGUGGGGCCUUCGAGUAUCUUUAGGAUAGUAUCGCAUAUUGGGCGUGACACAUCAGCACCCCGGUACUAGUGCUAUCGGCCUCGGAUGGUGCUCGCCUCCCUACAUCCACACUCGGGGUGAGCUCGGCGUCGGCAGCGAAGAGGGGAACCACGUUGACGGGGUUCUCACGGGGCCCCACCAGGCCGUCUGGGCGCAUCCCCCACUCGUCAAAGGAAGGCAUGUGCUCCACGAAUUCAUCCUUGUUCGAGCAACGGUACAACAAACAACUCUCCCAGGCAUGUCGUCCGGCAACGACACGCCCGCCAAGACCCCAAGCACCGUCUGCCGCAUCUUAAGAGGGAUCCCGGACUCCUGAAGCCUCAUAUGGUCCUUGCUGUUGAUCUGAUAGUGUUCAAGCACCGUGUUGAAGGGUCAUGGAUUGGGGAUCAAGAUGCAGCAUGUGGAUCUGAUAGUGUUCAAGCACUGCAUAGAAGAAGGCGGAGAAAGGAGGGACCAGGCCGGCCCAAAGGGCAUCGAUGAAGAUUGGGACCUCGGUGGCAGCCCGGUCAAUGCGAGCACGAGACGCGGGCCAAGCCACCGUCUUUCCCCACUCAUUGAAACUGGAGGCGAGCAUGGGACGCACCUUGCCCAUGGACUCAUUGUUGAGCACCAGCGAUCGGCCAACUGCGGGCUCGACGGCCGGAGGCGCACCGGCCAAAGACAGAGGUUUCUUCCCCUUAUCCGCUUGUUUCGAUGCCAUGGCGAUGGAGUGAGCAGAGCUCAGGUCAGAUUGGAAAGAGGAGCGGAGUCCUGGGGAAGCAGAGGAAUUGGAUAAGUAUGGAGCGGGCGAUGGAAGAAUAACUGUGUAGGUUGCGGUGGCCGCAUAGCCAGGCGGAUUCCAAGGCAGCAUGGGGAAGCGGAGACGCCUACGUCCAAUCAACCGCCAUGCGUCGACCAAGGCCGCAUGCUAUUGGGGCCCGCGGCGCUCCUCACUUGACCUUUGGCUUCGCCUCGAAGCCAAGCCCGAGCAUGCCUUGGGCCCGAGGGCUACUGUCGGUGUUCUGGGAACGGGGGUCCCCAGACUUGCCUACCUGCGGCCCACGGCGUGGCUCUGCGAGCGGGCCCGUCUGGCCCAUCUUCACCAACAAGCACUCAAGACCCUCGCGAGGGGCCAAGCCUCGCGAGGCGGAUGGCGCAAUACCCCUUCGGGAGCGGCCUCACCAGGUUGGCUCACGAGGGGCGGAGAGAUCAAGGCAAGGCAAACCUCGCGAGGUUCUCGUGACGUGAGCCAUGACGAUCGAGACCAGGUGGGCGCCAGCGCGCACAGUGUACUUGUUUCCUCUUUGGUGCUAAGGAGGCAAGCGCAGGCGCGGAGUACCGAGGCAUCAAGCAAAGGUUUCCAUAUCAGUGCAACGAGACCAAGACCAGCAGGACGACAACAUGGAGGUCACCAUGGAGCCCAAGGCGGCGUCACCACCAGUUUUGCAGGCGAAGACUGCUUUUGGCAGGAUAAGCUGUACUAGCUGUCCCCUUCCGAAUUGGCCGUUGUUGGCUCCCUUCCCGCUCAAUAUUUGGGGAGAGGACUAGGGCCUAUAUAAAUAGGACUAGCCACCAUCAUAGGGGGUAACUCAUUCAGAGGCAUCUCAUCUCGUCUUGAGUAACCCUCACCCACACAAGUUCACCGAGCACAAGAACACCUCGCCUCAGGAGGCUGUUCUUCCCCUUGUACUGUUCAUCCUCAGCCCAAGAGGCAAUCCACCACCACCACACUGGAGUAGGGUAUUACACCACAACGGUGGCCCAAACCAGUAUAAAUCUUGUGUCGCUUGUGUUCCGAGUUGGUCGAAUUAGCCCUUGAGAUCUCAGCGAAGCUAGGACGUGGAUCGGUAGGGGGAGAUCUUCGUGCGCACCCUAGUGUUCGAACCUUGAGGGUUUUGCCGGAACCCGUGAUCCGACAAAGGGUAUGUGUCUUCAACUACUUCCAUUAAUUCCUUAUCUCUUGUUUUUGUUAAAUUGAUUUUCUCCGUCUUGAUCUCAUUUUAUAGUGACGAGCAAACUUUCGCGCAAACGAUAGCCAAGAAGGCAAGGACCGCAACAGAGGAUGAGCCGACGACAAGCACAAUGCUGGAUGAUGAUGUCGUGGUCAUCAGCCCCUUGUGUGAGGCCAUUACUCACUUUCCUUUGGAAAGUGUUGGUGUUGAAGUUGUCAUCUCUGACAUUGGCAAGGGAGCAAGAGAAGAGCGCCACGAAAAAGGACGCCCAGAGGCAGAUCCAAUUGUAACGCCUCCAUCAACCACUGUCCCGAUAGCUAACUCUUCGGCAAGGACAUCCAUCGACGAGCCUGUCCAUACUAAUGAUGUGCCGGCAAAUGAGGCUGCCGACAACCAGACGAUGACAACCGAGGUUGCCCAAGAAGAAACUAUUCCUUCUCAACAAACCCAGUUCCGUAAGCCUUCUACCGCGAAGCACUUUUCUUCUUCUUCUUUUUUUGUUUUCUUGAACUUGAUCUUGAGUUCCAUUUCUUUCUUAUCCAGUCUUUCAGAUCUACCUCCAAUUCACAUCACCAUCGAGGGGAUCGCAAAGGACGUCGUCAACGAAGCUAACAAGAUUGCUGCUGACGAAGCCGCCAAGACUGUCCACGAAGAAGCCGCCAACCUGUCCACGAAGAAGCCGCCAAGAACACUGCUGAGGAGGGCGGCAACAAGAGAGUCGAGGCCACUGAUGACAUCUCUUCCUCAGGAGCUCUAAGCACUGACUCGGCCAUGAGGGUGAUUGCUGUCGUCAAAGCAGUUGUUGAUGAUCACCCUUCGACAUCUGAAGCGCCUCCAUCAAGAAGAUAUCUAAAGAUUGGCGAGAAUCUAUUUGUCAGCAUUCCUGGGACGUCAAGCAUUGGAGCACCCACUAGAGAAGAAGCUUUUGAUGAUGAAGUUAUCACUGCUGCCGGGCUCAAAGUUGUUGACGAGCUGCAGGUCAGCAACAAUGUUUCUAAAGAGCUGCAGUUCCUCAAGGCCAUAGGCGAGAACUUCAAGAAACUCUAAGCACUCUACCGCAACCGAACAGAGAGCUUGGACUCUAGAGCGGUUGUCAUUGGUAAUGCAGAAGAGGAGUUUUAGAAGCGCGUGGAAGAGACACACAUCUGGUACGCCGAAAGCCUCCAAGAUUUAAAGGACCGCCAGAGGCAGCUUGCCAUCGAAUGGGACAAAUUUAUCUUGGAGAAGGUUGAAGCCGACAAGGCACAAGAGGAGGCUGCAUAGAGGAUAGUGGCAGCCAAUGCCAAGUUGAACGAGCGCAAGAUUGGUCUCAACACUCACGAAGAAGAACUUGCCGCUCGUGAAGACGUGCUUGCCGCCAAGCUUCGCGACAAGGAUGAUGAAGUCCGAGCCCUCCUUGCCGAGCGGACCCAGGAGAUAGAAUGAAAGCAUCAGGAGGCAAUCGAAGUUUAGGCUGCAGAUCACGCUGGCAAGAUGAAAGAGGCCAUCAAUGCCGCCGAAGCCGCAGAGGUCUUUAAGAAUGAAUUGGAAGGCAAGGUGAAGAGUCUUAAAGCAGAUCUUGCCGUUAUCAACAAGGAGGUCUGGGUGCUCAAAGUAGACAGAGAAAAGACAGCUUGCACCUUGGCGGAGCUGCAGACCUCAGUGUCCACCAAGAACCAAGAGCUCACUAAGGCUAAUGACGUCAUCGAAAAAAUUCCUUGAAGAAGGCAGGGCACGGGAGAGGAUUGUGUCCAAAGAUCUUUAUAAUGAAAAUUUUCUCCCCUCGCUAGUGUUGUGAACUCAUUCAACAAGCUCAAAGGCAACAUGAGGCUUUGGACAUAACGUCUUGUCGAAGCAGCCUAGGACCUCACUACACAGCUAUUGGGUUUGAGGACUACAGCUUCUCCACCAAUGAUAGAGACGCCGCCAGCGCCAGGCUCACUCUAUUCUUAGAAACUCCAUUCUUCGAAGGCCUUGUCGACGCACUCAAGUUGCUUCAUGCCGAUUGAGCCUCCCACCUUGCCAGUGAAUCUCGCAGGCUUUACCGGGACGUCCUCUUCAAGGUGCUCGUCAAUGUGGUGUACCGUAACCUUGGCAUUGACCUCACGAAAGUCUUCACUAGCUUGCCGAAGGGAUCUGAUACCAAGGCCGCCUAAGAGCUUGUUGUCGGCGUCCUGGGAACGGGGUACCCAGACUUGCCUGCCUGCGGCCCAUGGCGUGGCUCCGUCGACGGCCUGGUACGGCCCAGCUUCAGCAACAAUAACUCAAGACCCUCGCGAGGGGCCAAGCCUCGCGGGGAGGAUGACACCAAGACCUCCAUGAGGGGCGGCCUCCCCAGGCUGGCUCCUGAGAAGCGGAGAUAUCAAUGCAGGCUGCACCUCGCGAGGUUCACAUGACGUGAGCCGUGACUACCAAGGCCAGACGGGUGCCAGCAGGCGCAGUGUACCAUUUUCCUCUUCGGUGCUAAGGAGGCAAGCGCAGGCGCAGGGUCCCGAGGAAAGCAAAGGUUUCCAUAUUGGUGCAACAAGACCAAGACCACCAGGACGGAGGUCAUCGCGAAGCCCACUACAACAUCACCACUAGAGGCUUUUGCAGGCGAAGACCACUUUUGCCAUGAUAACUUGUACUAGUUGUCUCCCUUCGAAUUUGGCCAUUGUGGGAUCCCUUCCUGCCUACAUUUGGGAAGAGGACCAAGGCCACUAUAAAUAGGACUUAGCCACCACCAUUGAGGGAUGGAUCCAUUCCACCCUGACCACCUCACCAGCUCAUCGAGCUCUAGAACACCUCACCUCCUGAGGCUAUUCCACCACUGUACUAGUUCAUCCUCAGCCCCUUGAGGCAAUCCACCACAAAGAUGGAGUAGGGUAUUACACCGCAAGGUGGCCCGAACCAGGAUAAACUACUGUGUCUCUUGUCCCUUGGGUUCGUCGAGCUAGGCAUUGGAAUCGUUGAGCGGGCAGACUGGGGAGGACGAGUUCUUCGCACGCACCCAAAGUUCGAAUCUCUCAAGGGUCUGCGGAACCCUGAAUCUGACAUUUGGCGUACCAGGUAGGGGUGCGUCGGAGCCUCCCUUCCGUCGGUCGACUCGCCACGACUCUACCGCUUCCAUGGCUGACGCUCGUCGAGCCCGUGCUGAGCGUCGGGCCGCCCUCGCCGCCCACAUCGCCCAGACGGCGCCUGCCGGCGGGCCUCCCCAUCGGUCUCCAUCGCCUGCCGCCAACGCCGCCACCGGCCCGGCGGGGCACGAGCAGCAAGCCUCGUCGCUGCACCCUUCCGUGCGGCGUGACGGACGCACGGCCACCCCGUCGUUGAGUCCGGCUGGUUCGCCAUCCCACGCUCAUCACGGCCCGGUGAACGUGCAGGCUGCAUUGCUCAUGGCGCGCGAGCUCCUGCGCUACUGCCCCGUCGACGACUUCUACGAGGACUGGCUGGACCGCAUCGCCGAGCUAGUCAGCGCCGCUGGGGGCUCCCUUGCACCGUUUCUUUCGCUACCUCGCCCACCGUCUACGGCGGGUGACAUAGCCCACGGAGCACCUCCUCCACCCCGCCUCAUCAAGACGUCGCCCUCGCACCAAGGCGCGCGGCCCCAUGGCGUGACCCGUCGUGCAGGGCACCCGCGCAUGAAGAAGGGAGCUGCCAGGAGGUCCAGCGGCCGCAAGGGGAGGCGCGUGCGCUUCCAGCACUGCCGCAUCAAGACCGCGCGCCGCCUGUCGCUGUGGCGCGCGAGCUCCAAGAUCAAGCACCACUUCCACGACGGGCUCCAGUGACCACAGCAGGCUGCCGCGCCUUCACUCCCGAGCUUCGCAGCAUCGUCUAGCCGGGGAAGUUCAAGCCUUACCUGCCUCCACGCUACGACGACACCCCCGAACCUGCUGAGUUCCUGCAGCUCUACGAGCUGAGCAUCGAGGCUGCCAAUGGCGACGAGAAGGUCAUGGCGAACUGGUUUCCCAUGGCUCUCAAGGAUGGCGCGUGCUCGUGGCUCCUGAACCUGCCCGCUGGAUCGAUCUCCUCCUCAGGCGAGAUGCGCGAGUGUUUUGUCGCCAACUUCCAGGGCACUCGCGACCGCCCGCCUGCUGCGGGUGACCUGCGACGCAUCAAGCAGCAGCCCGGGGAAACCCUGCAGAAGUACAUCCAGCGCUUCAACAGCGUUCGCCUCAAGAUCCCCAAGGUGUCGGAUGAAGCCAUCAUAUCAGCAUUCUCUGAUGGCGUCCGCGAUGUCAAGAUGAAGGAGGAGCUCGCAGUACACAAGGACCUGUGCACGGCCCUAGAGAUGUUCAACAUGGCGACCAAGUGUGCGAGAGCUGAGGAAGGACGCCUCUCCCUCCUGGAGCUCCCAUCGGCCAACCCAUAAGACAAGAAGGCCAAGGCCAAGGACGUGAAGCGAAGGGGGCGGUCGUGCUCACGGCUGAACCGGAGAUGAAGCGCGGCUGCGACCACCCAGAGUCAUUCAAGGGCAGUCGCCCAUUCUGCGUCUUCCACAAUGUACACAGCCACAACACCAAUGACUGUCAGGAGCUCAGGCCCAUCCGCAACGGGCGCCUCAGUCGUCGCCCCGAGCGCAACGAUCAAGGCUACGGUCAUGGAGGAGGCUAGAAUGGAGGAUGCUGGGAUGACCGCGGCCCACGCCAGGAGUGGCGCGACCAGCCUCGUGAGGAACGCUGGCAGGGCCAGCCUUGUGAGGGCGCCUGGAGAGAUCAGCCUCGUGAGGACCACCCUCAGGGCAACGCUGGCCUCCCUUCGUUGCCACCACCACCAAGAAGGAACGAUGACCACCACCAGGACAAGGGGGCUGGGGGCUUCCAGGAGCCUCGUGCCAUCGCCUGCAUCCUGGGCGGUGCUCAGGCCCCAGCCUCUCAUCGCAUCUUCAAGCAGUUUGCCCGCGAAGUGAACGCAGCUCUCCCCAGGCUCGAGGCCACGCGACCGCUCAGGUGGUCCAAGUGCACCAUCACCUUCAGCUCGUUAGACCAGCUCAAGUGCGCAGCAACUACCGACGCCCUCCCGAUGCACUGCUCACCCGUCAUCAGCAACGUCCAGGUCACCAAAACCCUCAUCGACGGCGGUGCGAGGCUCAAUGUUCUUUCCAUCGAGGCGUUCGACCGCCUCCAAGUGCCCUAUGAUCAGCUACAACCCACCAAGCCUUUCUCAGGAGUGACCGACGGCUCCACCACCCCGAUAGGGCAGAUCCGCCUCCCUGUCACCUUCGGCUAGCGCGAAAACUACCGCACCGAGCUCAUCGACUUUGAUGUCGCCCACAUCCGUCUGCCAUACAACGCCAUCCUCGGGUAUCCAGCAUUGGCCAAGUUCAUGGCGGUGACUCACCAUGGUUACAAUGUCCUCAAGAUGCCAGGGAACCGCGACAUCAUCACCAUCGCAUGCGAGGAGAAGGAUGCAGUGUGCUCCCUCGAGCGCGCCUACCAGGCUGCAGCGGUCGAGGACCCAGACAACGAAGGCACCAUCUACCCUCCUGAGGCGUCCCCAAGAAGAAGAAGUGCUGCUCCGCCAAGAGCCUCAGGAGAGCGGUGUCUCCAGCAGCACCACCUCAGGACCUGCGCCCACAGACGAGGCGCCUCCCUCUCUCGCAUAGGAAGGCGCGCUCGGCCCCCCUCUCAGGCUGGGCUCGGGGGCUCUCCUCUGGAGGGCCUUUGACCUAGCCAACGUCGCGACGGAGGCGCCCGGGCACCACGUGGAGGCGUGCUUCAGCGCGCGCUUCCGCCAGGAGGGCACAAGGCAUGGGAUGCCAGGUGCUCAGGAGUUCAUCACCAAGACAAUCGAGGAGCUUCAAGAGGCGAGAGCCAUGCGCGGCAACCGCCACCCACACCUGGCGCGGCUCCUCGUUCUGGCGAGGAUAGCGAGUUGCGCGUCUGCGUCGACAUUCCAGGGCUCAACAGGGCCGCAUCCCAGGAGCGCUUCUAGCCAUUGCACGUUGGUCGGUGUGAGGGCCCCCCUCAUAGCUACGUUUGCAUGCCUUUAGGCCUGCCGAACGCGGCUGUUACCUUCCAACAUCGCCUGUGGAGCAUUCUGGCGGCCUAGGAGGCCAAGCACCAGGCGGUCCUGGCGGAGAUGGCGACGGUUCUUCACGAGCCCCCUGAGCACCCAGAUCCUCCCGAGGUUUAGGACCCAGGCGGCUCGUGAGGAGCGACUUCUUCAGCACGCAUCUUCAGCUACUCCAACACCUCUUCAGCAACGGUGCCAGGUGACAUUUUCCGGUUUAUUCAGUUGGGGGCGUCCCUCAGGCUGCAUUAUCCCUAGAUCGCAUGGGCCUGUCCCUGCGACAUGUAUCCUUUUGCAUCUUUGAUUUGCUCUAUUGGGGGCUCCCCUCGGGCUGCAUCAUCCCCAGGCCGCGUGGGUCCGUCCCUGUGGCAUGUAUCAUUUUGCAUCUAUCAAAACUAGCUUUACCUCUUUCCAUAAGAUGAUUUAUGCUAUCACCUGCUUGCCUGUUGCCCUUCGCGGCAUCCCGCGUUGCUGACCGGUCUCCUGCUCAUCCCGCAAUGGGGGCUACACAUGCUGGCAUGACGCUUGUGCUCGGGUCCGUCCCUGCAACGCUGACAAACCUGAGAGAUCAAGCUCUAGCUCGCGGCCCGCCCUGCGCACGUCACCUCACCAGAUCCUCAGUGCCUUCAUCUUCUUGCGGAAAGAUUAGCGGCAGGACAACAAACACGGUUAUGAGUUAUAUUCUCCUCUCAGACUAACCCGCGGGAAUCUCUAGAGUUUAACUACAGGCGGUCCCAUCGGCCGCCCCUUUUUUACGCGAUUCGCUUGCGCGUUAAAGGGGGGCUCCUGAGCAUCGUGCCUCAGGAGCUCCUACUGACUCUCCAGCCCUCACCCCUGGCCUUGACCACGGCAUCGCGACUUGGCAUACCAGUGGCGGCUGAGUCUCGCUCAAGAGUCGGGACCCGAGGACGCAGAGCAUUUAGAUGAGCGAGGAAAGGGGAGGCCGGUGUGAGCCCUAGCUGGUAGCACCACCACUAAAGCGCGAAUCGAGCGCCGCGCAAAGGAAUCACCCCAGGCUCAUCAAGAUAAGUUACUUAUACAAACCAGCGCGAACCCGCUGCCUGGAAUUUUCGACUCUCGUAAUCUCGCUCCAGCAAUGCCGCUUCCCUUUUUGGCCUUCAGGGAGCUGCUUGCACGCCAAAGGGGACCUCUUGAGCAUCGCGCCUCAGGAGCUCUUACCGGACCUCGGGCCUCUCACUUCCUGGCCUUGACCAUGGCAUCGCGACCUGGCAUACCAGCGAGGGCUGAAGCCUGCCUGGGGACUGGGACCUGCCGGUGUAGAGCGCUAAGCUACUGCGAGAAUGAAAACAGGGAACAAUGCCGAAGCGGGACACAUAGCUGCGACCUUAUAGUAAGAGUAAUAAACAUGGGAGCAAAAGCAUUACAAGUUCUUUACAUACCACCACGGGGUUCGUCUCGAUUCCUCGCAGGGAACAAAAGGAGGAAAACCUCAAGAAGCCUUGGCUACGGGCACCGCCGUCGACGCCAUCAUCAAUAGUGGGCCACGGGAGGCCGACGCCAACCCCAUCCAGAUCAUCGUCGACGCCGAGCGGAUGCCGCUGCCGCACUCCGGGAAUGGCGAGAGCUCGGUGGCACAUAGCUGUCAUCGCUUGACUCCGGAGACUCGCUAGGCUCGGAAGAGUCGUUGGACUCCCAGGAGUCGUCGCUGCUGCUGGAGGAGCUGUCGACAGGACCGGAGGUGGGCUCGGUGCCCGCAGUCGCGCCACGCAGGCCGCUUCCCCCAGGGCAGCACUCCAGGCGACGGCCCUCCUUGUCGAAGACCUUGAAUGACAGCGUAGAGGCGCCGUCGUACUUAAAAUGGAUAGCGAGGGCCCCCUCCACGCGACAGGCGCGGGCGACCUCGCCCCAUCCUCGGGUCAUGAAGAUCUUGCCCGGGGGGCGACCUCGAGCUCCACCCCCGUGGCCAAACUACAGCACCUGGCGUGCUGCAGCCACAACUCAAGCGGCCCCCUCGGUGACAACUCCUCGGCGAAGAACCACAGGAGCUGGAUCCACGUACGCGGUGGCAUCGCCGCCCACACCACGAACUUGUGCGAGGAGCCUUCGGUGUGGGUUCGCAUGCCAGCAGCUCGUGCAACCUCAGCCUGGCCACCACGGCUGUGGCUUGCGCGGCGCAGGGCAUUGUCGCCCUCUCCAGAGCCUUGCGCUUGGGCGUACAGAGGGAGAGGAAAGCCAGGCGGAGGCCGCUCAUACCAUGGUCGUGUCACCUCCGGCCUCUCGCCGAUGUUGCGAGGAUGGCUGAGCCUCUUCUUCGGUGGGAGUGGCCCCUACUCCUCACGAGAGGUUUUCCCUUUCUCCACGGCGGAGAACCUCCUAAUCGGCGCCAUGAGUGCUACGGCAAGUCAACAAGGCUAGGAGGAGGAAGAAGGAGUGGGUGGCGAGAAGAUAGAGAUGAGCAAGGGGGCUCCGCCCCCCUCAUUUAUAGCCAGAAGAAGGCCAACCGCCGACCUCCACGAUCACACAUAAUGAUGGUUUUCUCUGCAUGCAGCAAGGUCUCGUCAAGUCGAACGGUUGCCGAGGCAACGUGGGGAAGCGGAGACGCCCACGUCCCAUCAAUCGCCACGCGUCAACCAAGGCCACAGGCGGUUGGGGCCCGCGGCGCUCCGCACUUGCCCUUUGGCUUCGCCUCGAAGCCAAGUUCGAGCGCGCCUUGGGCCCGGGGGCUACUGUCGGCGUCCUAGGAACGGGGGUACCCAGACUUGCCUGCCUGCGGCCCAUGGCGUGGCUCCGUCGACGGCCUGGUAUGGCCCAGCUUCAGCAACAACAACUCAAGACCCUCGUGAGGGGCCAAGCCUCGCGAGGCGGAUGACACCAAGACCUCCACGAGGGGCAGCCUCCCCAAGCUGGCUCCUGAGAAGCGGAGAUAUCAAUGUAGGCUACACCUCGCGAGGUUCACAUGACGUGAGCCGUGACGACCAAGGCCAGGCGGGCGCCAGCGGGCGCAGUGUACCAGUUUCCUCUUCGGUGCUAAGGAGGCAAGCGCAGGCGCGGGGUCCCGAGGAAUCAAGCAAAGGUUUCCAUAGCGGUGCAACAAGACCAAGACCACCAGGACGGCAAGACGGAGGUCAUUGCGGAUCCCACUGCAGCAUCACCACCAGAGGCUUUUGCAGGCGAAGACCACUUUUGUCAGGAUAACUUGUACUAGUUGUCUCCCUUCGAAUUUGGCCGUUGUGGGAUCCCUUCCCGCCUACAUUUGGGAAGAGGACCAAGGCCACUAUAAAUAGGACUUAGCCACCACCAUAGAGGGACGAAUUCAUUCCACCCUGACCACCUCACCAGCUCAUCGAGCUCUAGAACACCUCACCUCCUGAGGCUGUUCCACCACUAUACUAGUUCAUCCUCAGCCCCUUGAGGCAAUCCACCACAAAGCUGGUAUUACACCGCAAGGUGGCCUGAACCAGGAUAAACUGAUGUGUCUCUUGUCCCUUGGGUUCGUCGAGCUAGGCCUUGGAAUCGUUGAGCGGGCAGACUGGGGAGGACGAGUUCUUCGCACGCACCCCAGAGUUCGAACCUCUCAAGGGUCUGCGGAACCCUGAAUCCGACACUUGUCAUGCCCAUCGCCGAUAGGGUUGGCCAGAUCCCCGGGACAAUGGGUCAUCAAAGGCAUUAGUUCUUCUUGUAUCAUCUUGUCGCUAGCGUAGUCCAUGUGAAAGAUACAUUUAUCUGAAAUUAGAACUGCACUUGGCUUGUGAUGUAAUAUAACUCAUGCUGUUUAGGUGAAUGUAUGUUGUUUCCCUGGUCUGAUUUUGUCUUUGCAUGUUUUGUACCCUACGCUUUGCCGAAAACUUGCCGAUGCACACACUCUUGCCACGUGCGCUUGAUGAACGGGUCCUUAGCAGCCUACCGGAAGUGCCGCUGCCGACAAGAUCACACUUGGUGAUCACAAUGCAACUACUUAAGUUGUUGAGAGGACUCAAAACAAAGUAAGAGCACAGCUGAUCACGACAAGGUUCCUUCGCGUGCAGGUUUCUCAUACAAAAGCUAAAAAGGUUCAAGGAAAAGCAGUAAUCACAACAAAGAAUUUGUUUCAAAGUUUUUCAACUUAUCUUUUUCUUUGUUGUACUUCUUGUCGUAAAAUGAUAACUUGAACAUCACUUGUCGGUAUCCAUACCAUCACUCCCCCUGGUAAACUUGCACAUGACGUAACCUUCUAUUCUUUGAGAAAAAGAAAAAAGAGAAAAGAGGAGGCUGGAAAACUUGACGGUUCUUUAAGCAUUUCAUACAAGGCAUAAAUGUAACACAACAUCACAUAUAAACAUGCACAAUUUAACAUGUGAAUUGACAAGAGAUGUCAAACAUUUAUCUUUAUUUCACUAUGCACAAGGUCUGCCCAUGGCUUUGUACAAAGGAUUACAUGCCUUGUCGGCAGACUUGUACAAAAGAGGUUGCUGGGAGGCCCGCCUCACGAGUAGAACUUGCGAAGAUGCUCAAUAUUCCAUGAGUUCUGCACCUGAGUGCCUUCUUUGGUCUCUAGAUGGACUGCUCCAGGUCUGGUGACUCAUGCUACCCGAUAAGGGCCUUCCCACUUUGGCGUCAACUUGUUUGAUCCCUUCGCGGACUGGAUCCAACAAAGAACAAGGUCGCCUUCCUAAAAGCUCUGGGGUUGUACUCUACGGCUAUGAUAGCGGCACAGAGCUUGUUAGUAUCGUGCAGCAUGCACAGCAGCCCGAAGACAAUCUUCCUCAAGGAGCAUGGCAUCAUCUUGCCACAACUGCUCUUGGUCAACUUCAUCAUAAGCGAGCACUCGAGGUGACCCGUACAUGAGUUCUGUGGGGAGCAUCGCUUCUGCACCAUAGACUAGGGAGAAGGGCGUCUCGCCUGUGGCUCAAUCUGGUGUCGUCCUAAGUGGUGAAUGAACCGUUGGCAGCUCAUCAAUCGAGCACCUUCCACACUUGUGCAUCUUGUCGAAAGUUCUUGUCUUGAGUCUGCGCAUCACUUCAGCAUUUUCUCUUUCCGCCUAGCCAUUGUUUCUCGGGUGAGCAACUGACGAAGUAUAGAUUUUGCUGCCAAGGUCUUGGAUGUACAACAUGAAGGUGUGACUCAUGAACUAUGUGCCGUUGUCAGUGAUAAUCCUGUUGGGCACUCCAAAAUGGCAAACAAGUCCUUUGAAAAACUUGAGGGAUGACUGUGCUAUCACCUUCCUCACCGACUCUACCUCAGGCACUUCGUGAACUUGUCGAUGGCAACAUACAAGUACUCGAAGCCCCCGGUAGCACAUGGGAAGGAGCACAAGAUGUCGAGCCCCUAGACCGAGAAGGGCCAGGAGAGAGGGAUUGUCCGAAGGGCUUGAGCUGGCUAAUAUAUAUUCUUGGAAUGGAACUGGCACGCUUCACACUUGGUUACUAGUGCAGUUGCAUCCUGGAGAGCAGUGGGCCAAUAGAAGCCUUGCCGAAAAGCUUUUCUGACAAGGGCCCUUAAUCCUAUGUGAGAGCCACAUAUGACUCCAUGUAUCUCUACCAACAGCUUCUGUCCAUCUUCCCGGCAAAUGCAGUUCAAUUUCACCCCAUUUGGUCUCUUUCUGUGUAAAAUGUUGUCAACGAACUGAUACAUACUUGACUGACGGGCUACUUUUUCAGCUUCUUGCUCUUCGGGAAGUUCUCGUGUCUGAAUAAAAUGUGCCCAUGUCAGAGCUGGUGGCUCGACGACAAGAACUAAAGGCAACUCUUCUGCCGCGGGAGCGCUUGUCUUGAUGGCAAGGACCUGAGAUCCUACCGGAGCCUGCUACUCACCGGCAAGCAUGGUGCUGUUUCCGACAACUUCCUUUCUGGCGGCUGCUGGGAGCUCUGCUAGAAAGUAACCGCCAGAGUUCAACUUUCUGUAACAGAUGGCUGAGUCAACUGGAGCACAAAAGUCCCUGGUUCCACAGGAAAUCUCUUGGCGGCACGCUUUGACAGAUCAUCAACAAUGAUGUUUUCCGCAUGAGGAAUGUGCUCUGUUUGUAAUCCAUAAAAGUGCUCUUCCAAUUUUCUCAUUUCAUCCACAUAUGCUUCCAUCAACAGGCUCUGGUAAUCCUUGUUGACCUGCUUCACACCUAACUGCGAGUCGCCUCUGAUGAUGAGCUUUCUAAUUCCAAGGUCUACUAUGAUCCUGAGAUUGGCAAGCAAUCCUUCAUACUCGAUAGUAUUGUUGGUAGCUUUCUCCAGGGGAAAAUGCAUUUGUAUCACAUACUUGAGGUGCUCUCUAGUGUGUGUGGCAAGCACCCUCUGGCACCGGUGCCUUGCAGCCAAAAAGCACCAUCGAAGUACAUAAUCCAAUCUUGCUCCGUUGUUUCCUUGUCGGCGAGAGAGAUCUCUUGAAUCUCUUCGUCUUGCGUUGGUGCCCCUUCUGUAAUGAACUCCGCCAAGGCUCUUCUCUGUAUAGUUGAUGUACUUUGAAACUUUAGGUCAAAGCUUGGCAACUCCAAUGCCCACUCCACAAUUCUACUGGUUGCAUUUAGAUUUCUCAAAAUGCGCUGCAUUGGAAAGCAAGUGACGACGGUGAUCUGGUGGGCUUGGAAGUAAUUGUGCAGCUUCCUUGCGGCCAUGAGGAGGACAAAGAGCAACUUCUGCAUGCCAGAGUACCUUGACCUAGCCCCUGGAGAAGAGAGCUGACAAAGUAGACUGGGCACUGCACCAUUUUCUUCUUCGGCACCACGUGCUGAUUUGUUGCAUUUGCUUGCUCUGCAUCUAACUUGUCGGCACCUGGACUUGCCGGAGAAGAUUCCGAUUUGUCGCUUGACGGCUCUGCGGCUUCUUCUUCUUUGUCAUCGGUUUCUCUUUCUGCCACUAAUGCAGCACUAGCCACUUGAUUUGUUGCCACCAAGUAUAGUAGCAACGGCUCUUAUGGCUUUGGCGCAACUAGUGUUGCCGAAGAGGAGAGGUACUUCUUCAAGUCUUACAUUGUGGCCUCUGCUUCCCGAGUCCAUUUCAUUGGACCUGCCUUUUUCAAGAUUUUGAAAAAUGGCAGGGCGCGCUCAGCAAACUUGGAGAUGAACCUGCUUAGUGCAGCAACAUAGCCGGCAAGACGUUGCACAUCCUUGACGUGCUUCGGUGCUUCAAUCUGCUCAAUUGCCUUCAGGAUUGGCUUCAAUUCCAUGUUGAUAUACAAAGAACCCAAGAAGCUUGCCGGAUGGAAUGCCAAACAUACACUUCUUGGGAUUGAGCUUCAGAUUGAUCUUGCACAGAUUUGCAAAUGUUUCUUCUAAAUCUUGUAUGAGGGUUAAUUUGUCCUUGGUUUUGACCACUAUAUAAACAUUUAGGCUUCCACAUUUCUAUGUAGCUGAGGCUCUCAAAACCGAUCUGGAUAGCCCUCGCAAAGGUUGAACCAGCACUCUUCAAUCCGAAAGGCAUACUUAUAAAGCAAUACCUGCCACAUGGAGUGAUGAAUGUGGUUUUAUCCUCAUCUUACUUGGACAUGAAAAUCUGAUGGUAACCAAAGUAGGCAUCAAGGAAUGAGAGUAAUUCACAGCUGGCAGUGGACUCCACAAUCUGGUCGAUAUGCGUCAAAGGAAAAGGAUCUUUUGGACAAGCUUUAUUGAUAUCAGCGUAGUCAAUACAAUGCCUCCAUUUCCUGUUUGCCUUGUGCAGUACGACUGGAUUGGAUAACCAAGGAUGGAGAACUCCUCUAACCAGGCCUACCGCUUCUAGUAUCUUGAUUUCUUCGGCAAUGAACUCUUGCCACUCCAGGGCUUUCUUCCUGACCUUCUACUUGACAGGUCGCACAUGUGGGCAGACAACAAGGUUGUGCUCAAUUACCUCCCUGGGAACACAAGGGAUGUCAUAUGGUUGCCAUGCAAACACAUCGCAGGAGGGCAACAUGCGCUUUCCUAUUUGUCAUCAAGGGUGGCACUUAUGGUGAAAGUGCCUCCCGUAUCGUCCUCCUUUGCACACACCUUCUUGGUUGCUGCUGGAGCUGCCUUGGACUUCUAGCUCUUGCCGACAAAGCUCUCCGGCAAAUCCUCAACGGGUGCACAAUGAUACGUCUGCAAUGUAUCUAUAAUGUAUGAAGUAUUCAAGCCAUGUUUACAACAAUUUUAUAUGGUUUUGAUAUGAUUUGAUUAGAACUAACCAGGACUAACGCUAUUUUCAGCAGAACUACCGUGGUGUCAUUUUUUGUGCAGAAAUAAAAGUUCUCGGAAUGGGCUGAAAAUUUACGGUGAUUUUUUGUGGACCAAAGGAGACCUCCGAAGCGUUGUGGGAGGACCAGAAGACCCACGAGUAAAUGAAAAGCUCGCCAGGAGCACCCUACCCUCCACGGAGGAGCGACCAAUCUUGCCACUGCCUCGUGGACCCCCUUGACGUGAGACCGACGCCAAAAAUUCCUAUAAAUACCCAAACCCCCGAAAGAACCCUAGAUGAGAAGUUCUACUGCUGAAAGACUCUGUAUCCACAAAAAUCAAUCGGGACCCCGUUCCGGCACCUUGCCGGAGGGGGAAAUCAUCACUAGAGGUCAUCUUCAUCAUCCCGGGGCCACCAUGAUGAGGAGGGAGUAGUUCACCCUCGGGCUGAGGGUAUGUACCAGUAGCUAUGUGUUUGAUCUCUCUCUCUCUCUCUCUCCCGUGUUCUUGAUUUGGCAUGAUCUUGAUGUACCGCGAGCUUUGUUAUUAUAUUUGGAUCUUAUGGUGUUCUUCCCUCUCUACCUUCUUGUGAUGAAUUGAAUCUUUUCCUUUGAGGUUUUGUUAUGCCGGAUUGAAUUUUUUGGAUGUGAGAGCACUUGAUGUAUGUCUUGCAAUGGGAUAUCCGUGGUGACAAUGGGAUGUUCGAUUGAUUCACUUGAUGUAUGUUUUGGUUAUCAACUUGCGGAUUCCCAUGGUGACAUUGGGGUAAUCUAUGCAUAGGGUUUGAUACGCAUUUUCAUAUUCCUUUCUCCGAUAGAAAUCUUGGGGUACUCUUUGAAGUUCUUUGUGUUGGAUUGAAUAUUAUGAAUCUGAAGUUGUUUGAUGCAUAUCGUAUAAUCAACUCACGGAUACUUGUGGUGACGUUUGAGUAUCUAGGUGACAUUAGAGUUGGUUGAUGUGUAUCAUAUGGUGUUAUUUUAGUAUGAACUAUAGGGUUGUUUGUGAUACUUAUAGGAAUAGCUCAAUGGAUUGAUUAGAGAGAAUAGCUUUGAGGUGGUUUCAUACCCUACAAACAAUUUCAUCUUAUGUUCUCCGCGAUAGGAACUUUGGAGUGAUUCUUUGUUGCACGUUGAGGGAUUGUUAUAUGAGCCAAUUAUGUUAUCACUGUUGAGAGAUUUUGCACUAGUGAAAGUAUGAACCAUAGGACUUGUUUUCAAGCAUUGCAAUACCAUUUUUGCCUACUUUUGUUACUAGUUACCUUGCUGUUUUUAUAUUUUCAGAUUACAAAAACCUAUAUCUACUAUCCAUAUUAUACUUGUAUCACCAUCUCUUCACCGAACUAGUGCACCUAUACAAUUUAUCAUUGUAUUGGGUGUGUUGGGGACACAAGAGUCUCUUUCUUAUUUGGUUGCAGGGUUGUUUGAGCGAGACCAUCUUCAUCCUACGCCUCCCACGGAUUGAUAAAUCUUAGGUCAUCCACUUGAGGGGAAUUUGCUACUGUCCUACAAAAAUCUGCGCUUGGAGGCCGAACACGAGUCUACAAGAACAAGUUGUGUCACAACACUCCAAAGAGGUGUGCUUCCCGGAGUCCUUGUAAGAGGUCUUGCCGGUCUUAUUCUUCUCCCCCUAGGAGCUUUGCCAGCAGGACCAGGUGCCUUGGCAGCAGAUGUUGCCACUACCUCUCGGUAGAGUUGAUCAGCGCAGCUGACCUCGUCUUUCUUGUUGGAGUGGCUGGUGAUGAUGCUCAUCGGCCCUGGCAUCUUGAGCGUGUUGUAGGCAUAAGUGUGAUGCUACCAUAUACUUAGCCAGCAGCGGGCGGCCAAGGAUUCCAUUAUAUGGCAAUGGAAUCUUUAUGACAUCGGAGAUGAUCUUCUCCGUUAUGUAGUUCAGCUCGCUGCCAAAUGUUACCGGCAGUGUGAUCUUCCCCUUCGACUGUCUUCUUCCUGGAUUGAUUCCCUGGAAUGUGCCUGUCUGCUUGAGAUCCUCGUCGGGGAUUUGUAGCCUCUUGAUUACAUCUGGUGAGAUCAAGUUCAAGCCCGCCCCACCGUCAACCAACAUCUUUGUGACUUUGAGGUUGCGGAUUGUUGGUGAAACCAACAACGACAAACACCCAACCGCAGCUGUGCGAUCAGGGUGAUCCUCGACAUGAAAGAUGAUGGGCGUGUUGGACCACUUGAGCGGCUUUUGUGCACCUACUGCCGGUUCCACUGCAUUGAUCUAACGCGCCCACUGAUACGUCUCCAAUGUACCUAUAAUUUUUGAUUGUUCCAUGCUAUUAUAUUAUCUGUUUUGGAUAUUCAAUGGGCUUUAUUGUACACUUUUAUAUUAUUUUUGGGACUAACCUAUUAACCGGAGGCCCAGCCCAAAUUUAUGUUUUUUUGCCUAUUUCAGUGUUCCGAAGGAAAGGAAUAUCAAAUGGAGUCCAAAUGGAAUGAAACCUUCGGGAACGUGAUUUUCUGAACAAAUGUGAUCCAGAGGACUUGGAGUGGACGUCAAGCAAUCAACAAGGAGGCCACGAGGCAGGGGGGCGCGCCCUCCACCCUCAUGGGCCCCUCGUAGCUCCACCGACCUACUUCUUCCUCCUAUAUAUACCUACGUACCCCGAAAACAUCAGAUACGGAGCCAAAACCCUAUUUCCACCGCCGCAACCUUCUGUACCCGUGAGAUCCCAUCUUGGGGCCUUUUCCGGCACUCCGCCGGAGGGGGCAUUGAUCACGGAGGGCUUCUACAUCAACACCACAGCCUCUCUGAUGAUGUGUGAGUAGUUUACCUCAGACCUUCGGGUCCAUAGUUAUUAGCUAGAUGGCUUCUUCUCUCUCUUUGGAUCUCAAUACAAAGUUCUCCUCGAUUCUCUUGGAGAUCUAUUCGAUGUAAUCUUAUUUUGCGGUGUGUUUGUCGAGAUCCGAUGAAUUGUGGGUUUAUGAUCAAGAUUAUCUAUGAACAAUAUUUGAAUCUCCUCUAAAUUCUUUUAUGUAUGAGUGGUUAUCUUUGCAAGUCUCUUCGAAUUAUCAGUUUGGUUGGGCCUACUAGAUUGAUCUUUCUUGCAAUGGGAGAAGUGCUUAGCUUUGGGUUCAAUCUUGCGGUGCUCGAUCCCAGUGACAGUAGGGGAAACGACACGUACUGUAUUGUUGCCAUCGAGGAUAAAAAGAUGGGGUUUAUAUCAUAUUGCAUGAGUUUAUCCCUCUACAUCAUGUCAUCUUGCUUAAAGUGUUACUUUGUUCUUAUGAACUUAAUACUCUAGAUGCAUGCUGGAUAGCGGUCGAUGUGUAGAGUAAUAGUAGUAGAUGCAGGCAGGAGUCGGUCUACUUGUUACGGACGUGAUGCCUAUAUACAUGAUCAUACCUAGAUAUUCUCAUAACUAUGCUCAAUUCUAUCAAUUGCUCGACAAUAAUUUGUUUACCCACCAUAAUACUUAUGCUAUCUUGAGAGAAGCCACUAGUGAAACCUAUGGCCCCCGGGUCUAUUCUCCAUCAUAUUAAUCUCCCGUCAACAAGCUAUUUCUAUUACCGUUUAUUUUGCUUUCUUUACUUUUAGUCUUUAUCAUAAAAAUACCAAAAAUAUUAUCUUAUCAUCUCUAUCAGAUCUCACUUUUGCAAGUGGUCGUGAAGGGAUUGACAACCCCUUUAUCGCGUUGGUUGCAAGGUUCUUAUUUGUUUGUGUAGGUACGAGGGACUUGCGUGUGGCCUCCUACUGGAUUGAUACCUUGGUUCUCAAAAACUGAGGGAAAUACUUACGCUACUUUACUGCAUCACCCUUUCCUCUUCAAGGAAAAACCAACGUAGUGCUCAAGAGGUAGCAAGAAGGAUUUCUGGCGCCGUUGUCGGGGAAUUCUACGCACAAGUCAAGACAUACCAAGUACCCAUCACAAACUCUUAUCCCUCGCAUUACAUUAUUUGCCAUUUGCCUCUCGUUUUCCUCUCUCCCACUUCACCCUUGCCAUUUUAUUCGCCCUUUUUCAUUCGCCUUCUUCCCGUAUGUAUCUUUGUUUGUGUUUCCAUGCGCCUUCUAUUUGCUUCAUCUUUGCUUGCUAAAAAUCUAUUGACAUGGAUCCACUUAAAGCUUACUACUUGAAUCAUCUUCGAUCCUUAUGCGCUCGUGCUGAAACCCCAACUAGCCUAGUUGAUGGGAAAUCUUUAGAUGAGCAUGCUCAUUUUGUGCAUCAUCAUUUGUCUGAAAAGGGGAAGCUCUUAUGGUAUCAUAUAAAUAGUUUGCUAUGCUAUGCUUGGAAUCUUUGUGAAAUUUAUGAUUUUACUUGUUGCUCUAAGAACCCUAAAAAACACAUUCCCUACCUAUGUGAGUUUAAUGAUAAUGAAAUCUUAUCUUCUUAUGGAAAGGGUGUUUAUAGUUACUAUGAUAUCAAACAAAUUUAAGAAUUUGUCGUUUUUAAGGGUGCUCAUGAAGUUUCUUCUUUGAUUGAAAAGUAUGAUAUUACUCUCUACAAAUCUGAGAAUUCCGACAUACUUAAAUAUUGCUAUGAAAACUAUGCUCAUAAUGUCUAUGUCAAAGAAUUUAUUGAGAGAAGGACCAUUGCUUUGGAAGAAAAUAAUGAUAUGCAUGAAUCUAUAGAUAAUGAUGAUUUUGAUGAUUUGAUUGAAAUAUCCCUUGAUGAACAUGAUGCUUGCUAUUCUUGUGGCCAUGAUGCCAAUAUUUAUGGAGAUGAAUUUGCUAUAGUCCCUUAUGUUAAACAUGAGAUCGUUGCUAUUACAACCAUACUUGUUAGUUCCUUCGAUGAAAAGCUUGAUUGCAAUGAUGUUACUAUAAAUUCUUUUGAUGUCAAUUGUGUUAAUAAUAUGCAAAACCCUAAGCUUGGGGAUGCUAGUUUUGUUAUGACUACUAUUUGUUGCAAUGAUCAUGAUUGGGGUGAUUCUUCUUUUGAUCUUGAAAAUUUAUUUAAGCCCCAUGACGAAUAUGAGAUUAAUAAUAGUGUUUGCAAUAAUAUUGAAAGUGGGUUUGGAAGAGUGUCAACUUUAGAUCCCACAUAUUUGGAGAACGUUCAAUCUUAUGAAUUUUUUGAUAAAAGUGGGUUGGAGAGGUCAUGACUUUAGUUAAUGUUAAUCCCACUAUUUUGGAAGAGUGUCAACUUCGCAUACAUGUGGAUCGUGUUAAGAAUAUGUUUUGUGAUAGCUAUAUUGUUGAAUUUUCUUAUGAUCCUACAUGUAAUUAUUAUGAGAGAGGAAAAUAUGGUUGUAGAAAUUUUCAUGUUACUAAAUUACCUCUCGUUAUGUUGAGAUUGCUAUUGUUUCGCUCUUCUUCCUUGCAUAUGGUAGUUUUUGCUUGCCUUGAUAAUUUGUUUGCUUAUAAAAUGCCUAUGCAUAGGAAGUAUGUUAGACUUAGAUGUGUUUAUCACGUCUUCUAUGAUGCUCUCUUUGUGCUUUAAUUAUUAUCUUUCGUGUGAGCAUCGUUGAAAUUUUAUGCCUAGCUAGGGGCGUUAAACGAUAGCGCUUGUUGGGAGGCAACCCAAUUUUAUUUUUGUUUCUUGCAUUUUAUUUCUGUUUAGUAAUAAAUAUUUGAUCUAGCCUCUGGUUAGAUGUGUUUUUAUGUUUUAAUUAGUGUUUGUUCCAAGUUAAACCUAUAGGAUCUUCUUGGAUGAUAGUUAUUUGAUCUUGCUGAAAAUUCCAGAAACUUUCUGUUCAUGAAAACAAUUGUUCAAAAUCACCAGAACGUGAUAAAAUACUGAUUCCAAUUGCAGUAGAUCAAUAAACAAAUUAUCUAGGUCUUCCUAUUUUGGUAGAUUUUUCUGAGUUCCAGAAGUUUGCGUUAGAUACAGAUUACUACAGACUGUUCUGUUUUUGACAGAUUCUGUUUUUCGUGUGUUGUUUGCUUAUUUUGAUGAAUAUAUGGCUAGUAAUAGAGCUUAUGAACCAUAGAAAAGUUUGAAUACAGUAGGUUUAACACCAAUAUAAAUGAAGAAUGAGUUCAUUACAGUACCUUGAAGUGGUGUUUUGUUUUCUUUCGCUAACGGAGCUCACGAGAUUUUCUGUUAAGUUUUGUGUUGUGAAGUUUUCAAGUUUUGGGUAAAUAUUUGAUGGAUUAUGGAACAAGGAUUGGCAAGAGCCUAAGAUUGGGGAUUCCCAAGGCACCCCAAGGUAAACUUAAAGAACAACCAAAAUCCUAGGCUUGGGGAUGCCCCGGAAGGCAUCCCCUCCUUCGUCUUCGUCUAUCGGUAACUUUACUCGGGGCUAUAUUUUUAUUCACCACAUGGCAUGUGUUUUGCUUGGAGCGUCUUGUAUGAUUUGAGUCUUUGCUUUUUAGUUUACCACAAUCAUCCUUGCUGUACACACCUUUUGAGAGAGACACACAUGAUUCGGAAUUUGUUAGAAUACUCUAUGUGCUUCACUUAUAUCUUUUGAGCUAUAUAGUUUUUGCUCUAGUGCUUCACUUAUAUCUUUUAGAGCACGGCGGUGGUUUUAUUUUAUAGAAAUUAUUGAUCUCUCAUGCUUCACUUAUAUUAUUUUGAGAGUCCUACAAAACAGCAUGGUAAUUUGCUUAAGUUGUGAAAUUAGUCCUAAAGUGAUGAGCAUCCAAGAUAGGUAUAAUAAAAACUAUCAUAUAGAGUGCAUUGAAUAUUAUGAGAAGUUUGAUACUUGAUAAUUGUUUUGAGAUAUGAAGAUGGUGAUAUUAGAGUCAUGCUAGUGAGUAGUUGUGAAUUUUAGAAAUACUUGUGUUAAAGUUUGUGAUUCUCGUAGCAUGCACGUAUGGUGAACCGUUAUGUGAUGAAAUCGGAGCAUGAUUUAUUUAUUGAUUGUCUUCCUUAUGAGUGGCGGUCGGGGACGAGCGAUGGUAUUUUCCUACCAAUCUAUCCCCCUAGGAGCAUGCGCGUAGUACUUCGUUUCGAUAACUAAUAGAUUUUUGCAAUAAUUAUGUGAGUUCUUUAUGACUAAUGUUGAGUCCAUGGAUUAUACACACUCUCACCCUUCCACCAUUGCUAGCCUCUCUAGUAUCGCUCAACUUUCGCCGGUACCAUACACCCACCAUUACCUUCCUCAAAACAGCCACCAUACCUACCUAUUAUGGCAUUUCCAUAGCCAUUCCGAGAUAUAUUUGUUGGGGAACGUAGUAAUUUCAAAAAAAUUCCUACGCACAUGCAAGAUCAUGGUGAUGCAUAGCAACGAGAGGGGAGAGUGUUGUCCACGUACCCUCGUAGGCCGACAGUGGAAGCGUUAUCACAACGCGGUUGAUGUAGUCGUACGUCUUCACGAUCCGACCGAUCAAGUACCGAACGUACGGCACCUCCGAGUUCUACACACGUUCAGCUCGAUGACGUCCCUCGAACUCCGAUCCAGCCGAGUGUUGAGGGAGAGUUUCGUCAGCACGACGGCGUGGUGACGAUGAUGAUGUUCCACCGACGCAGGGCUUCGCCUAAGCUCCGCAACGGUAUUAUCGAGGUGUAAUAUGGUGGAGGGGGGCGCCGCACACGGCUAAGAGAUCUCAAGGAUCAAUUGUUGUAUAUCUGGGGUGCCCCCCUGCCCCCGUAUAUAAAGGAGCAAGGGGGAGGCAGCCGGCCAAGGGGAGAGGCGCGCCAUAGGGGGGAGUCCUACUCCCACCGGGAGUAGGACUCCUCCUUUCCUUGUGGGAGUAGGAGAAGGGAAGGGGGAAGGAGAAAGAAGGAAGGGUGCGCCCCCCUUCCCUAGUCCAAUUCGGACCAGACCAUGGGGAGGGGUGCGGCCACCUUUUGAGGCCUUUCUCUCCUUUCCCGUAUGGCCCAUUAAGGCCCAAUACGAAUUCCCGUAACUCUCCGGUACUCCGAAAAAUACCCGAAUCACUCGGAACCUUUCCGAAGUCCGAAUAUAGUCGUCCAAUAUAUCGAUCUUUACGUCUCGACCAUUUCGAGACUCCUCGUCAUGUCUCCGAUCUCAUCCGGGACUCCGAACUCCUUCGGUACAUCAACAUACAUAAACUCAUAAUAAAACUGUCAUCGUAACGUUAAGCGUGCGGACCCUACGGGUUCGAGAACUAUGUAGACAUGACCGAGACACGUCUCCGAUCAAUAACCAAUAGCGGGACCUGGAUGCCCAUAUUGGCUCCCACAUAUUCUACGAAGAUCUUUAUCGGUCAGACCGCAUAACAACAUACGUUGUUCCCUUUGUCAUCGGUAUGUUACUUGCCCGAGAUUCGAUCGUCGGUAUCUCGAUACCUAGUUCAAUCUCAUUACCGGCAAGUCUCUUUACUCGUUCCAUAACACAUCAUCCCGCAACUAACUUAUUAGUCACAAUGCUUGCAAGGAUUAUAUUGAUGUGCAUUACCGAGUGGGCCCAGAGAUACCUCUCCGACAAUCGGAGUGACAAAUCCUAAUCUCGAAAUACGCCAACCCAACAAGUACCUUUGGAGACACCUGUAGAGCACCUUUAUAAUCACCCAUUUACGUUGUGACGUUUGGUAGCACACAAAGUGUUCCUCCGGUAAACGGGAGUUGCAUAAUCUCAUAGUCAUAGGAACAUGUAUAAGUCAUGAAGAAAGCAAUAGCAACAUACUAAACGAUCGGGUGCUAAGCUAACGGAAUGGGUCAAGUCAAUCACGUCAUUCUCCUAAUGAGGUGAUCCCGUUAAUCAAAUGACAACUCAUGUCUAUGGCUAGGAAACAUAACCAUCUUUGAUUAACGAGCUAGUCAAGUAGAGGCAUACUAGUGACACUCUGUUUGUCUAUGUAUUCACACAUGUAUUAUGUUUCCGGUUAAUACAAUUCUAGCAUGAAUAAUAAACAUUCAUCAUGAUAUAAGGAAAUAAAUAAUAACUUUAUUAUUGCCUCUAGGGCAUAUUUCCUUCAGUCUCCCACUUGCACUAGAGUCAAUAAUCUAGUUCACAUCGCCAUGUGAUUUAACAUGAAUAGUUCACAUCACCAUGUGAUUAACACCCAUAGUUCACAUCGUCAUGUGACCAUCACCCAAAGGGUUUACUAGAGUCAGUAAUCUAGUUCACAUCGCUAUGUGAUUAACACCCAAAGAGUACUAAGGUGUGAUCAUGUUUUGCUUGUGAGAUAAUUUUAGUCAACGGGUCUGUCAUAUUCAGAUCCGUAAGUAUUUUGCAAAUUUCUAUGUCUACAAUGCUCUGCAUGGAGCUACUCUAGCUAAUUGCUCCCACUUUCAAUAUGUAUCUAGACCGAGACUUAGAGUUAUCUAGAUUAGUGUCAAAACUUGCAUUGACGUAACCUUUUACGACGAGCCUUUUGGCACUUCCAUAAUCGAGAAACAUAUCCUUAUUCCAGUAAGGAUAAUUUUGACCGCUGUCUAGUGAUCUACUCCUAGAUCACUAUUGUACUCCCUUGCCAAAAUCAGUGUAGGGUAUACAUUGAUCUGGUACACAGCAUGGCAUACUUUAUAGAACCUAUGGCCGAGGCAUAGGGAAUGACUUUCAUUCUUUUUCUAUCUUCUGCCGUGGUCGGGUUUUGAGUCUUACUCAAUUUCACACCUUGUAACACAGGCAAGAACUCUUUCUUUGACUGUUCUAUUUUGAACUACUUCAAAAUCUUGUUAAGGUAUGUACUCAUUGAAAACUUUAUCAAGCGUCUUCAUCUAUCUCUAUAGAUCUUGAUGCUCAAUAUGUAAGCAGCUUCACCGAAGUCUUUCUUUGAAAAACUCCUUUCAAACACUCCUUUAUGCUUUGCAGAAUAAUUCUACAUUAUUUCUGAUCAACAAUAUGUCAUUCACAUAUACUUAUCAGAAAUGCUGUAGUGCUCCCACUCACUUUCUUGUAAAUACAGGCUUCACCGCAAGUCUGUGUAAAACUAUAUCCUUUGAUCAACUUAUCAAAGCGUAUAUUCCAACUCUGAGAUGCUUGCACCAGUCCAUAGAUGGAUCGCUGGAGCUUGCAUAUUUUGUUAGCACCUUUAGGAUUGACAAAACCUUCUGGUUGCAUCAUAUACAACUCUUCUUUAAUAAAUCCAUUAAGGAAUGCAGUUUUGUUUAUCCAUUUGCCAGAUUUCAUAAAAUGCGGCAAUUGCUAACAUGACUCAGACACACUUAAGCAUAGAUACGAGUGAGAAACUCUCAUCGUAGUCAACAUCUUGAACUUGUCGAAAACCUUUUUGCGACAAUUUCUUGACGAUCCAUUUAUUCUCAAUUGCUUGCCGAUCAUCGGGCAAGUCAACCAAAGUCCACACUUUGUUCUCAUACAUGGAUCUCAUCUCAGAUUUCAUGGCCUCAAGCCAUUUUGCGGAAUCUGGGCUCAUCAUCGCUUCCUCAUAGUUCGUAGGUUCGUCAUGGUCAAGUAACAUGACCUCCAAAACUGAAUUACCCUACCACUCUGGUGCGGAUCUCACUCUGGUUGACCUACGAGGUUCAGUAAUAACUUGAUUUGAAGUUCCAUGAUCAUCAUCAUUAACUUCCUCACUAAUUGGUAUAGGCGUCACAGAAACUGGUUUCUGCGAUGAACUACUUUCCAAUAAGGGAGCAGGUACAAUUACCUCAUCAAGUUCUACUUUCCUCCCACUCACUUCUUUCGAGAGAAACUCCUUCUCUAGAAAGGAUCCAUACUAAGCAACGAAUGUCUUGCCUUCGGAUCUGUGAUAGAAGGUGUACCCAACUGUCUCCUUUGGGUAUCCUAUGAAGACACAUUUCUCCGAUUUGGGUUUGAGCUUAUCAGGAUGAAACUUUUUCACAUAAGCAUCGCAACCCCAAACUUUAAGAAACGACAACUUUGGUUUCUUGCCAAACCAUAGUUCAUAAGGCGUCGUCUCAACGGAUUUUGAUGGUGCCCUAUUUAACGUGAAUGUAGCUGUCUCUAAUGCAUAACCUCAAAACGAUAGUGGUAGAUCGGUAAGAGACAUCAUAUGUCGCACCAUAUCUAAUAAAGUACGGUUACGAUGUUCGGACACACCAUUACACUGUGGUGUUCAGGUGGCGUGAGUAGCGAAACUAUUUCACAUUGUUUUAACUGAAGGCCAAACUCGUAACUCAAAUACUCUUCUCCACGAUCAGAUCGUAGAAACUUUAUUUUCUUGUUACGAUGAUUUUCCGCUUCACUCUGAAAUUAUAUGAACUUUUCGAAUGUUUCAGACUUCUGUUUCAUUAAGUAGAUAUACCCAUAUCUGCUCAAAUCAUCUGUGAAGGUGAGAAAAUAACGAUAUCCGCCACGAGCCUCAAUAUUCAUUGGACCACAUACAUCUGUAUGUAUGACUUCCAACAAAUCUGUUGCUCUCUCCAUAGUUCCGGAGAACGGCGUUUUAGUCAUCUUGCCCAUGAGGCAUGGUUCGCAAGCAUCAAGUGAUUCAUAAUCAAUUGAUUCCAAAAUCCCAUCAGUAUGGAGUUUCUUCAUGCGCUUUACACCAAUAUGACCUAAACGGCAGUGCCACAAAUUAGCUGCACUAUCAUUAUUAACUUUGCAUCUUUUGGCUUCAAUAUUAUGAAUAUGUGUAUCACUACGAUCGAGAUCCAACAACCAUUUUCGUUGGUGUGUAUGACCAUAAAAGGUUUUUAUUCAUGUAAAAGAACAACAAUUGUUCUCUAACUUAAAUGAAUAACCGUAUUGCAAUAAACAUGAUCAAAUCAUAUUCAUGCUCAACGCAAACACCAAAUAAUACUUAUUUAGUUUCAACACUAAUCCCGAAAGUACAGGGAGUGUGCAAUGAUGAUCAUAUCAAUCUUGGAACUACUUCCAACACACAUCGUCACCUCACCUUUUACUAGUCUUUGUUUAUUCUGCAACUCCCGUUUUCGAGUUACUACUCUUUAGCAACUGAACCAGUAUCAAUUACCGAGGGGUUGCUAUAAACGCUAGUAAAGUACACAUCAAUAAUCUGUAUAUCAAAUAUACCUUUGUUCACUUUUACUAGUCUCUGUUUAUUCUGCAACUCCCGUUUCGAGUUACUACUAUUAGCAACUGAACCAGUAUCAAUUACCGAGGGGUUGCUAUAAACACUAGUAAAGUACACAUCAAUAAUCUGUAUAUCAAAUAUACCUUUGUUCACUUUGCCAUACUUCUUAUCCACCAAAUAGUUGGGGUAGUUCCGCUUCCAGUGACCAGUCCCUUUGCAGUAGAAGCACUUAGUCUCAGGCUUAGGACCAGACUUAGGCUUCUUCACUUGAGCAGCAACUUGCUUGCCAUUCUUCUUGAAGUUCCCCUUCUUCCCUUUGCCCUUUUCUUGAAACUAGUGGUAUCUUCAACCAUCAACACUUGAUGUUUUUCUUGAUUUCUACCUUCGUCGAUUUCAGCAUCACGAAGAGCUCGGGAAUUUCUUUCAUCAUCCCUUGCAUUCUAUAGUUCAUCACGAAGUUCUACUAACUUGGUGAUGGUGACUAGAGAAUUCUGUCAAUCAUUAUUUUAUCUGGAAGAUUAACUCCCACUUGAUUCAAGCGAUUGUAGUACCCAGACAAUCUGAGCACAUGCUCACUAGUUGAGCGAUUCUCCUCCAUCUUUUAGCUAUAGAACUUGUUGGAGACUUCAUAUCUCUCAACUCGGGUAUUUGCUUGAAAUAUUAACUUCAACUCCUGGAACAUCUCAUAUGGUCCAUGACGUUCAAAACGUCUUUGAAGUCUCGAUUCUAAGCCGUUAAGCAUGGUGCACUAAACUAUCAAGUAGUCAUCAUAUUGAGCUAGCCAAACAUUCAUAACGUCUGCAUCUGCUCCUGCAAUAGGUCUGUCACCUAGCGGUGCAUCAAGGACAUAAUUUUUCUGUGCAGCAAUGAGGAUAAUCCUCAGAUCACGGAUCCAAUCCGCAUCUUUGCUACUAACAUCUUUCAACAUAAUUUUCUCUAGGAACAUAUCAAAAAUAAAACAGGGAAGCAACAACGCGAGCUAUUGAUCUACAACAUAAUUUGCAAAAUACUAUCAGGACUAAGUUCAUGAUAAAUUUAAGUUCAAUUAAUCAUAUUACUUAAGAACUCCCACUUAGAUAGACAUCCCUCUAAUCCUCUAAGUGAUCACGUGAUCCAUAUCAACUAAACCAUGUCCGAUCAUCACGUGAGAUGGAGUAGUUUCAACGGUGAACAUCACUAUGUUGAUCAUAUCUACUAUAUGAUUCACGCUCGACCUUUCGGUCUCCGUGUUCCGAGGCCAUAUCUGUUAUAUGCUAGGCUCGUCAAGUUUAACCUGAGUAUUCCACGUGUGCAACUGUUUUGCACCCGUUGUAUUUGAACGUAGAGCCUAUCACACCCGAUCAUCACGUGGUGUCUCAGCAUGAAGAACUUUCGCAACGGUGCAUACUCAGGGAGAACACUUAUACUUUCAUAAUUUAGUGAAGGAUCAUCUUAUAAUGCUACCGUCAAACAAAGCAAGAUAAGAUGCAUAAAGGAUUAACAUCACAUGCAAUCAAUAUAAGUGAUAUGAUAUGGCCAUCAUCAUCUUGUGCUUGUGAUCUCCAUCUCCGAAGCACCGUCAUGAUCACCAUCGUCACCGGCGCGACACCUUGAUCUCCAUCGUAGCAUCGUUGUCAUCUCGUCAAUCUUAUGCUUCUACGACUAUCGCUACCUCUUAGUGAUAAAGUAAAGCAUUACAUGGCGAUUGCAUUGCAUACAAUAAAACGACAACCAUAUGGCUCCUGCCAGUUGCCGAUAACUCGGUUACAAAACAUGAUCUUCUCAUACAACAAAUUAUAUCACAUCAUGUCUUGACCAUAUCACAUCACAACAUGCCCUGCAAAAACAAGUUAGACGUCCUCUAAUUUCUUGUUGCAAAUUUUACGUGGCUGCUACGGGCUUAGCAAGAACCGUUCUUACCUACGCAUCGAAACCACAACGAUAGUUUGUCAAGUUGGUGCUGUUUUAACCUUCGCAAAGACCGGGCGUAGCCACACUCGGUUCAACUAAAGUGAGAGAGACAGACACCCGCCAGUCACCUUUAAGCAACGAGUGCUCCGAACGGUGAAACCAGUCUCGCGUAAGCGUACGCGUAAUGUCGGUCCGGGCCGCUUCAUCUCACAAUACCGCUGAACCAAAGUAUGACAUGCUGGUAAGCAGUAUGACUUAUAUCGCCCACAACUCACUUGUGUUCUACUCGUGCAUAGCAUCAACGCAUAAAACCUGGCUCGGAUGCCACUGUUGGGGAACGUAGUAAUUUCAAAAAAAUUCCUACGCACACGCAAGAUCAUGGUGAUGCAUAGCAACGAGAGGGGAGAGUGUUGUCCACGUACCCUCGUAGACCGACAGCAGAAGCGUUAUCACAACACGGUUGAUGUAGUCGUACGUCUUCACGAUCCGACCGAUCAAGUACCGAACGUACGGCACCUCCGAGUUCUACACACGUUCAGCUCGAUGACGUCCCUCGAACUUCGAUCCAGCCGAGUGUCGAGGGAGAGUUUCGUCAGCACGACGGCGUGGUGACGAUGAUGAUGUUCCACCGACGCAGGGCUUCGCCUAAGCUCCGCAACGGUAUUAUCGAGGUGUAAUAUGGUGGAGUGGGGCACCGCACACGGCUAAGAGAUCUCAAGGAUCAAUUGUUGUAUCUCUGGCGUGCCCCCCUGCCCCCGUAUAUAAAGGAGCAAGGGGGAGGCAGCCGGCCAAGGGGAGAGGCGCGCUAUAGGGGGGAGUCCUACUCCCACCGGGAGUAGGACUCCUCCUUUCCUUGUGGGAGUAGGAGAAGGGAAGGGGGAAGGAGAAAGAAGGAAGGGUGCGCCCCCCUUCCCUAGUCCAAUUCGGACCAGACCAUGGGGAGGGGUGCGGCCACCUUUUGAGGCCUUUCUCUCCUUUCCCGUAUGGCCCAUAAGGCCCAAUACGAAUUCCCGUAACUCUCCGGUACUCCGAAAAAUACCCGAAUCACUCGGAAUCUUUCCGAAGUCCGAAUAUAGUCGUCCAAUAUAUCGAUCUUUACGUCUCGACCAUUUCGAGACUCCUCGUCAUGUCCCCGAUCUCAUCCGGGACUCCGAACUCCUUCGGUACAUCUACAUACAUAAACUCAUAAUAAAACUGUCAUCGUAACGUUAAGCGUGCGGAACCUACGGGUUCGAGAACUAUGUAGACAUGACCGAGACACGUCUCCAGUCAAUAACCAAUAGCGGGACCUGGAUGCCCAUAUUGGCUCCCACAUAUUCUACGAAGAUCUUUAUCGGUCAGACCGCAUAAUAACAUACGUUGUUCCCUUUGUCAUCGGUAUGUUACUUGCCCGAGAUUCGAUCGUCGGUAUCUCGAUACCUAGUUCAAUCUCGUUACCGGCAAGUCUCUUUACUCGUUCCGUAACACAUCAUCCCGCAACUAACUUAUUAGUCACAAUGCUUGCAAGGCUUAUAUUGAUGUGCAUUACCGAGUGGGCCCAGAGAUACCUCUCCGACAAUCGGAGUGACAAAUCCUAAUCUCGAAAUACGCCAACCCAACAAGUACCUUUGGAGACACCUGUAGAGCACCUUUAUAAUCACCCAUUUACGUUGUGACGUUUGGUAGCACACAAAGUGUUCCUCCGGUAAACGGGAGUUGCAUAAUCUCAUAGUCAUAGGAACAUGUAUAAGUCAUGAAGAAAGCAAUAGCAACAUACUAAACGAUCGGGUGCUAAGCUAACGGAAUGGGUCAAGUCAAUCACGUCAUUCUCCUAAUGAGGUGAUCCCGUUAAUCAAAUGACAACUCAUGUCUAUGGCUAGGAAACAUAACCAUCUUUGAUUAACGAGCUAGUCAAGUAGAGGCAUACUAGUGACACUCUGUUUGUCUAUGUAUUCACACAUGUAUUAUGUUUCCGGUUAAUACAAUUCUAGCAUGAAUAAUAAACAUUCAUCAUGAUAUAAGGAAAUAAAUAAUAACUUUAUUAUUGCCUCUAGGGCAUAUUUCCUUCAAUAUUGCCAUGCAACUUACCACCAUUCCGUUUAUUACUACACGCUUCAUCAUUGUCAUAUUGCUUCGCAUGAUCAUGUAGUUGACAUCGUAUUUGUGGCAAAGCCACCUUCAUAAUUCUUUCAUACAUGUCACUCUUGAUUCAUUGCAUAUCCCGGUACCCCGCCGGAGGCAUUCACAUAGAGUCAUAUUUUGUUCUAAGUAUUGAGUUGUAAUUCUUGAGUUGUAAGUAAAUAAAAGUGUGAUGAUCAUCAUUGUUAGAGCAUUGUCCCAAGUGAGGAAAGGAUGAUGGAGACUAUGAUUCCCCCACAAGUCGGGAUGAGACUCCGGACGAAAAAAAGAGGCCAUAAAAAAAGGAGAAAAGGCCGAAAAAAUGAGAGAGAAAGAGAGAAGGGACAAUGUUACUAUCCUUUUACCACACAUGUGCUUCAAAGUAGCACCACGAUCUUCAUGAUAGAGAGUCUCCUAUGUUGUCACUUUCAUAUGCUAGUGGGAAUUUUACAUUAUAGAACUUGGCUUGUAUAUUCCAAUGAUGGGCUUCCUCAAAAAUGCCCUAGGUCUUCAUGAGCAAGCGAGUUGGAUGCACACCCACUUAGUUUCUUUUGUUGAGCUUUCAUACACUUAUAGCUCUAGUGCAUCCGUUGCAUGGCAAUCCCUACUCACUCACAUUGAUAUCUAUUAAUGGGCAUCUCCAUAGCCCGUUGAUACGCCUAGUUGAUGUGAGACUAUCUUCUUCUUUUUGUCUUCUCCACAACCACCAUUCUAUUCCACAUAUAGUGCUAUGUCCAUGGCUCACGCUCAUGUAUUGUGUGAAGAUUGAAAAAGUUUGAGAACAUCAAAUGUAUGAAACAAUUGCUUGGUUUGUCAUCGGGGUUGUGCAUUAUUAAAUACUUUAUGUGAUGAAGAUAGAGCAUAGCCAGACUAUAUGAUUUUGUAGGGAUAACUUUCUUUGGCCAUGUUAUUUUGAGAAGACAUGAUUGCUUUGUUAGUAUGCUUGCAGUAUUAUUGUUUUCAUGUCAAUAUUAAACUUUUAUCUUGAAUCUUUUGGAUCUAAACAUUCAUGCCACAAUAGAGAAAAUUACAUUGAGGAAUAUGCUAGGUAGCAUUCCACAUCAAAAAUUCUGUUUUUAUCAUUUACCUACUCGAGGACGAGCAAGAAUUAAGCUUGGGGAUGCUGAUACGUCUCCAACGUAUCUAUAAUUUUUGAUUGUUCCAUGCUAUUAUAUUAUCUGUUUCGGAUAUUCAAUGGGAUUUAUUAUACACUUUUAUAUUAUUUUUGGGACUAACCUAUUAAUCGGAGGCCCAGCCCAAAUUGCUGUUUUUUGCCUAUUUCAGUGUUUCGAAGGAAAGGAAUAUCAAACGGAGUCCAAACGGAAUGAAACCUUCGGGAAUGUGAUUUUCUGAACAAACGUGAUCCAGAGGACUUGGAGUGGACGUCAAGCAAUCAACAAGGAGGCCACGAGGCAGGGGGGCGUGCCUACCCCCUAGGCGUGCCCUCCACCCUCAUGGGCCCCUCGUAGCUCCACCGACCUACGUCUUCCUCCUAUAUAUACCUACGUACCCCGAAAACAACAGAUACGGAGCCAAAACCCUAUUUCCACCGCCGCAACCUUCUGUACCCGUGAGAUCCCAUCUUGGGGCCUUUUCCGGCGCUCCGCCGGAGGGGGCAUUGAUCACGGAGGGCUUCUACAUCAACACCAUAGCCUCUCCGAUGAUGUGUGAGUAGUUUACCUCAGACCUUCGGGUCCAUAGUUAUUAGCUAGAUGGCUUCUUCUCUCUCUUUGGAUCUCAAUACAAAGUUCUCCUCGAUUCUCUUGGAGAUCUAUUCGACAUAAUGUUCUUUUGCGGUGUGUUUGUCGAGAUCCGAUGAAUUGUGGGUUUAUGAUUGUCGUGGUAUCCUCACGGGGGGCUUGCGAGUCGACAGAUGCCACAAGGGCUUAGUGUGAGGGUAAGACUGCUGCUGAUAGGCCCGGGAGCGGGUAUGCGAGUAGCACGCGGUGGUUUACCCAGCUUCGGAGCUCUCCGGAGAUAUAAUACUCCUACUGCUGCAUGUCUGAGUGUAUCUGAUAUAUCUAGUACAGGAUGCUCCUCGAGCUGUAUCUGAGGUCAGUGCCAUAGGCAUCUGGCAUCUGGCCUCGUAUGUGGCAUGCUAGUGGCCGGCCAUGCUCAUGGCCGUGAGCAUGUGGGUGCUCAUGCGUGAGUGUGUGUGAGAGUGAGUCCAUCCCCUGGAUGGAUGGAUGUGUGCCCCUUUAUAUAAGAGAGGGUAGCUUAGGAUGUAAGCUUGGUAGUGGGCAUGGGUAAGGCAUGGUGCAUGUCAUGCUUGUCCCCUGGGUCACUUCAUAAAUAGUGCCAGGGGACAAGUGACACUAUACAUGAUGGUGUCGCGGUACGGUUGUCUUGUCCGCGGUAUGGCCGUCUCGUCGGGGUCUUGUCGGUGUCGGGUCGGGCUGCAGUCGGCAGCCGGCUGGUUGGCGCAGUCGGCAGCCGGUAGCCGGCCGGGCAGAGCAGUCGGACGGGGAGCCGGGAGGAGCGGCCGGGCAGUCGGACUGAGGGGCUUUGCUAGCCCCGAUGUCUUGAAUUAUUGUCUCGCCGUCUUCGGGGUAUCCAUGUCCGAUUACUCUGACAGUAGCCCCCAAGCCUCCGGGCAUCUUGGCAAAGUUGGGCGGAGGUUUUUUGGCGAGUGUUCAUGGAAAUGAUCAUGAAAAAAGACAAAGUUAGUCCAUGCAGGUAUGUCGAAUAUUUGCUUUUAGCAUUGCAAGUUUUAUGCGGAGGGUGUCGACUCGGUUUCGUCCGAGCCCCCUUCAAUCUUUUUCAUGUUCCCUCCACUCUUUGGCUUGUGCUCUCACUUGCUGGACAGCCGCUCUGCGGUCUGUGGCUGAGAGUGGGCCGCGGAGCGGAGUGUACAGUACUCAGACUCUGGGAGCAGAUUAGACCGAGCUGAUACUCGUAAAGGAAACGGCCGGGUCGCCCGAACCGUUUUUCUUCCCGGACGUUUUUCGCGUGGGUGGCCUCCAGCGUUCACUCUUGCUAGCCGGACAGCUGCUCUGCGGUCUAUGACUAAGAGUGGGCCUUUGGUACCGCGCAUGCUACUAUGCCGUCUGCGGGAACUAAUGUCUCAGGCCAAACGACCAGCCCCGGGCCAACUCUGGCUGGCGCCGGGGCGAACAGUGGUGCAACUGUAAUAAAAAGCGAAGGUGGUCCCCGAGCGUCGCUCGGGGUUAUCCGGGUUUGCACACGGUGCGAAAAUAUGCGGGUGAGGGGCUCACAUUGGUUUGACGCAGACGAGGCGGAGGCUGACGAAGACAGCCGGCGCGGCGUGGCGCUUGCGGCGCGCGCCGGCGCACCCGCUGGGUGUACCCUUCGAGCCCUCGGGUGCUCGAAGGGGGGUCCCGGCCGGUCAGGCUCGACCGGCCAGGCGGCGAGGCGUCUUGCAACACCCCUUUUCUUCUUUUUCUCUUCUGCCGGCUGCUGGCAGCCGGACAAGACUCUUCUCUUGUCUGCAAUCUUCACGGGGGCGCGCCAGCGCACCCGCUGGGUGUAGCCCUCGAGAUUCGGGCCGACUGCUGAGCAGUCGGGCCGGAUCUCCCGGCAACUACUUUGUCUUCUUCUUCGCAGGGGCGUCAGCGCACCGGCUGGGUGUAGCCCCCGAGAUUCAGGCCGACUGCAGAGCAGUCGGGCCGGAUCUCCCGGCGACUACUUUAUCUUCACUUUGUCCCAGGCGGACGCACAUUUCUUUUCCAUCUGGCUGGGUAGUCGGACUUCUGGAAACGAGCAGCCGACUCGCAUCCUAUCUCUCUCUCUCUUUUUUUUCUUUUUCUUUUUUUUCAGCCGGCCCUUGACUUUUCUCUACCAACCGGCAGCAACUUUGCCCCGCGGGCUACCGGCCAAUUUCUUUCUUUUUCAGUUCUCUAGACAGCCACCACUUCUCUCAGCUCCUUUCGCGUGGGGAGGCGGCAGCGGCCGGCCGGCGUGGGGAAGCCGGCCAACGCGGGGCGGCGACCCAACGGGCGCGCGGGGGGCGACAAGGGCUGGNNNNNNNNNNNNNNNNNNNNNNNNNNNNNNNNNNNNNNNNNNNNNNNNNNNNNNNNNNNNNNNNNNNNNNNNNNNNNNNNNNNNNNNNNNNNNNNNNNNNNNNNNNNNNNNNNNNNNNNNNNNNNNNNNNNNNNNNNNNNNNNNNNNNNNNNNNNNNNNNNNNNNNNNNNNNNNNNNNNNNNNNNNNNNNNNNNNNNNNNNNNNNNNNNNNNNNNNNNNNNNNNNNNNNNNNNNNNNNNNNNNNNNNNNNNNNNNNNNNNNNNNNNNNNNNNNNNNNNNNNNNNNNNNNNNNNNNNNNNNNNNNNNNNNNNNNNNNNNNNNNNNNNNNNNNNNNNNNNNNNNNNNNNNNNNNNNNNNNNNNNNNNNNNNNNNNNNNNNNNNNNNNNNNNNNNNNNNNNNNNNNNNNNNNNNNNNNNNNNNNNNNNNNNNNNNNNNNNNNNNNNNNNNNNNNNNNNNNNNNNNNNNNNNNNNNNNNNNNNNNNNNNNNNNNNNNNNNNNNNNNNNNNNNNNNNNNNNNNNNNNNNNNNNNNNNNNNNNNNNNNNNNNNNNNNNNNNNNNNNNNNNNNNNNNNNNNNNNNNNNNNNNNNNNNNNNNNNNNNNNNNNNNNNNNNNNNNNNNNNNNNNNNNNNNNNNNNNNNNNNNNNNNNNNNNNNNNNNNNNNNNNNNNNNNNNNNNNNNNNNNNNNNNNNNNNNNNNNNNNNNNNNNNNNNNNNNNNNNNNNNNNNNNNNNNNNNNNNNNNNNNNNNNNNNNNNNNNNNNNNNNNNNNNNNNNNNNNNNNNNNNNNNNNNNNNNNNNNNNNNNNNNNNNNNNNNNNNNNNNNNNNNNNNNNNNNNNNNNNNNNNNNNNNNNNNNNNNNNNNNNNNNNNNNNNNNNNNNNNNNNNNNNNNNNNNNNNNNNNNNNNNNNNNNNNNNNNNNNNNNNNNNNNNNNNNNNNNNNNNNNNNNNNNNNNNNNNNNNNNNNNNNNNNNNNNNNNNNNNNNNNNNNNNNNNNNNNNNNNNNNNNNNNNNNNNNNNNNNNNNNNNNNNNNNNNNNNNNNNNNNNNNNNNNNNNNNNNNNNNNNNNNNNNNNNNNNNNNNNNNNNNNNNNNNNNNNNNGGCCUGCCGGGACGGGCGAUCGCGAGUCGGCGUGUCGCGCGGGCUCGAAGCAGGCGGCCAAGGCGUGGGAAGCCGGCCGCGGGGCAGAGGAGGCGGCCACGACGCGGUGGUCGGCGGACGAGGCAACUGCAGCGGCAGGGCGCUGCCCCGGGUGCGUGGGGCUCCUCCCUUGGUGGCGCGCGAGCGAGGAGUCGAGGCAGAGGUGCGCGGGUCGCAGCCGGGCACGGCGCGCCGUGGGAUGGAGGCGGAGCCGCGGGCGCAGAGGCGAGGCGGAGGCAGCCAGGCGGCCAGGCUCGAGCCCGGGACACCGCGGAGGAGAGCCGCUUGUGGCCGGCUAGAGGCGGGGCAGCGAGAAUGGGCUGUCGGGGAGGCACGGUCGACGCGGCACACGGGCGCGCGAGGCCUGGCGGCCGCGGCCGCACGUGGAGCAGAGGGCGAGCACGGGAGGCCGAGCGGACGCAGCUGGCGUCGGCUGGACCGGUGCGGGGUUGAGCUCGGGUGGCCGAGUGGCGCAGACCCGGCAGUGGCGAGGCGAACGCGGCCUACGCGGGCAGAAGGCGGCCGAGCGUGGGCGCGGGAGCCGGCUUGGCAGCUGACCAAGCAGCCGGAUUGAGCAGUUGACCAUCGAUGGUAUAUGAAGGAGCGGCUGCGUGUUUCGGCCGGAGCAAAGUGCAACGCAGAAGGAGCAAACGCGCGGAUGGAUGUGGUCGACCGAAGCGAGGCCCUGCAUGCAGAUGGACGGCCGACUUUGCGGUGGUGGUGAAGAAGAGGCCGACGGCGAGGACGCACCGCCCCUCGCGGCCGCUCCGGGGGCAUGUCGAUGUUGGGCCCCCGAGCGCUACCGGAGAGACGACGGCGACGCCGCGGUGACGACGAAGAUGGCGAGGCCGAUGGCGAGGACGCGGCGCCCCUCGCGGCCACUCCGGGGGCGUGUCGAUGUCGAGCCCCCGACCGCUACUUGAGAGACGGCGCGACGCCGCGGCGGUGAAGGCGAAAAUGGUCCCGCCCGGACUGCGAAACCAGCAGCAGCGUGGUACCAUAGUAAUAGUACCACCCCACGGUGGGCGCCAGCUGUCGUGGUAUCCUCACGGGGGGCUUGCAAGUCGACAGAUGCCACAAGGGCUUAGUGUGAGGGUAAGACUGCUGCUGAUAGGCCCGGGAGCGGGUAUGCGAGUAGCACGCGGUGGUUUACCCAGCUUCGGAGCUCUUCGGAGAGAUAAUACUCCUACUGCUGCAUGUCUGAGUGUAUCUGAUAUAUCUAGUACAGGAUGCUCCUCGAGCUGUAUCUGAGGUCAGUGCCAUAGGCAUCUGGCAUCUGGCCUCGUAUAUGCCUCGUAUGUGGCAUGCUAGUGGCCGGCCAUGCUCAUGGCCGUGAGCAUGUGGGUGCUCAUGCGUGAGUGUGUGUGAGAGUGAGUCCAUCCCCUGGAUGGAUGGAUGUGUGCCCCUUUAUAUAAGAGAGGGUAGCUUAGGAUGUAAGCUUGGUAGUGGGCAUGGGUAAGGCAUGGUGCAUGUCAUGCUUGUCCCCUGGGUCACUUCAUAAAUAGUGCCAGGGGACAAGUGACACUAUACAUGAUGGUGUCGCAGUACGGUUGUGUUGUCCGCGGUAUGGCCGUCUCGUCGGGGUCUUGUCGGUGUCGGGUCGGGCUGCAGUCGGCAGCCGGCUGGUUGGCUCAGUCGGCAGCCGGCUGGUCGUUGCAGUCAGCAGCCGGCAGCCGGCCGGGCAGAGCAGUCGGACGGGGAGCCGGCAGGAGCGGCCGGGCAGUCGGACUGAGGGGCUUUGCUAGCCCUAAUGUCUUGAAUUAUUGUCUCGCCGUCUUCGGGGUAUCCGUGUCCAAUUACUCCGACAAUGAUCAAGAUUAUCUCUGAACAAUAUUUGAAUCUCCUCUGAAUUCUUUUAUGUAUGAUCGGUUAGCUUUGCAAGUCUCUUCGAAUUAUCAGUUUGGUUUGGCCUACUAGAUUGAUCUUUCUUGCAAUGGGAGAAGUGCUUAGCUUUGGGUUCAAUCUUGCGGUGCUCGAUCCUAGUGACAGUAGGGGAAACGACACGUAUUGUAUUGUUGCCAUCGAGGAUAAAAAGAUGGGGUUUAUAUUAUAUUGCAUGAGUUUAUCCCUCUACAUCAUGUCAUCUUGCUUAAAGUGUUACUCUAUUCUUAUGAACUUAAUACUCUAGAUGCAUACUGGAUAGCGGUCGAUGUGUGGAGUAAUAGUAGUAGAUGCAGGAGGAGUCGGUCUACUUGUUACGGACGUGAUGCCUAUAUACAUGAUCAUAUCUAGAUAUUCUCAUAACUAUGCUCAAUUCUAUCAAUUGCUCGACAGUAAUUUGUUUACCCACCGUAAUACUUAUGCUAUCUUGAGAGAAGCUAGUAGUGAAACCUAUGGCCCCCGGGUCUAUUCUCCAUCAUAUUAAUCUCCCGUCAACAAGCUAUUUCUAUUACCGUUUAUUUUGCUUUCUUUACUUUUAGUCUUUAUCAUAAAAAUACCAAAAAUAUUAUCUUAUCAUCUCUAUCAGAUCUCACUUUUGCAAGUGGCCGUGAAGGGAUUGACAACCCCUUUAUCGCGUUGGUUGCAAGGUUCUUAUUUGUUUGUGUAGGUACGAGGGACUUGCGUGUGGCCUCCUACUGGAUUGAUACCUUGGUUCUCAAAAACUGAGGGAAAUACUUAUGCUACUUUACUGCAUCACCCUUUCCUUUUCAAGGGAAAACCAACGCAGUGCUCAAGAGGUAGCACCCACUGCUUGACCUGGCGGUGAGAGGAGUGCAAAGAUGCACCUCUGGCAAAGCACAUGACUUCCGUAGCUUUUUGGAACUCGUGCUCACUAGACUCAUUGUCGUCCUCGUCAUCAUCUUCAUCUUCAUCUCCCUCCUUGUCGUGGCCUCGAGCAGGCUUGUCCUUCUGCUGCUUAGCCAUGUCGCGGCGACCUUCACAGCUACCACGACCUUUCUUGCUAGACCCGCCAGCACCAUCUUGGGCCUUCUCCUUGUCACGCUUCCCAUACACAGCUUUCUGCUUUUCGGCAAGUUGGUCGACUAGCCGGCAGUCCUGGAGAUCGUGGCACUUGAUAUGGUGGAUCUUGUAGUAUUUCUUAGCGGAACCCUCCAUCUUGUCGCCAGCCGCCAGCUCUUGACAUGAAGUGCACCCGACAACCUCCUUGUCGGGGCUCUCGGUCUUGGGCAUCGCCAUCUUGCCCUUGCACUUCCUGUUGCGCUUGCGUCCCUUCUUCUUCAGGCCGGUGGCGUCGUCGUCUUCGGAGUCGACCUCUGUGCCAACAUCUUCCCCGGGAAGUCUCCUCCCCUCUUCAGCAAGUGCACACUUGUUGGCCAGAGCGUAAAGCUCGGUGACGUCCCUCACCUUUGUUCAUGGAUAAGUCCCCACGAAUCUUGCGAUUGUGCACAUUCAUGUGAAACGCAUCAAUCACAGCAGCAGGGUGGAUGUCGAGAAUGUUGUGUUGCACAUGGCUGAGUCUCUGAAUGUACUUGCGGAGAGACUCACCAUUUCUUUGUGGCAGCACAUGUGAGUCGCUGGGCUGACCGGGAACCUUGUGCCCCACAGUAAAGUGCCAACGAAUUCAUGGCGCAGAUCCGACCAAGAGGAAAUGGAGUUCUCCGGCAAGUUCGUCAACCAUGAUCUGUCGUUGGACUUGAGUGCCAACGGAAAGUAGUUGGUGAGGAUCUUAUUGUCGCACCCCCGACAGCCUGCGCUGCAAUAGUGUAGAUGCCUAGGAACUCCGACGGGUGGAUCUUGUUGUCGUAUUUCUCCGGCAACUCUGGCUUGAAGUUCCGGGAAGUGGGCCAUGAUACGUCUCCGUCGUAUCUACUUUUCCUAACGCUUUUGCUCUUGAUUUGGACUCUAAUUUGUAUGAUUUGAAUGAAACUAACCCGGACUAACACUGUUUUCAGCAGAACUACCGUGGUGUUGUUUUUGUGCAGAAAUAAAAAUUCUCAGAAUGGAACAGAACUUUUUGGAGAAUUAUUUCAGAAUAUAUAAAAAAUACUAGAGCCAAGAACCACCGGAGGGGGGCCCCUGGUUGAGCACACAACCCACCAGGGCGUGCCACCCCCUCCAGGCGCGCCCAGGUGGGUUGUGCCCACCUGGUGGCCCCGCAGACUUGUUGGAAAUAUUCCCUAGAGGCAAUAAUAAAUUGGUUAUUAUCAUAUUUCCAUGUUUAUGAUAAUCGUUAUUAUCCAUGCUACAAUUGUAUUGAUCGGAAACUCAGAUACAUGUGUGGAUACAUAGACAACAAUGUGUCCCUAGUGAGCCUCUACUUGACUAGCUCGUUGAUCAAAGAUGGCUAUGGUUUCCUAGCCAUAGACAUGAUUUGUCAUUUGAUAACGGGAUCACAUCAUUAGGAGAAUGAUGUGAUGGACAAGACCCAAACUAUAAAUGUAGCAUAUGAUCGUAUCAAGUUUAUUGCUAUCGUUUUCUGCAUGUCAAGUAUAUAUGUUCCUAUGACCAUGAGAUCAUGCAACUCACUGACACCGGAGGAAUACCUUGUGUGUACCAAACUUCGCAAGGUAACUAGGUGACUAUAAAGGUGCUCUACAGGUAUCUCCGAGGAUGUCUGUUGAGUUGGCAUGGAUCAAGACUGGGAUUUGUCACUCCGUAUGACGGAGAGGUAUCUCAGGGCCCACUCGGUAAUACAACAUCACAAGAAGCUUGCAAGCAAUGUGACUAAUGAGUUAGCCGCGGGAUCUUGUAUUACGGAAUGAGUAAAGAGACUUUCCGGUAACGAGAUUGAACUAGGUAUGAAGAUACCAAUGACCGAAUCUCGGGCAAGUAACAUACUGAUAGACAAAGGGAACUGCAUACGGAAUUAGCAGAAUCCUUGACAUUCAGGUUCGACCGAUAAGAUCUUCGUAGAGUAUGUAGGAACCAAUAUGGGCAUCCAGGUCUCGCUAUUGGUUAUUGACUGUAGAGGUGUCUCAGUCAUGUCUGCAUAGUUCUCGAACCCGUAGGGUCUACACACUUAACGUUUGGUGAUGAUAUAAGUAUAGUUGAGUCAUUAUGGUGGUUCCCGAAGGUUGUUCGGAGUCCCGGAUGAGAUCCCGGACGUGACGAGGAACUCUGGAAUGGUCCGGAGGUGAAGAUUGAUAUAUUGGACGAAGGGUAUUGGAGUCCGGAGUUGUUUCGAGGGUACCGCGUGAUGACCAGCGUCUCCGAAAGGGGUUUCGGGGGGCCCCGACAAGUGCUGGGGGGUGCCAUGGGCCAAGGGGAGGGGCUAACCAGCCCACUAAGGGGCUGAGCGCCCCCUCACCCCAUUGCACGUAACCAGGAGGGUUGGGGGCGCCCCUCUAGGGUUCCCUCCACCCGGCUUGGGGGGGCAAGUCACCCUAGGGUAGAUCCCAUCUGCCCUGGUCGCCGCACCCCCAAGGGGAAACCCUAGGGGUGCCACCGCCUCCUCCCUUCCCCUAUAUAUAGAGAGGUAGAGAGAGGGCAGCCGCACCCUUGAGCACAUCUCCACGCCACGGCGCUGCCCUUCCUCUCCCUCGUAGCCCUCUUCCUCUCCGUAGUGCUUAGCGAAGCUCUGCUGAGAUUUCACCACCACCACCGCCACCACGCUAUCGUGCUGUCGGAGGACUCGAGCUACUACUUCACCAUCACUCGCUGGAUCGAGGAGGUGAAGGCGUCAUCAAGCCGUAUGUGUGUUGAAUGCGGAGGUGCCGUCCGUUCGACACUUGGAUCGGAGUUCGCGGGACGGAUCAUGAUUGGAUCGCGAAGACGUUCGAAUACAUCAACUGCGUUUCUUAACGCUUCCACUUAGCGAUCUACAAGGGUAUGUAGAUCCAAUCUCUCCUCUCGUAGAUGGUCAUCUCCUAGAUUGGAUCUUGGUGAGCAUAGGAUUUUUUUGUUUCCCAUGCAACGUUCCCCAACAAGACCCUAAUUCCAACUCCUUAAAUACCUAUUUUUGGAGGAAAAAUCAGAGAGGAAGAAUUAUCGCGUUUCACGAGAUGGAGCCGCCGCCACCUCAUGUUCUUCAUCGGGAGGCCAGAUCUGGAGUCCGUUCGGGGCUCCGGAGAGGGGAAUCUUCGGUCUUCGUCAACACCAACCCUCCUUCAUCACCAAUUCCAUGAUGCUCCCCACUGGGAGUGAGUAAUUCCUUCGUAGGCUCGCUGGUCGGUGAGGAGUUGGAUGAGAUUCAUCAUGUAAUCGAGUUAGUUUUGUUAAGGCUUGAUCCCUAGUUUCCGCUAUGUUCUGAGAUUGAUGUUGUUAUGACUUUGCCAUGCUUAAUGCUUGUCACUAGGGCCCGAGUCCCAUGAUUUCAGAUCUGAAUAGUUUAUGUUUUCACCAUUAUAUCUAUGUUCUAGAUCCGAUCUUGCAAGUCAUAUUCACCUAUUACGUGUUAUGAUCCGUAAACCGCGGGGUGACAAUAAUCGGGAUACUUUCUGGUGAUGACCGUAGUUUGAGGAGUUCAUGUAUUCACUAUGUGUUAAUGCUUUGUUCCGGUUCUCUAUUAAAAGGAGGCCUUAAUAUCCCUUAGUUUCCUUAUGAACCCUGCUGCCACGGGAGGGUCGGACAAAACAUGUCAUGCAAGUUCUUUCCAUAAGCAUGUAUGACUAUUCACGAAAUACAUGCCUACAUUAUAUUUAUGAACUGGAGCUAGUUUUGUAUCGCCCUAGGUUAUGACUGUUAUAUGAUGAAUAUCAUCUAACGAGUUCACCGAUCCAAUGCCUACGAAUUUUCCACAUAUUGUUCUUGCUAAGUUACUACUGCUGAUGUUACUGUUACACUUGCUACAAAAUCCUUGCUAUCACUGUUACCGUUACUGCUACUAUCAUCACUACCAUCAAAACUAUCAUAUUACAGUGCUACCGAUCACUUUGCUGCAGAUAAUUAAUCUCCAGGUGUGGUUGAAUUGACAACUCAACUGCUAAUACCUACAAAUAUUCGUUGGCUCCUCUUGUGUCGAAUCUAUAAAUUUGGUUGAAUACUCUACCCUCAAAAAUGGUUGCGAUCCCCUAUACUUAUGGGUUAUCAAGACCUUUUUCUGGCGCCGUUGCCGGGGAGCAUAGCUAUAUUUGUUGAGUCACUUGGGAUUAUUAUCUAUUUAUCACUAUGAAGAAUCAAAAGGAUACCAAGACUAAGAUUUUUCCCUCUAAGACGAGGGGAGGUAAGGAACUGCCAUCUAGCUCUGCAGUUGAUUCACCUUCUAUUUUGAGUAAACUUGCAACACCACCACAUGCUAUUAAUCUUGAUAUGUCGCAAGUUAUUGAUGAUGCUACUUCUGCUAUGAAUGCUACUCAGGAUGAUGCUAGUACCUUGCUUGAUGAUAAUAUGCCACUAGGUGAAUUUCUUGACGAACAAAUUGCUAGAGCUAAAGAUAUUGAGAAUGGUAAAACUGAUGAAAUUAUUGAAACUGAUGAAGUACUUAAAACCGAAAAUCUUGAAACACCUAUUAGGCCUAGCUCUCCUAGAUAUGAACUAGAAGGGUCACCUGCGCAUUUGCGCGGCUAGACUUAUUGUUGGUCUCAUCUUUUAUUCGAAAUGUACAUAGUACUUCAAUACAUGAUCUUGUUAUUUAGCAAAAAAUACUGCAUGUUUCACUUUGCUUCAAAAGGUGAAUUUUAAUUGGAUAUAUGCUAAAUUAUAAGUUUAAAAUUUUAAUGGCUUCACUACAAAAAAAAAAGACACAUCCGCGACAUUUUGGGCCGAAUGAAAUUUUUUUCAGUCAUACAUAUGACACUUCUAUGACGAUAAUUGCGACAAAACCCGGUAUCAUCAUAGAUGUGGUGGGCUCCUAAUUCUAUGACAAAAAAUCAUGACAGAAAAUGGGCUUUUCGUCCUGGGCGGGCCGGAGACGCAGCUGCAUGACAUUCUUUGGGCCAUCCAUGACGGAAAAAACCAUGGUAGAAG
This 91111-nucleotide long non-coding RNA is filed under the name Triticum aestivum (bread wheat). RNAcentral describes it as "long non-coding RNA (TAES_LNC000548)". The record is from RNAcentral. Lineage: Eukaryota; Viridiplantae; Streptophyta; Magnoliopsida; Poales; Poaceae.